This 115380-nucleotide long non-coding RNA is filed under the name Ricinus communis (castor bean). RNAcentral's name for it is "long non-coding RNA (RCOM_LNC001249)". The record is from RNAcentral. Lineage: Eukaryota; Viridiplantae; Streptophyta; Magnoliopsida; Malpighiales; Euphorbiaceae.
AUAUGUUUGGCCUUUCCCUCUCUCCUUCCUUUCAUGAAAAUUAUAAUAUUAUGCAGCUGUAACACUUUUUUGAGCAUGGCUAGACGGAGAUGUGCCCCCUCUAUGGUUCCUUGUCCAAGGGAUGUAGUAUUCACUCCCUCAAACGGUAGUGUUUAACUUGGAGUUUUCCCACCUCAAAUGCUCCUCCAAAUUCUGGUAUCAACAGAGUUAACUGGUUACAAAUUGCCAAAGAAAAUACUAAUCAAUGGCUUUUCAGCUAAGAGAAACAUCAGUUGGUGGAAAGAUUUCUGGAUACGUUAGGCUACAUUGAAAAGGAAACCAUAUUAACUAUCAUUAGAAUGAACUUCAGACUGGUUAUGAUUGCAGCAUUUUCCUUUCUUCUUUUCACCUUACUAAUACUACUAUAUAAUCAAGAUUUUAUGAAAGUUAUUCAAGUAUUUGGAUACUCUUGGUAAGCAAAAUAUGAAUGAACUCAGUUUAGUUUUGCAAAUCCAGAAUGGAAGAACUAAGCGAUAGCGAUAUGAACUGAGUAUUGCGGAAGAUUAAGGUACUCUUAUUGCCUCAUUUAUAUACAGUUAUAGAGCUGAUUGCUGUUGCUGUUAACAAAUGCUACAAUUUGAGUACAGUACCAAAUCUGUUGGGAAGCAGGAGAUUUUAAAGAGAGUCCAAUUGGAAGACAAGAUACUUCAACUCACCAGCUCUGGGAGGAAGCCAUUAGCGAAGGAGCUUACUUUGGUUAGCCUGCUGUGCAUGUACGAUAGCAUAAUUUUAAAUAAAACUAUGUAGUUUUAAGUAAAAUUGCAUAGUUUUGAUAUAUACCAAAGUAAAAAAGCCAUACCACAGACUAAACCCUAAUUCUAUUCCCAUCUCAUCUCAAACUCACAGCAACUCUCUCAAAGCAUCCACCAGCCUCACAAACCUUCGUCUCAUCGCCAACCUUGCUGCCGUUCCCGUUGCUGCUAUUGCGGUCCCCGUUGCUGCAACCGUCGCCCUUGCUGCAGCCGUCGUCGCCCUAGCUGCAGUCGCCUCCACCCUUGCUGCCGUCGUUGUCAAGCCGCUGCCGUCGCUGCCGUCUUCUCAGGUAUUGUUGUUGUUAUAAUACACUUCUAUGGUGUUUUAGCAGAAUAAUAGACCCUGGCUUCUAUGGUAAUUUUCAUUUGAUUUUCUGGGCAUUAUGUCCACUUGAUGCUAAUUAACCCUGUCGUUUAGAAUCUAUUGGUUUGCAUGAUUAUCAUUUAUUAAUGAAAUUGCAGCACUUUGAACAUGCAAUUUUUUUAGCAUUCCCAUUCGUAUUUAGAACGGAUUUGAAAGUGUGCUGUUUAAGCGGGUUUGGAUUCGGAUAUUGGUGGACGGGUACCUUACCCGUUGCCAUCCCUACAUAUUAUCAUUUCUUACACUUAAUAUUUUCUUUUUUCUCUUUUUUCUUUUAUAUUUCUUUUAACUUGUUCUUUUUUAUUUUUAUUUUUUUUAAUUUAUGUAACUUUUUGUGUAUUCAAACAAGUCUUUACUUGUUAUUAUUAAGUUUGUUGUUCUUACUGUGGAGUUAUCAUUUUUUGGCAAAAUAUGACCAUUUUAUUGUUGAUUUUUACUAUUUUUAAUGCAUACUAAGUGCUACUUUCGUACAUUAUUUAAUGAGUAAAUGUUAAAUAUAAAAAAAGUCGAUAAGGUCAAAGUACCUAUUUCAAUUAUAUUAUUAUAUUUUAUUCUCUCACUUUUCUUGUAUUUUCUGUUUAUAGCAUAUUUUCUCAUUGUAAUUUAUCUAAAUUAUAACAUUAUUUCAUUUAAAGUAAAAUUAAAAUUGUUAUUUAAGAGACUAUAUAUAGCAAUUUAAUUGAACAUUUAAUUAAAAUAAAUUUUUAUUAUAUAUUUCUGUUAAAUAUAUAAUAUUCAUAAAUAAUAACUGUUUUUAUUUACUCACUAGAUGCAUAUUGCAAUUUACAUAAGAAUUCAAAUUUAAAUUUUAUUUUUUAUUUAAAAAUAAUAAUAAUUUGAGUACUAAAAAUAGUAAAUAUGCCAAAAAAAUAAAAGAUAAUUAUCAGUCAUAUACUUUUAUUUUGACAUAAAUAAUAAAUUAAAACUCUUAAGUUUGUCUUUUUGCAUUUUUAUUCCUAUGUGUUUAGAAACAACACCUUUUUAAUCCUGAUAUAUUUUUAAUGCUCUAUUAAAUGAUAAAAAUGACAUAGCAACCAUAUGAUUUUAUUAUAUUAUAUAGUAAAUUGGUCUUUAUUAUUUCGUACAGUAAAACAUUUUAAUCCUUAAUUAAAUGGACUCUUUGACUAAUAUUAAUUUAUUAAUAGAAGAUCUGUUUUGCUGAACGAUUUUAUAAAUAUAAAAAUGAAGAGUGCUGAAAAUAUGUACAAUAGGUAAGUUCAGAGGGAUAUUAAGUAGCCCUAUUUUUGUUUUCUUUUUUCGUUGAACUAAUACUGUAGUUUUAAUAAUUUUUUAAACAACCUUUCUACUUACCGAGGUAGCCAUUUCUAAUUCGUUCAUUAAUUGUGACCGCCAUAAACAAGAUCUUCUUUGCAAAUGUCCCAAUCUAACAAUUAUAUUAAAACGUUCUCAUCUUCAAUUAGUUUUCUUUCAAGGUAUUAAUUCAUUUUUAAUUGUUUCUGUUUCUUUCUGUAAAAUCUAUUUUGAUAAAUUGUAGAUUUUUUUUCUAAAAGAAUUUGUAUAUGGUUGUUGUUUUAACGGUCUGCUGCUUUGGGUUUUCCAGUAUUUUUAAGUUGGUUGUUUAUGAAUAGUAGAUUAGAGAUUAGGUGAAAUGAUAGCGGGAGGUGCAAGAGUCAGGCUAAACAGAUGGCAACAGGCAGCAGUUGCAGUGGGUUCAGCACUGGGUGCAUUGCUAGACCCAAGAAGAGCAGAUUUGAUAGCAGCUCUUGGAGAAACAACUGGGAAACCUGCUUUUGAGAGGGUUCUUCAGAGAAUGAAAAGUUCCCCUGAAGGCAGAGUCAGUUUCUUUCUUUCUUUCUUUAGAUUUCUUACUGUUUCUUAUAUCUAAGUAAUGUUCUUGAUUUGUUUAUGUUCUUAGAUAAAUUUUCUGUUAUAAGAAUGAUGUUACAUUUGGUAUUAUGGCUGUCUUGACAGAAUUAGGAAUUUAAAUGACUUCUGAACAAAAAAAAAACCCUUUCAAAAACUCUUGUAUAGCUAUCAAGUCUUUUGCUCGUUGUCCAUAUAUUGAGAUUCUUGAAACAUACAUCUGUAUUUUAUAACUCAAGAAAUCUACCUGGAUAUUGUAAUUAGACAUGUAAUUGGCAGUGGAAUGUUAGCAGUAUAUACAUCUCUUAUCUCUUGCAGAGUUUUAGUUAAAAAGCUUCAAAUGAUAAACUGCUAGUUAAUUAACAUCACUUCUAGUUAUUGAAGAAGUAGUAUUGCGUCAAAAUUUUCGAAUGAACGUUAUUAUUUUGCUUUAAUUCUCUGGUAGUUAUCAAGGUCUGUAUGCAUGUAUAUGUCCCCCUUUUCUCCUCCUCCAAAUUGCUAUGUUCUAAUGUUUCUCUUUUUUAAUAGGCAAUUGCUCAUCCUUUUUUAGACCAUUGUUGUUUUCUGUGAUCAAUAAACAAUAGAUUUCCAAUGGGUAAUUGGAAUUUGAGUGAGUACUGGCAGGUCUAAUAGAUUAAAUGUAUGUUAUACAUCAUUGUAGAGUUUUCCAUGUGAAUUUCUUGGAAAAAUUGAAUUGAUGAAGCACCUAGAAGUCUAGAUUAGUUGUAUAGAUACUUAUAUUAAUACCAGAGUUUUUGACUGCUUAAUUAAGUAUUUAGAUGUUCUGCAAGAUAUUUGAUGGGUUUAUAUCGAAGAGGAGCUUUUUUGUGCUAAACCUUUUAGAAACUUAGAAACCAAUUUCUUCCGAUAAAUGAAAUUAGCAUGAACACUAUGUUUCUGCAGAUCUAUGAAAGCAAAUCAUAUACACUUCAAUCAGCAAAACCACUAAAUUUAUUCUUUUGACAGGCAGUACUUUUGGACAGACCACGUGUUGUAUCUGCAAAUAUAGGAUAUGCAUGGGAUUUACCAGCUAACACAUUUGGUGCUGCCUACGCUAGAUUCAUGGGAUCCAGGAACUUUUCCCCGGAUGACCGUCCACUAGUGCGCUUCAUGGACACAGAUGAAUUGGCAUAUGUAGCCAUGCGGGCUCGUGAAGUGCAUGAUUUCUGGCAUACCUUAUUCGACCUCCCCACCAACCUAGUUGGUGAGUCAGCACUGAAGGUGAUAGAGUUUGAGCAAAUGUACCUUCCUAUGUGUAUAAUGUCUGUGGUAGGAGGCACAACAAGAUUCAACGAGAAGCAGAGAAAAUUGUUCUUACAGCAUUAUUUCCCAUGGGCAGUUCGAGCUGGAAUGCAGUGCACAGAUCUUAUGUGUGUAUAUUAUGAGAAGCACUUUCAUGAGGAUUUAGAUGAUGUCCGAAGGAAAUUGGGCAUUAUUCCUGCUCCAGCUGUUCCUAAACAAAAUGCAGCUUGAUUGGCAGUAGUUGCUAUUGGCUGGCUGAAGGGAGGCUGUGCCUCAUUUUGAGGAUUUACCUUACUAUGUUAUCCUGUUUGAAAUAUGUACAGACAGUUCUAUUUGCAAAUACCAAACAGUAUCUUCAUUUGGCAUAUCCCAUAUUAUUAUUCUCAUAUACAUAACUACAUAAUGUAAAUGGUUGGAACCUGGGUGUCAUUAGUUUCUCAAUCUGAUAAGAACCCUACUCGCUACAUGCAGAAGAAACUUUGCUUUCUGUAAUUUAACCUUUCAUUUGGUUAGCAUUCUCAUCUCAUCUCAAACUCACAUCAACCCUCUCAAAGCAUCAACCACCCUCACAAACCCUCGUCUCAUUGCCAACCUUGCUGCCAAUCCCGUUGCUGCCAUUGCCAUAGCCCUUGCUGCGGUCGCCAUCGCCCUAGCUGCAGUCCCCUUCACCCUUGCUGCUGUCUUUGUCAGCUGCUGCUCCAGUCUUCUCAGCCGUUGCUGCCAGGUAUUGUUGUUGUUUUAAUACACUUCUAUGGUGUUUUAGCAGAAUAACAGACCUUGGUUUCUAUGGUAGUUUUAUUUGAUUUUUUUGGCAAUAUGUCCACUUGAUGCCAAUUAACCCUGUUGAUUAGAAUCUAUGGGUUUGCAUGAUUAUCAUUUAUUAAUGAGAUUGCAGUACUUUGAACAUUUUUUCAGCAUAUUUUGAACUAGUUGGCCUUGAAGGCUCUUGUGAAUUUCCAUUAUGAAUUUGUUUGUUCUAGUGAGAUUAAGUUAUGGAGAAAGAAAUGAAUAUGAUUGUUAAGAAAAUACAUAAAGGUUGGUUGGACUAUACUUUGCAUAAGAGUUUCUCAGUUAACGCCAUUAAUUCAUGGAUUUUGAGGUGAUCCGUGACUGUUAAGUUCCACGUUUAUUUUUUUCUUGUUGUUGAGGUGGUUAUUAGGUUUCUUUCUUGAUAAUGCUUUGGGAGCUGUAGAAAUAGGGUGGUGCGAUCUCAGGAAUGAGAUUAUCAUGGUAUGAGUGGAGAUGGAAUUUUUGUAUAAUUAUUAAAAAUGCACUAGGAAAAUAUAAUGUGAAAGAAGCUUGUUUAGGAGUUAGGGUUAUUUUUCUAUUUGAUAUUACUAUUUAAGAUAUAUUUAACUGUAAUUUGUUGAUGUACAAGUUAUAAUAAAUAUUGUAUCUUAUUUAGGGUAUUAUUUUAAAUUUUAUUAAUUUUAUACUUGGUUGUAUUAAUAUAUUGAAUACAUAAUGUUGGAUACUUAGAUUUGACUAGUUUAUAUAUUAUAAUUUUUUUUCAUUAACUUUUGUUAAUAUAUUUUAAAAUUAAAUUAUAGUAAACAAGUUUGGUAAAUAUGUACUCAUUUAAUUACCCAAAUAUUCAUAUAAACAGGUUUUAACGGGUAGGGUACCUGCUACUUGUUUAUAUAUCCAUAAAAUUUAUUUAAUAGUCAUUUAAUUUUAAUUUAAACGGGUUUUAAUCGGGUUCGGAUAGUAUGUGGGUAUUCCUAUUCGGAUCUGGGAUGGGUUCGGGUAAUAAAAAUAAUUUUUUAAAUGGAUUUGAGACGGAUUUGGAUAAUAUGUUAUUUAAACGGGUUCGGGUUCGGAUAUUGAUAAAUGGGCGGGUACUUUAUUCGUUGCCAUUCCUACAUAUAAUUAUAGACUAAGAAGAGCUCUCCCCGUCCUCUGCGGUAGCUGAUAACACAAUAAUAUAUGCAUUUUAUAUGAUAUAUAUAUACAUUAUUUUUCAUAUUAUCUUUGCAUAUUUAAUCUUUUAGAGCUAUUAUUCGUUGUUUUUGAUAUUUUUCUCAUCGGGUUCGUUUUGUUUUAUUUUUGUAGAAAUUGGCUCGAGUUGCUAGGCGUUGGCGAGGAUGUUUGUAGAUUCGUUCAUGGUCAAGCACGAUAUCAAAGAGAUACUCAUGCCUAGGAGGAUCUUAUAUCGCGAGACAAGUAAUAGAAGCUAUCCCGCAGCCACUACGCGACUUGGCUUUCAAGGCCAACGAUAAAGCAAAGAAACAGUCCACUCCGCCCCCUGCUCACUGCCUGCCCAUGGCUGGAUCUGCAAAAUUGCAUUUUGGACACCUGUCUAGUCGAAUUUUUAGGGUGAAAAUCUAGCCAAACUCAUGGAUAUCCUAUGAUAUAAAUAGAUGGUGAAAAGAACCUGAAAGGGGAGCCCCCCCUUCUCCUUUUCUCUUUAGUUUUAGGCUGUGUUUUCUUUCUCUAUUGUAUGUUACUUUUUUUUGUGCUUUGAAGAUUUAUUAAAGACCUCAUCAUUCAAUUAUCAAUCCAAGUAUUUUCCUUUUCUUUUUUAAGUUGUUAUUAUGUUUUCUUUUAUAAUCUAUUUUGUUUAUUUAACUAUCAUCAGUGAGUAGUUUUCUAAUCCAGGGUUAAGUGAAUUCUAGCCAUGAUUGAUGUAUGAUUUGUUCCUUUAAUUCUCCAAAUUAAUUAUUUAAUUGCUCUUGCUUAAUUGAUUGUGCAUAUUCCAAUACUAGAUUAUGGAUAAUUAGUAUUGUUAUGAUUCUAUUGCCUUUAUCACAACGGGACAGAUUUGAAUAUUUCAAUUAAGGGCAUGAAAUUCUCUAUGGGAGUAGGUAGAAUGGAUUGUUAGAAAAUUAGAGUAUUGAGUUUAAUGUCUUUAAUUUGCAUGAUUCCACGAGAGUAGAUUUUGAUUGCAUAUUAGGAAAGCCUUUAAUACUCGGGAGAGAUCUAUGGUAUUUUAUAGGGUUUACUUUUCCUUAUGAACAUUUAUUUAAUUAGUUUGGGGUAGGAACUUAUCUUUGCAUUAAUUAUGCUAGUGGGGAUACUUAACUCUAAGUGUUUUUUAUCCUUGAAUUUAUUCUCAUUAUUAUUAAUUGCAUUAAUUAGACUUAGAUUAAUUCUUCCUCAAUGGUUGAUUUGGUUACUUAGCAUUAAUUAAAGUCAAGAUUAGCUAGUUCUUACUACUUCAGUCUCUAGGGAUUCGACCCUUGCUUGCCCGACUACAUAGUUAGGAGGUCUAGUUAAGUUAUAUUUAAUAGGCACGCGACAGCCUUGUUAGUAGCCUAAGAGCUGCACUAAGUUCCUGUGCCUCAACCUUGCCAUGCUGAUAAUCUCAGCUACAAAUUCUUUCAUCCCUUUUUUUGAAUCAUGUGAGACUUUCUUCACUGCAACUUGAACAUUGGAAGAAGGGAGUACUCCUCUAGAUACUUUUCCAAAGCUUCCAGCUCCAAAAAAUUCAUCGUCUUUGAAGCCUUUAGUUGCUUUGCAUAGAUUCUUGUAGGAGAACCUUUAAGGACCCUAUUCCUUUUUGCAAUCUUCAUGUAUUUCUUUAUAUUCUUCUUCCUUAUAAUGAAAAUGCCAAUAAUAAUUGUUAUCAGAACUACCAUUACUGCUGCGAGUAAAACUAUAAUUAAUGCUGCUGGUUUUUUCUUUCUUUCCUGAAUUAGGGAAGUGAAGGGCUUUGAAAUGUCAAGGUUUUGUGCUCUUCCAGCUUUAUUGAAGCUCCAUCCAAGAAUAUAAUGGCCACAUGGAAGCAUACCAAUUGCUGUUAUGCAUGCAAAUAAAGGGGCUAAUGCCUUGUAUGUUGGCUAUAUUCUAACCAAUAUCUCUUUUGCAAUCAUGAAGCUAUCUUAUCACCAUCUCUUCUUUUAAAUGUGUCAACUUGUUUGAAAUGAUGGCUGGAAGUGUAUCAUUUUUUUCCAAGUACACAUACUUCAAAAUGGCCAGGUAAAGUUUUCAAUUCUACUUUUGGUGCAUGCAUCGCAAAAGGCAAUAUAUUUUUUUAUGAAUAUCAAAUUUCUUAACUUCAUACCUCUUUAAAGCCGAUGGCAAUAAUUGUAAAGCCAUAAUUGCUUCUUCUACUUCAAGACUUAACUCGAGUUCAUUCUCAAUUUGCAUCAAGCUUUGACUAAGCACCACUUUAAGCUCAUCUUCUCCAUUCAAAUUAAAAGUAUCCUACACCAACUAGACCUGUUCAUGGACUUGGAUAUCCGCCCAAGCCUGCCCAAGAAUUUCUGGGCUUGGACACCUCUUUUUUUAUGUUAAGCCCACCUAAGCCGGAACCGGGCAAAGCCUGCUUAUUUUUUAGACAGGCUUGAAAAUAUCAUUUCUUUAGAGCCCACCAACAAGCCUGACCUGACUCAGAAAUCAUAAAGAAAACUAUAGUAUAUUUUUUAUGAUGGCCGAGCUUGGUUAAAAGUUUAGGCCCGCAUAGCCAGGCUGGGCCGCGCUUGGACCUGGACUUGAAAACUUCAAGCCCGACCCGAGAUUUAAAUAGGUCUAGCGCCAACUGAUCAAUAACAUCAAUAAAGUAAAUAGUUAGAUCUUAUGCAGGAUAUUUCAUAGCAUCAAAGAUAUUAAAUUUAACAAUCUCGCCAUCAAAUUCCAUGGUGCGUAUACCAUGCUCCACAUUAAUUUUUGUUUUAGCUGUCUUGAGAAAGAAUUGCUCUAAUAAGAUUGGUGUUGAACUAGAUAAAUCAAUGUCUUCCAUUCUUAAAGUAUAAAAAUCGAUUGGGAAGACUAACUUUUUAACCUGCAAGGCUAAGGAUUUAUCUAAGGUAGGUGAAAGAAGUGCAUGCUAAAGUUAGAAGGACAUCGUGUGAGAAGAAGUAGAGAAAACGUCAAGAUGUUAUUGCUAGUUCUGUGAUGUAUUAGUGUCCAUUAAGGCUAUUGGUGACGUUGGUUGUGUUUUAUUAUUAUUGUUGUUGAUUUUUAUUUUUAUUGUUACUGUUGUUAUUUUUUUAUUUUGCUGCUAUUGAUUUAUUUUUUCAUUGAUGUUGUUAUUUGGUUCAAUAAAGAGAAGAGUAUGAUGGUUCUUAUAGAGAUGAUAUUCGCAACGAUGGCAGAUAGAAAAUAAAGAAGGUGGAGGAAGAUGAUGGUGGUUGGGGCGAUGGCUGAAGAGCUGGCGGUGGAGCAGUGACGAUUUUAUUUGGGGCCAAUGGGGGCUGUUGCCCUCCUCAAUCCCAAAAUUACAAUACCUUUAGUUUUUUUUUUAAAAUUUAAUUUUUAUUUAUUAUCCUCACUAAUAUUUAUAAUUAUUUUUAUUUUUAAAAUCUUCAUAAGUUUAUCUUUGAUUUUUUUAAUUUUUAAUUUUUAAUUUUUAGUUUCUAUUAAUUUUUCUUAUUUUGUACAAUAUUGAUAAAAUUGUCUUUAAUCUUUAUUAUUUUUUUAUAUUUUUCUUUAGUUUAUGUUAGUUCUUUUUACUCCACUGAUUAAAUUUGCUAGAAUCGCCACUGUGGUGGAGGAAGAUGAUAGUGGCUGUGGUGGUGGUGGUGGAGGAAGAGCUGGCAAUGGCGAUGGAUUACGAGCUAGUAGCGACGAUGAAUGAAGAGCUAGCGACGACGAUAGAGAUGGAGAUGGCGGUAUUUGGGACGAUGGUGCUCUCUUCUUUUUCAAUUAUUUUCUCUGAUUCUGUAAAAAGAAUCGAAAGAAAUUAUGUAAUUAUUUUAUUGAAUUCUUUUUAUUUUUUUUAUAUAUUUGUAAUAUCAAUCAAAUUAUCUAUGAUUCGAUUCUUUUUAUACAAGUUUAUAUAGAAAUUAUUUUCAUUAUUUUAGAAAAAAAUUCUCAUCAAGAAAUAAAAAAAAUAAAAAAAUUAAAAGUAGUAUUAUUUUAUAUUUUUUAAUAUAGCUUACUUUCCCACAAAUGUGUGUAAAGACUACUCUCUUAAAUUUGAAAUAAACUGACCAAUUUAUCAAAUGUGUGAAGUAAUUAGGCCAAAAAACUGAUUUUAGGGUGAUUUAAACCUACCAAAUAAAUCCAGAGAGCAAAUUGCUACUUAAACCUUGCUCGAUAUAUAUAUAUGGGGUUAUGAUUUGCCGUUUGAAUAGGUAAAGGUUCCAACUUCCGGUUUUAAAGAGAAUUUCCAAAAAUAUUAAUAUUUGGAGUAAUUAUGACUUCCCUACUAAAUUUUUCAUUAUUGUAUUCCUAAUAUUUCAUCACUUUCUAUUGUAAUGUUGUUUGGGUAGCAUAUAAUUCUUAUAUUCAUUGUAUUAAUAAAAUCUAAAAUAUUUAAAAUUUUAUUGAAAAAGACAUUUAAAAGUAUUUUAAAUUAUUAUUAUUUUAUAAAACAUGAUAAAUAAUUUUAAAAUAUUAAAAUACAUAUCAACUAAUUUUAUGUUAUUAUUUAUGGUUAAAGUAUAACAAACUCCUAACAUUAGCAAUAGAUAACCCAAAACUAACAUAAUUUUUUUAAUAGGUACAAUCAGGAACCUAAGGAUGCCCUUUUAGUACGUAAUAAAUUUUUACAGAAACAUCUGAAAUAUUUACAGCAUAUUCCUCAAGGUUCAGCUUCGCCAAUUUCACGGCAUCAAAUUGGUGGAACCAAUUCCAAGCUUGCAACUGUAGGCCAAACAUGAACAGUCCCUCCGUGGUUUAAGGAAUGCUUACCUCCUAUGUCGUGAAAUUGUGCAGAUUCAGCGACCAGUGCUGAGGACUGAGGCAGUGAUAGACAAACUAGAGUACUCGUAAGAUGCUACAGAUGAUAAAAUGCAAUCCUCAGCUUCAUUCUGGUUAACUAGGACCAACCCUGUACGAGGACUAUUCAGUGGUAUAUCUGGUAAGUCGGCCUUUCCAUCUAGAUAUUGCAUCACUUGCCUCAUAGUAGGCCUGACUGCUGGCGCAGGGUGAGCACAAAGCAGGCCUAGCUUCAAAACAAAUUCCAUUUCCUCCGCCAUAUACUUACCUUGCAAUUCAGGAUCGCUUGUGUCAAGAAUGACACCUUUUUUCCAACAUUCAAGAACCCAGUCUACCAGAAUCACUUCCCUGGGGGGUCUUUCUGGCUCUAUAGUCUUCCUUCCACAAGCCACUUCCAGUAUAAGUGUUCCAAAAGCAAAAACAUCACUGCUGGUUGUGAACCUGCCAGUUCUUGAAAUCUCUGGUGCAAGAUAUCCUAUAGUUCCAACAACACGUGUUGUUUGUGGAAGUGAUCCAUGAUCAUAGAAUUUAGCUAAUCCAAAGUCUCCUAACCUUCCUUUAAGUUCAGCAUCUAACAUAACGUUGCUAGCUUUCACAUCUCUGUGUAGAACAACUUGAUCCCACUCUUCAUGGAGGUAAAGAAGAGCAGAUGCAACUCCUUUCAGGAUCUGAAGUCGUUGAACCCAAUUCAGGUUUAGUGUAUCAUUCUGAAAUAGGAAUCUGUCAAGGCUCCCAUUUGGCAUAUAAUCAUAUACCAAGAGCAGCUCUCUCUUUCGCCUGCAAUAGCCUAGAAGCUGAACCAGAUUCCUAUGUCGUAGCCUGCCCAUGCUGGCAAUUUCAGCUACAAAUUCCUUCAUUCCUUGUUGGGAACCAUGGGAAAACUGCUUGACUGCAACUUGUGUAUUGGAAGAAGGUAAAACUCCUUUAUAAACCUUUCCAAAACCCCCAGAUCCCAGAAGUUCUUUGUCUUGGAAUCCUUUUGUUGCUCUGUAGAGAUCUCUGUAAGAGAAUCUUUGCGGGCCAUAUUCUUGUUCCCAAUCUUCAUGCAAUUCUUCAUAUUUCUUCCUCUUUAUAUAGACAGCUCCAAAGAUUGUGAUUAGAACAAUACUUGCUGUUAUCAACGGGAUCAUAAUUCUUAAAUUUGGUUUUUUACCUGAUUUUGGUUUCGGUGGAAGGGAAGGAAGCUUUGACAUAUCAAGACUUUGUGCGGGCCCACUUCUGUUGAAGCUCCAACCAAGAAUAUAAUGAUAGCUUGCCAUAGAUCCUGUAGAUGAAGAAAAACCAACAUACAUAGAAUCCAAGAGUACUAUAGAAAGAUCAAUAGUUGUUGACAAGAGAGGCUUUUCUGGCUUCUUGCUUGUUAUAGGCGCUAGUGUUACAUUCAGUAACUUCUCCACAGCAUCAUAAUCUAUCCACACCUGCAUUGGACUUCUACUUAUGAGCUCUAAGCUCUUGUUUUGAUUGUCUGAAAAGUAUGUUGCUGAGGCUGAUGCAUUAGAUAUCAAGCCAUUCACAUCAAUCCCAACAUGGUUGUCAUUGAUGUCUCUAAAAUCAGGAGUCCAUAUAGUGUCAAGCUCAACAGCAAAGACAUGGUUUGAGUCCCGGCCAUUGGUUGAUGAAUUAAAGAGUCCCAAGUAUUGUAUCCCCAGAGCCCCUAUAAACUCCACAGUUGGAGAUAUAGUAAAAACAAGCCCAUGGCCCCCAAGAGUAGGAAUCUCAGGAUCAAUGGCAAAAACGAAACUGGUAGAAAAUGAGAGAGACUCAGCAUUUUUGGGUGAAGACUUAUCGAACUUGAGAGGGAACGGAAAGAAAGCACGGCCAAUUUGGUAGUAUGAAAUGUUUGUUAACUCCAAUAGGCCAUUGGGGUGAAUUUUUGCAAUCCCGUUGAGAUUCAGGUUGGAUUCGUUGAAGCCAUGGUAGAUGAACUGGUUUCUAUCUUGAGCAAAUCCUGAGUGUUUCAAGAAAACAGAAUUGAGAAGUACAAUAAGCAGCAACCUGAACACUGAAAACAUGGGGGGAAGCAAAGGUAAUCGGCUUGCUCAAUUAAUCAAAAACUUCUGUUGUGAGUUCAGAUCAUAGGCUGAAAUACUUGUCAAAGCUGUGUCGAAGGUAAUUAUACAUUUUCUUUAAGUUAUUGCAGUUUAAGCAAGAAGUAUUAACCAAUUCAUCCAUUAUUCAUGCUGGAUCCUAGUCAAGGGUCAAAAACUAUGAAUAUAGAAUGCCCACUUGAACAACAACUAUAUCUUAAUAAGUAGCAGAAGUUGACUGCUAUCAUCUAUCUUAUUAAAUUAAUGAUGGAAUGAUAUUCUUAUUUAUUGGUGACUGAAAUUUAAGAUAUCCCAUGUUUGAUUCCAAAAUUUAUUUUUUCUUAUUCACUACCAUCCAAUUUCGUUAGCUGUAAGCUGUAGAAGCAAUCAGGAGACUUUUGGGAAUUCAUUGACUUAACUAACUUCGUUAUAUGUUACUGAUAGUAUAUAAUAACAAUGGUCAAUAUACUGAUAAUAACGUAAAGUAAUAGUCAGUGGAUAGCUGCACUGAAUGAGCCUGUUAAAGUAAGUCAAAAUCUUAAUAUGCUGCUACUCUGAAUCCCCUGAUUCUGUAAGAAAUUUAGACCAGGAGUUAAAAGUUAAAACCAGAGUAAUUUUGUUUAAUUUCAUCAGGAGACCUCCCAUUACUACUUUCUUUCUCAUAAUUACAUUUAGCUGCAUACAUUUGUUAAAACAGAACCAUGCAUGUGCAUUUGCAUUACAGCCUGCAUAAGCUGCAGCAUGGAAGUAAGAUGGAUGUUGCUCAUAUCCCAUUGAUCUUAGGAUCCAAUUCCAUCUCCAAUUCAAACCCUUUAAAUAUUCAAGUAGCCUAUGACUUGUGCAAUUACAUUGGUGAACUACACUAAGAUCUUCUAAACCUGCUUGAACAUUCUGUUAUUCAUUUCUAUUGUCCUGUACACCAACCUUUGGUUUGCUAGUCUGCUAGCAAUUUAUCAGAAUCCCAUAUCAGCAAGCAAGAGAACUAAACAGGUAUUGUAUCCUGUAUCUGAUUCCAAAAUAUAUUGUCUUAUUUACUGUCAUCUAAUCUCAUGAAAUUAAUGUGGAAUAGACAGGAGGAAAUUGGAGAAUUCUUUUGGGAAUCAUUUGACUUGAUUAACUUUAGAAAAGAAAGCACUGGUAACAUAUAAUAAUAGCUAGUUGGUAACUGCUCUGAAUGAGCUGUUAGACUAGAUAAAAUUGUCAGUAUGAGACCUUGAUUCCACUGAAUCAGUAAUUAAGUUAGACCACCAAAUUAUAUUUAUUAAAACCUGCAAUUAAACUUUCUAAACUUAUAUUAUAAUUAUUUUAAUAGUAAAUUAAUCACAAUAAAAUAAAAGUAGAAACUUUCUUUUUUUUUUUUAAAAAAAAAAAAGACAGUGAGAAAAAAAAAGAAUGUAACAAGGAUGGAUUUUUUAAAAGUCAUAGUAAAAGGACUAAAAGAGCAGUAAAUAGAUAUUAAAAAAGUUUAAUGAUAUUUUCUUCUAUAUUAGUUGGCAUGUUAGUUUAAAUUUAUUAAUAAUAAAAUAAGAAUGAGUUUUAAAUUCAGAAAUAUUUCAAAAUUUUUAUCUGUAUAAUAUAUAAAUUAAAUCUAUAAUAAAAUAUAACAAUAAAACUUAUUUUUAUAUAUGUAUAUUUUGAUGUAAUAAUUAAUCUAAUAAUAAAAAAUUGAAAAAUUAAAAAAAUUCACUUUAAAGCAAUUAUUCUAUUAAUGAAAUAUUAUAAUAAAAAAAUAAUUAUUAUGAACACUUAAACUAAUAUAUCAAUAGAAUAAAACUAAAAUUAUUUCAUCGUUUCUUUUUUAUCUCUUGUCUUUAUUUUUUAUUAAAAUUUAGUAUGAAACUAUUCGGACUUAUAUAUAUAUAUUGUAAAAUUAUAAUUCAUGAGAUACUUAUAUAAUUAAGGACAUAUUAAAUUAAAUUAAUUAUGUAUAAAAUUACAUAAAUUAAAAUUAAAUUAUUAAUUUUAGAUGUUUUAAUUAGUCCAAAAAUUUCUUAAAGUUAAUUAAUAAUUAAUCUAUUUCCAACCUAAUUCUAUCAUAAUUGUAUUAAGAGUUAUCACUUGUACAUUUUUCUUUUAAAAUUCAAAUAAUUGACUAAAGAAAUUGAAGCAAUGAAAUAGCCAAAUUUAAAAAAUGUAAAUAUUGAUAGGAUAUAUUAGGAAUACUAUUCUAAAUAGAAAAUUAUAAAAGUCAAAAUAAUAGAAAAAGGAAAUUAUGGUGUAAUAAGUAUAAGGAUUAGUAUGUAAUUGUUAAUAAUACUUAGAAGUCAUGUUAAAUUAUUAAUAGAUGUUGUUAUAAGAUAGUAGGUAAUUUAACAAUGGUGUGAAAAUGAGUAUAUUACUUGAUUGAAACAGAAUCUAGAAACCUUAUAACAAAAAGGUCUCCAGAAAUCAUAAUCAAUCUAUCCAUUUCUGUGUAAUUACUAUUCUCCAUUAUCAAUACCAGAAAACUCACAAGUGUAGAUGAUAUGUCUACAAAGAAAUUUAAUGAAGUCUCAAUCUAAAAGAACUUGUCAACUAAGGAACCCUUAUGCUUGCAAAUGGUAACAAAGACCCAAAACCUUGUAUAUUCAUUGGCUGGUUCAAUUGGUGUUUCUUUUUUUUUUUUUUUAAAAAAAAAAAGAAAACAAAAUGAAUUACAAUAAACUGGUCCUAUUGAGUUGUAAGAAAUAUAUAAAAACAUAUAAAAUAAAUGCAAAAACACCCAAUCAACUUUGAGUUUUCAAAAAUAUUGUUGAUUUUUAAGAUGAUGCAUUAUAUUAUUGUUUUGAGUAUAUGAAUUCUGAUUUUACAGUUUGGUUGUUCUUGUUUAUAUAUACAAUGGUUGCAAUGAUAGCUUAAUCUAUAUAACGGCUGCCUUGAGACCUAUUUCUAACGUCUCAUUCUGAUUCAGGAAAAAUUGAAGUGGCCUUUUCCUUUGGCAUGGAUGGUUGCUCCCUUUCCUGGAAGUCUGUGAGGAAUAACCCUGCACGGGCUUUUCUGCUUGUGCAGUGUCUGAGACUUCCCUAUGAUCUUCUUCUUCUAUCCUUUUCUUUCUAUUGCAUUUAACACUUAAACUAAUAUAUCAAUAGAAUAAAACUAAAAUUAUUUCAUCGUUUCUUUUUUAUCUCUUGUCUUUAUUUUUUAUUAAAAUUUAGUAUGAAACUUUUCAGACUUAUAUAUAUAUAUAUAUAUAUAUAUAUAUAUAUUGUAAAAUUAUAAUUCAUGAAAUACUUAUAUAAUUAAGGACAUAUUAAAUUAAAUUAAUUAUGUAUAAAAUUACAUAAAUUAAAAUUAAAUUAUUAAUUUUAGAUGUUUUAAUUAGUCCAAAAAUUUCUUAAAGUUAAUUAAUAAUUAAUCUAUUUCCAACCUAAUUCUAUCAUAAUUGUAUUAAGAGUUAUCACUUGUACAUUUUUCUUUUAAAAUUCAAAUAAUUGACUAAAGAAAUUGAAGCAAUAAAAUAGCCAAAUUUAAAAAAUGUAAAUAUUGAUAGGAUAUAUUAGGAAUACUAUUCUAAAUAGAAAAUUAUAAAAGUCAUAAUAAUAGAAAAAGGAAAUUAUGGUGUAAUAAGUAUAAGGAUUAGUAUGUAAUUGUUAAUAAUACUUAGAAGUCAUGUUAAAUUAUUAAUAGAUGUUGUUAUAAGAUAAUAGGUAAUUUAACAAUGGUGUGAAAAUGAGUAUAUUACUUGAUUGAAACAGAAUCUAGAAACCUUAUAACAAAAAGGUCUCCAGAAAUCAUAAUCAAUCUAUCCAUUUCUGUGUAAUUACUAUUCUCCAUUAUCAAUACCAGAAAACUCACAAGUGUAGAUGAUAUGUCUACAAAGAANNNGAGUUGUAGAAUAUAUAAAAACAUAUAAAAUAAAUGCAAAAACACCCAAUCAACUUUGAGUUUUCAAAAAUAUUGUUGAUUUUUAAGAUGAUACAUUAUAUUAUUGUUUUGAGUAUAUGAAUUCUGAUUUUACAGUUUGGUUGUUCUUGUUUAUAUAUACAAUGGUUACAAUGAUAGCCUAAUCUAUAUAACGGCUCCCUUGAGACCUAUUUCUAACGUCCCAUUCUGAUUCAGGAAAGGUUGAAGUGGCAUUUCCCUUUGGCAGGAAUGGUUGCUCCCUUUCUUGGAAGUCUGUAAGGAAUAACCCUGCACAGGCUUUUCUGCUUGUGCAGUGUCUGAGACUUCCUUGUGAUCUUCUUCUUCUAUGCUUUUCUUUCUACUGCUUUCAACACUCCCCCUCAAGGUGGGUUCGUAGAGGUUGAUGGAAUCCAUCUUGCUGAGAAUGGCUUGAUGAUUAUUUUUGUUGAGAGCUUUCAUAAAUAUGUCGGCUAGCUAAUCAUAACUUCUGACAAAUGGUGUUUCAAUUUGUCAUGAUUAUACUUUUUCUCUGGUGAAGUGGCAAUCAACUUCGAUGUGUUUAGUACGUUCAUGAAAUACUAGGUUGGAUGCAAUGUGUCGGGCCGCCUGAUUGUCACAAUACAUCUGCAUAGGUCCUCUACAUUCUAUUUUCAUGUCGAGGAUACUUGCUUGAUCCAAGUGAGUUCACUUGCUCUAGAUGCCAUGGCUCGAUAUUCUACCUCUGCGCUUGAUCUUGCCACUACGCUUUAUUUUUUUUUUACUUUUCCAUGUUACUAAGUUUCCUCCUACGAAGGUGCAGAAUCCUAUCGUUGACUUUUUGUCACUGCCUCCUGCCCAAUCUGUAUCAGAAUAGCUAAUUAUAGUGUUAGAGUUAUUUUUUUUCAUUCAGAUUCCUUGCCCUCGGGUUCCCUUGAGAUACCUAAAUAUCCUAUCAAUGGCCUCUAGAUGACUAGUGCGAGGAGCAUGCAUAAACUGGCUUACCAUACUUACUGCGUAAGAAAUAUCGGGUCUAGUGACAGUUAGAUAGAUCAACUUUCCUACUAGGUGUUGAUAAUGUCCUAUGUUAUCUAACGGAUCACCAUCCUCCAAAUUAAGUUUAACAUUAGUUUCCAUUUGAGUGUUCGUAGGUUUAGCUCCUAGUUUUCCAAUUUCUUUUAAAAGGUCGAGUACAUACUUUCUUUGGGAUAAAAACAAGCUUUUAUGUGAUUUGGCUAUUCUAUUCCAAGAAAGUAUGAUAGUUGACCUAGAUCAUUGAUAUCAAAUUCCCUUUUUAAUUUUUGUUUAACUUUUUCAAUUUCUUCAUUAUCGUUACCGGUUAUGAUGAUAUCAUCCACGUAUACAAAAAUAAUGAUGAUGCACAUGUGAGUGUGUUUGACAAACAUAGAAGAAUCUGAAGUGCAUUUAUUGAAAUUGAUAUUUAAGAGGAAAAGGCUUAGCUUAGCAUAUCUCUUGGAGAUUGCUUUAGUCCAUAAUUGCCUUUUUCAGUUUACAUACCAAAGAAGGGUUUGAUGUGAACCUGUGACCUGGAGGGAGGGUCAUAUAGAGUUCCUUCUUCUAGAGUCCCUUGGAGAAAUGCAUUUUUAACGUCCAUUUGAAAUAGAUUCCAUCCUGAGUUAGUAGCAACAGAAAAUAGAAUGCAAACAGUAUUCAUUUUUGCUACUGGUGCAAAAGUUUCCUGGUAGUCAACGCUAUAGGUUUGUGUAAACCCUUUGGCUACUAAUAUGGCCUUGUAUCUCUCAACUGAUCCGUCACAAUUAAAUUUUAUUUUGUAUACCCUCCUACAGUUUUUUCUCUGUGGUGGUAGGGGAACAAUAUCCCAAGUGCUAUUCUUCUUUAAGGUAUAAAGUUCUUCUUUCAUGGCCUUGUACCACUUGGGGUCAGUGUUUGCAUCAUAAAAGGAUGUGGGUUCUGUGUGUGCCAUAAUGUCUCCUAGAUAGGCUUGAUACUGAUGUGACAUUGAAUCAUAAGUGAUGAAUUAUUGAAUUGGAUAUGAUAUCUUAUGGGAUACAUAGUCCUUUAACCUGAAAGGAGGCCUGGUUGGUCGAGUGGAUCUUCUUAAGGUAAUUUCUUCCUGAGGAGGUUUGAUUUCUUUGCUGCUUGUCACAUUCUCUCCCCUGAAGGAAUUGUCCUUAAGUUGAGAUGUUGCUCCCCCUCUGGGUGAUUGUCCUGAUUGGGAUUGCUGUUAUUAGAGAAAACAGGGUUAUCCGGAAAUAGUAAUGUGUGUGGCCCAUAAGUGUGGUUGGAAGUAGUACUAUGAUGGUCAUUCUCCUUAUAAUAAGGUUCAUGUUCUAGAAAUGAUACGUCCCUGGAAACAUAAGUUUUAUGAGUGAGGGGAUCAUAGCAUUUAUACCCCUUUUUUUUCCUACAGAGUAUCCUAAAAAUAGGAUUUUGGCGGAGCUUUUUAUCAAUUUUGUUAAGUCUUUUAAGAUGGACAUAAGCAGUGCAGCCAAAGACUCGAAUGUGUCCUAACUCGAUUUUUCUUCCUUUGAGGAUUUCUAAAGGACUGAGGUAUUUUAAUUUGGCACUGGGUAACCUGUUGAAAAGGUAGGUGGCAGUGAUGGGUGCAUCAGACCAGUAGGUAGAAUGGAUAUUAUUUUGAAAAAGUAGGGUACGGGUGACUUCAAAAAGGUGUCUGUUUUUCCUUUCUGAGACCCCAUUUUGUUCCGGAAUAUUGAUGCAAAUAGUUUGAUGAAGGAUGCCUUCCUUUUUAAAAAAUUCUAAAAGAUUUUGGUUUAUGUGUUCAAUGCCAUUGUCAGAACGAAAUUUUUUGAUUUUUCCGGUGUAUUGAUUUUUAAUAAAGUUAAGAAAAAAUUUGAAAGCAUGUAAACACCUUAUUUUUCCUUUUUAACAAAUAGAUCCAAGUAGUACGAGUAUAAUCGUCAAUAAAUGUGACAAAGUAUCGAAAAUGAUUAUAAGAUAUAAUAGGUGCAGGUCCCCAAACAUCAUAAUGAAUUAAUUCAAAUCUUUUUUCAGAAACACGGGAAGAUAUUGAAAAAGGAAGACGAAUGUGUUUGGAAAAUUUGCAAGUAUCACAAUGAUUGGAAUUAAAUUACAAUAAAAAAGUUUGUUCAAGACGUGGUCGGAGGGAUGCCCAAAACGCAAGUGCAUUAGCAUGCCUUGAUCGACUAAUCUUGUCGACACAAGACAUUGAUUGGUGGAAUCCUUUAGAUAGGAUAGUCCAUUGUUAUAAUGUCUCUCACCAAUCGUCUUCACUGUAGUUCGGUCCUGAAACAUUAUUGAAGAUGGUAAAAAAAUAACAUUGCAAUUUAAAUCAUUAGUUAUUGUACCAAUUGACAAUAAAUUGGACUUGAAGUCAGGUAAGAACAUAACAUUUUUUAGAGAUUUAUUAAGUAGUGUAGUAGUGCCACUACCUUGAAUUUGGAUUUUGUUUCCAUUAGCAACUGUCACAUGUUGGAAAUUUUUAGCGGGAUGGAAAUUUUGCAAUUUCAUGUGAUCAUAAGCACUAGAAUCAAUAACCCAAUCAUUUUGGCAUGUUUUUAAAUAUGGUGGUACAAAAUUAAAUGAAUUAGAUACGGAACCUGACCCAUUGGGUUGUUGAUGUUGAACCAGGGCUUAGAUUUGGGACAGUAAUUGAUUUAGCUGGACCGUGACUGCUGGGUCGGGUCCCUAUCGGAGUCGGGUCGGGUUGGGGUUGGAUCCGGAUUGAAAUCGGGUCGGGUCAGCUGGGUCGGAGUCGGGUCGGGUUUGCUCAUAACCCUCAGACCUGUUAUAAGCACCCGAUCCGCUGCUUCUCAAAUUUAACCUUUCAUUAGGGUUUUCUCUUCUACUUUUUUCGUCGAACCUUUUCUCCUUCUCACCUCUUCCCCCUUUCUUCACGCCUCUAGAGCUCUCUCACCCCCUAGACGGCCUUAGCUAUGGGUGGAGAUGCUAGCAGCCAUCACGAUGAUGGCCCUACUUCUUGUAAUGGUCACACCGCUCGAUGGUGCUAGGUCCUCCCCUCUGGCGGGCUUGCUCUCAUCGAGUGGUACAUGUUCGGUUGUCUGUGACAUCGAGGGCUGAGUUCAUCGUGCUUCUUCUUGUCUCUUUGCACUGGUUAUUUGAUAUCACAAUGUCUAUUCUGGGAAGCUCUGUUCAUAGGAGGAUCUGCGACCUCAACCUUUCGUAGCUUGAGUCCAUUCCUCCCAAGUAAGUGUACACGAGGUCUUACUCUGCUCUUUUUUGUAUUUCUUCUAGGUUGUUUGAUGGCAGAAGGUAAUUCUGCAACUCUUUCCAACUGAUUAAAAUUUUUGUUGCAUAUUCCGAAGAGCUUUUUGUUCCCUGUGUGAUUUGUGACAGUUCAUAUUUGAGUUUGAAUAUAUGUGCAAAGUUCUGUUAAUGGCCAUAUAACCCCUUUAUUUUUUCCUAAAUUGCCUUUGAUGAUUCCAUUAAAAUGCAGAGUCGGGAAAUCUGUGUUUCCAUGGUGUUAGUGAUCAUCGACAUGACCAUAUGGUCUGUCGUUUGCCACUCCUCUAUUUUUUCUAACUCUUCUUCUGUUGGGGCUUCUGGCUUUUCUGGCUUUGGUUUUUGUUUGGUUCUAGUGAUAAACCCCAGCUUUCUUCUACCGCUGAGGCCGAUAUACAUUGAUUUUGACCAUUCAAAAUAAUUUGAGUUGCCUUUCUUUAUUAUAUUGGUUAAUUUGUGGUUUUCAGACAUGGGUAAGAAAGAGUUUCUUUUUUUGUUGAAGGGAAGGAUGGGUAGAUGAUGAGCACAGGUUUAAACCGGCUCUGAUACCAUGUUGAUUCUUAAGAUGAUGAAUUGUAUAUUAUAUUGAGUAUAUGAAUUCUGAUUUUAUAGUUUGAUUGUUCUUGCUUAUAUACAAUGGUUGCAACGGUAGCCUAAUUUAUACAACGGCUGCCUUGAGACCUAUUUCUAACGUCCCAUUCUGAUUCAGGAAAGAUUGAAGUGGCAUUUCCCUUUGGCAGGGAUGGUUGCUUCCUUUCUUGGAAGUUUGUGAGGAAUAAUCCUAUAUAGGCUUUUCUGCCUGUGUAGUGUCUGAGACUUCCCUGUGAUCUCCUUCUUCUAUGCUUUUCUUUCUGUUGCUUUCAACAAAUAUGCUAUCUAAAAAAUUACAGAAAAUACGUUGGAUUUGUUUUUGUUGAUUUACUUACUGGUUUUGAUAGAUUUCUACUUAGUGAAUUUAUAUUUAGUUUAUGUAGGUUUUUCCUUAUUUUCUGUUUAGUUUCUAAUUGAAUUUAUAUUCACUUUCUAGACGAAUUUCUAGUUUUGGUUAUAUUUGGAUGUUGAGCUUUUAUUAGAAUCUUGUGAGUUUAUGUUUAGUUUUAGUUCGUCUAUUUUAUAUUUUCUAUUUAGUUUCUAUUAAGUUUGUAAGAAAUUAUAAUUUCAAAAACACUAAAAUAAACAACAAAAGCAAACUUUCUACGCUUGAAACUUAGUUCAAGUGGCAAGAAAAGUUAAAUAAUAAAUUUUCAAUUUAUUAGAAUAACAUACAAUAAUAACUUUGUUUCUGUAUUUAACUUUGUUGGUUUCUAUUAGUUUCCCGGUGAUUUUGGUUAGUUUAUGUUUUAAACGAAAGAAUAUAAAAAAGUAAUUAUUUUAAAAAAACAUAAUAAAUAUAAAAAUAGCGUAAAAAUGCAAAAACAGAAAAAAAGGAGUUGGUAAUUUAGCUUAUAACUCUAAAUAAUUUAGUAAAUAUGAAAUGAUAUUUCUUACUUUCAUCCUAUAUUGAACAAAAAUCGUAGGCAAUUGACAUAGCUGUCAGCUAAAAUAAAUUUCAAAUGUUUCUAUGUGCAAGAACCAUUUAAAUGACAUCUAAAGUAAUGUUUUGUAUCUAAUUGUCAUUUAAAUGGUGUUCAUGGACAGGGUAAUAGCAGCAAGGAAACACUUUUGAUUGAACUGAACAUAGUUAUAGUAGGAGCAAGAAAUUUUGCUGAAGCAAGGAGAAGGAGGUUUUGGUCCAGCUUGAUAUGAAUCAAGGCUGCCAUGAGAUUCCAUUGCGAAGGCAUGUAAUAAAAUGUCUAAAAUGGAAAUGCAACUCAUGCAUGAAAACAAGAGUCCAACCUUAUAAUGAAGCAUUCAGUCCAUUUGAAGAAUAAAAGCCAUUCGAUCACGAUUAGACUUCUGGGCUUAAUUCAUAUUUAUACGGGUUCUUAUCUUUUUGGGUUUUAGCUUAAGUAAUUAUUUUAUUUUAUUUUUAUUUAAUUAAGGAUUAUUUUAUUAGAUGUGAGUUAUAUGUAUUGUGUGUGGAGUUACAAAUGAGUGCAUAUGUUUAGUUGUCAUUUGGGAGUUACAAAAUGAGGGCCAUCAAUGUAAAAACAACCACUUUGAAUGAGUUUUAAGGAGAAUUAAAGGAAAAAACGUGAGAAAGCUUAAAAGAUAUCCAUUUAGCUUUCUUUAUCUUGUUUUGGCUAUAAAUAUCAAAGCCAAAUUUAUUUGUAAAGAAGAAUUGAUGAAUGAUAAUAUUUAUUUGCUCUUUGUAAGUGUUGUUGCUUAAGUUCUUGCAUGAACUCUGAACUUAUCAAACUAUUUUUUAGUUUGUGGCAUUCUCUAAUUAAAAUCUUGUGUUUGAUUCUUAAUUUAUCAAAUCAUACUUAGUUUGUGGCGUUUGGAGUUGAAUUCAAGUGCUAGUUUCAUUAUUGGAACUAGUUUUCCCUAAUUUCACUUUAGGAAAUUCUUGGGUUUUGGAAUCAUCUUGAUUGAAGGGUGUUUUCUUGCAUUCCAUAUGUAUCAUAACUCAUUAGUUAUUGGGGUGUAUGGUUGCUAAGAUGAUGAUUUCCUAUCAUUUGGUAUCAGAGCUUGCUUCAAGUUGAGGUUUGCUUAUCUUUGUGUUUUGUGUGUUAUUGAAGUUUCUCAUCUUCUUUACUUUUUUUUUUGUGCCGAAUUCUUCUUAUUUCAAUUUUUUCCUUCUGAGUACUCUUUGUUUUAAAGUUUACAUCUUUGUGUUCAUUAAAUAAAUUUUUGUUUUCCCUUCUUGUUAAUCUUUUUAUGUUGUUUUUUUUCUUUUCCUUCAAAUUUCAUAUCAUAUUUUUUGUUCUUUCCUUCAAACGUCUUUGUGGUUCUUUAUUUUCAUCUUUAUUUCAUUCUUAGACGUAAAUAAAAAAAUGUUUCAUGAAGCUGAAUUCAUUAGACAAUAUCGAAAUCUUCGUUAUCAAUCUUAUAAUAAGAUGUGGGGUCAAGGAAAUGAUCGUUAUGAAGACUAUAGACAAAAUUUUUAUUCUUUUAAAUCUAAAUCUAAGAGGUUAGAUAGACAACCAAGUCAAAUUUUUGUUGAUAAAUUGUCCAAGGAGAACAAAUCUUUAAGAAUCGAUCUUGAAGCAUUUAAGCAUGAGCUUGAAGAGUUCAAGAUGUUGAUUAAUAGCUUUCUUAAGCAUCUUAAAGAUAAAAGCCGAUUCUAAGCCAUCAUUAAAGACUAACAACGAUGAUGUAAAGGAGGUAAAUUGCUCCACUAGAGUCAAUGUAGAUUUUGAAGACUUGAUAAUUGGAGAUGGCAAGAAAGACAAUGACUUGCUACCUUUGAAUGAAUUCAAUAAUGAAGAAUUUGUAGCUGAUGGAGAGGCAAUGGUUCAGUUAGUGAAGAAUGAAAGAGUUUUGCUUGAUAAAACUAAGACUUUUGAGCAUGUUGAAUUUAUUGGUACUAAAAAUAUUAUUUUUUCUAAAGAUCCUCUAAUCACUAUUGCGAAGAAAUUGCAGGUUGAUGAUAGCAUUUUAUUACCGUUUGAUAUUAUAUGUUUAUUUCUUUCGUAAUAUUUGGGCAAACUUCGAGGACGAAUUUUCUUUCAAGAAACAGGGAAUGAUAUAAAUCAAGGCUGACAUGAGAUUCCAUUGUAAAGGCAUGCACCAAAAGGUCCAAAAUGGAAAUGCAACUCAUGCAUGAAAAUAAGAGUCCAACCUUAUAUGAAGCAUUCAGUCCAUUUUGAAGAAUAAAAGUAAUUCGGCUAUAAUUAGGCUUUUGGGCUUAAUUCAUAUAUAUAUAUGAGUUCUUAUCUUUUGGAUUUUAGCUUAAGUAAUUGUUUUACUUUAUUUUUAUUUAAUUAAGAAUUAUUUUAUUAGGUGUGAGUUAUAGGUGUGUUGUAUGGAGUUACAAAUGAAUGCACAUGUUUAGUUGUCAUUUGGGAGUUACAAAAUGAGUGUCAUCAAUGUAAAAAACAACAAUUUUAAUUAGUUUUAAAGGGAAUUAAAGGGAAAAAUGUAGAAAAACUCAAAAGACAUCCAUUUAGAUUUUUUUGUCUUGUUUUAGCUAUAAAUAUCAAAGCCAAAUUCAUUUGUAAGAGAAGAAUUGAUGAAUGAUAAUUUUUAUUUGUUUUUUGUGAGUGUUUUUGCUUAAGUUCUUACAUGAACUUUUAACUUAUCAAACUAUUUUUAGUUUGUGGCGUUCUCUAACUAAAAUCUUGUGUUUGAUUCUUAACUUAUCAAAUCAUACUUGGUUUGUGGCGUUUAGAGUUGAAUUCAAGUGCUAGUUUCAUUAUUGGAACUAGUUUUCCCUAACUUCACUUGAGGAGAUCCUUGGAUUUUGGAAUCAUCUUGAUUGGAGGGUGUUUUCUUGCAUUCUAUAUGUAUUAUAACUCAUUAGUUAUUGGGACGUAUAGGUGCUAAGAUGAUGAUUUCCUAUCACAGCUUACAAGGUAACUACUCAUUUCUUCAAUGCAUAACAAGCGUUUUCUUGUAUAUUUUAUGAGGGAAAACUAAAUGAUGGGCAAGAAGUCGCAGUAAAAAGGAUAUCAACAAAUUCAGGACAGGGUUCAAAGUAGCUUAAAACUAAAGUAACGCUGGUCGCUAAACUGCUACCCUAACUUCACUUGAGGAGAUCCUUGGAUUUUGGAAUCAUCUUGAUUGGAGGGUGUUUUCUUGCAUUCUAUAUGUAUUAUAACUCAUUAGUUAUUGGGAUGUAUAGUUGCUAAGAUGAUGAUUUCCUAUCACAGCUUACAAGGUAACUACUCGUUUCUUCAAUGCAUAACAAGCGUUUUCUUGUAUAUUUUAUGAGGGAAAACUAAAUGAUGGGCAAGAAGUCGCAGUAAAAAGGAUAUCAACAAAUUCAGGACAGGGUUCAAAGUAGCUUAAAACUAAAGUAACGCUGGUCGCUAAACUGCUACCCUGGAACCUGGCAAGGCUGGCAGCCUUUGUGUAUUUCUCAUGGCUCAACAGUGGUGUGGUUGCUAGUCCUUGAUGGCUUUGUCCAUAUAAGUUGUCUAAUUGUCAUCCUAAUACUGUCUCUUUCUUUAGCUUUCCAAUGAUAUUUAUAGCAGGUAUCUGCUAGCAGUGAUUAACUAUAAUCUCAAGUUUUUUCUUUAUUCGUUUAAAAAGAAAUCUUGUCAUAAAAAUGUAAACUAUCUACGGAUCAAGAAGUAUAAAUAACAGGAAUAACUUUCUUAUUGAAACUCUUCGAUGUAAACUCUUGCUAGACUGUUGAAACCAUAAAAUUGUGCAUAUAUAUGUGGUCUUAAUGCUCGAGCCUCUUUCAGGAAUUAAAGUUGGUUUCAGACCUGUCAUAAAUUUGAAGGAACAGUAGUACUUAGGAAGAUUAAUUUUCUAUUCUGAAGAAUAUAUUUAAGAAUAAUUAAGGAGUCAUUUACUUAAGAUUAACUCCCUUUUCUAUAUAUGAAGGAUUAUCUGAUAAAAAUAUUCCAGUCACAGACUACCAAGUUUGAUGGCAAUGCUUUUCUUCCAUUCGCUCAAACUUGGACCUUGUAUCAAAUCAAAAUCUAUCAUGUACCUUGAACAUUUUUAACCAAAUCUUUUAUGUUCAUUUACAGUAAGAAAAUAUAUUUGACUUAUCUAUUUUGUUAAGAUUUAGAAUUAUGUUACCACUUUUAAGUAUUUAGGUACUAUUUUUGUUAAGGUCAAUAUAUUGAUAAUAGCAAGUGGAUAACUGCACUGAAUGAGCAAGUUAGAGUGGGUCAAAAUCAAAACCUGUAGUUGUCAAUUUUAUCCUUCACUCGUGAGUUUUUUGUGAACUUCAGCACCCAGAGAUAUUUGAUUGAAUUCAUCAUGAGAAUUUCAUUACAUUUAGCUGCAUACAACUGUUGAAACAAAACCAUGUAUUUGUAUGAAAGCAAGCAAAUGGUUGUUUGCUUAUUAUAGCCAGUUGGUGGCUGCUAUGAAUUAGCUGUUAGACUAUAUCAGAAUGUUAGUAUGCUACCUUGAUUCCCCUGCCUCAGUAAUUAAUUUAGACUAAAACCUGUAGUUGCAGAUUCAGCGACCACGGUUGAGGNNNNNNNNNNNNNNNNNNNNNNNNNNNNNNNNNNNNNNNNNNNNNNNNNNNNNNNNNNNNNNNNNNNNNNNNNNNNNNNNNNNNNNNNNNNNNNNNNNNNNNNNNNNNNNNNNNNNNNNNNNNNNNNNNNNNNNNNNNNNNNNNNNNNNNNNNNNNNNNNNNNNNNNNNNNNNNNNNNNNNNNNNNNNNNNNNNNNNNNNNNNNNNNNNNNNNNNNNNNNNNNNNNNNNNNNNNNNGGCCUAGCUUCAAAACCAAUUCCAUUUCCUCCAUCAUAUAUUUGCCUUCCAAUCUAGGGUCACUUAUCUCAAGUAGUACCCCAUUUUUCCAACUUUCGAGGACCCAGUCUACCAAAAUCACCUCUCCAGCUGGUUUUUGUGGCUCUAUAGUCUUCCUUCCACAAGCCAUUUCUAGCAUAAGUGUCCCAAAAGAAAAAACAUCACUGCCGGUUGUGACCCUUCCUGUUCUUGAAACCUCUGGCGCAAGAUAUCCAACGGUUCCAACCACACAGAUUGUUUGAGGAGCUGAUCCGCGAUCAUGAAACUUAGCCAGUCCAAAAUCUCCUAACCUUCCGCUAAGAUCAGCAUCUAACAUAACAUUGCUAGCUUUCACAUCUCUGUGCAGAACAACUUGUUCCCAUUCUUCAUGGAGGUAAAGAAGGGCAGAUGCAACUCCUCUCAGGAUUUGAUAUCGUUGAACCCAAUUCAGGUUCGGCGUGUCAUUCUGAAAUAGGAAUUUAUCAAGGCUCCCAUUAGGCAUAUAAUCAUAUACCAAGAGCAGCUCUCCCUUUCGCCUGCAAUAGCCUAGAAGUUGAACCAAAUUCCUAUGCCUUAGCCUUCCCAUGCUGACAAUUUCAGCAAUAAAUUCCUUCAUUCCUUGUUGGGAAUCAUGGGAAAACUUCUUGACUGCUACUUGUGUAUUUGAAGAAGGCAAUACUCCUCUGUACACCUUCCCAAAACCCCCAAAUCCUAGAAGUUCUUUGUCUUUGAAUGCUUUGGUUGCUUUAUAAAGGUCCCUGUAAGAGAAUCUUUGAGGGCCAUAUUCUUUCUCCCAGUCUUCACGCAAUUCUUCAAACUUUUUCCUUUUCAAUAUAUAGAGUGUUCCAAAUAUAGCAAUCAGCACAACACCUGCCACAAUGGAUGAGGCCGUAAUAAUUAACUUUUUAGGCGGAUGUGAAGGCGGUGCAGGCAGUGAAGGAGGUGGAGCUGGAGGAGUUACAGGAAGUGAAGGAGAUGGAGGAGCUAAAGGAAGUGAAGGAAGCUUUGACGUAUCAAGACUUUGAGCUGGACCACUUUUGUUGAAGCUCCAACCGAGAAUAUAAUGGUAGCUUGCCAUGGAUCCAGUAGAUGAAGAAAAACCAACGUACAUAGAAUCCAACAGGAUUAAAGAAAGAUCAAUAGUUGUUGACAGGAGAGGCUUUUCGGGUUUCAUGACCGUUAUAGGAGCUAGUGUUAUGUUGAGUAUCAUCUGCACUUCAUCAUAAUCUAUCCAUACCUGCAUAGGUUUCCCACUUAUGAGCGUUAAGUUCUUAUAUUCCUUGUCUGAAAAGUAUGCUGCUGGUGCUGAUACAUUUGAUGUCACGCCAUUCACAUCAAUUCCGACAUGGUUGUUAUUAAUGUCUCCACAAUCAAGAGUUUGUAUAGUAUCAAACUCAAUGGCAACAAGAUGGUUUGAAAACAGGCCGUUGCUUGUCGAAUUAAAGAGUCCAAAGUACUGUGUCGCCAGUGCCCCUGGGAACUCCAUAGAAGGGGAGAUAGUGAAGGCAAAGCCAUGGCCACCAAGACCAGGUGUCUCACCAAGGGGAAGUCUCUCAGGAUCAAUGGCGAAAACAAAGUUUGUAGAAAACGAAGACUUGUUGAACUUGAGAGGCAGCUGAAAGAAAGCACGACCCACUUUGAGGUAUGUAAUAUUUGUUAACUCUAAGAGACCAUUGGGGUGUACGUUUGCAAGCCCACUCAGAUUCAGGUUGGACUCAUUGAAUCCAUGGUAGAUGAACUGAUUUUGAUCUUGAGCAAAGCUUAAGUGCUUUGAGAAAACAAAAGUAAUCAGGAGAACAAACAGCAUUUUAAACGUUGCAAACAUGGGGACAUAGAAGUUGCUCUGUUCUCAGAAGGUUUGUUCUAUGAGAUUUUGCUUGUCAUUUGUGUUCCGAUUCUUAGCCUGAAAUAGCAACAUGUCGAAGCAAAUACUUUUUCAAUGCUGCUGCAACGUGAAAGACACUAAUACUCUAUAAUACACCUAUUUAUAAGUUUUUACUCAAAUCAAGUUGACAUAAAUCAAGGUCAGAAACUAUAUAUGAAUAUUAAAUGACAACUUGAACACAAUUUAUAUCUUAUAAAUGGCAGAAGUUUAACUGUAUCACCAUAAGAAAGGGUGCUGCUUGAGAAAAUAAAUCAAAAUCACAGAAUGAUGAACUUUAUUUUAUAGGUGACUGAAUAUGAUUAUAUAUAUAUAUAUAUGUGUGUAUAUUUUGUAUCAUGUGUCUGCUUAUAAACAUUUUGUUUCUUAUAUACUUUCAUCAAAUUUCAUGAAAUCUAGACUUCCAUUUUAAAAGGGCGACUACUUUUGGGAAUCCUUUUGACUUGACUUACUCUAGAAAAUAAGUUACUGAGAUCAUAUGAUGAGAAUAAAUAACAUAUUUGAUAACACACAAUAAUAACAAGUAAUGUCCUUGAAUCAGCCUGAUUAGUGGGUCAAAAUGUUAUUCUGAUAUCCUGAUUGGUGAUUCCCCUGCUUCAGCAAGCAAUUUAGAACAGCAAUCAGCACCCAAAUAUUAUUUGAUUGACUGUGUUGCAACCGUCACGACCUUUUUUUUUAUUGACUCCCUCCUGUGACAAUUAUUAACAUUUGAUACUCAGAUUUGGAUUUGGCAGCAAAUAUGCAUUGAAACGAAAGGAUAAACAUUAUUUCAAUUAAAUUAAAACCUGUCAUUGUCAAGAAAUGCUUUACUGAUGUGGGUUUCUUGUGAACUUGAGCAACAAAAUAUAUUUGAUUGACCGUGUCUUGUAACAAUUUUUCUUUUCCACAUUGCAUGCUCGAAAUUAUUUUUAGCAGCAAACAUUCAUUGAAACAAAAUCAUGAGCAUGCAUUGCAGUGGUAUUGAACUUGUCCAAAUGUACAAAGUUAAGAAACCUAUUAUAAUGAAAAUUCUAGAGAAGUAUAUUUCUUUUUUUCCAUUGAUCGACUUCGUGUUCAAUCGUCUUGUGCUGCUACGCAUGUAUCUAUCACGGUUUGUUCAACAACUGCAACAAUGAUCCGAGAGCUGGGCACCGCAGAAUCCUUCCACCAACUGUGCUCCUUCCCUAGGGUUGAAAACCAGCAUGACUGCCUUCAUUAUAUGCUGCUGUAUUCAAGAAAGGUGACUGUACAAGUUAAAUGUUCAUACCCUGAAUUCUUAGGAUCCAAUUCUAUCUCCAUACCAACCUGUCUGGGAUGGAUAAUCGAGAUACUGAUACUGAAUUUAAGCUUAUUCAAGCCCUUUUGAUCUUUUCCUGAAGGGGCAGAUUGCAUACAGAUUGUUGAAUGCAGAAGUCGCACUGUUGUAACAGUUAGCAGAUUGCAUACUGCACUCCAUUUCCUUUUUUUGUAAACAUGCUCUAACAGUUUGUCAUUUCUGUUGUGCUAUGUAUUCUAUCUAAGCUUUUAGUAGUUAGCAAUUGUUUUUGCAUCUUUCUCUAUUAAUCCAUCAUUUUUCAAUAAUACAUUAUGACAUUGUUAAGGUUUAAUUUAAUAUAUUAUUUUCUCCUUCCGUUAAAAUAAUCCGUUAAUAUAAUAUAAAAAUACGAAUUUAUCCUUAAAAUAUUAUCAAAUCUUAUAGCAUCAAUUACUAUAACCCUUUAUGCUAUAUAAAAUUACUUUGACCCCCUCAUCAUAUUAAAAUUAAUAUAUAUCAAUUUUAAAAUUUUUAAAAAUAAUUUUUAAAAAUUUUAUUAUAUAUCCAAGAUGAAUUAUAAUUAUGAUAAUUGUUUUAAAUAUAAUUAUACUUAAUAUUGUUUAUAAAACUUAACAAAGCAUCUGCAAUUAUAUUUUUAUAAUUAAAAUUUUAUGUCACUAAAAAUGUAUAUUUAUAAAUUUAAAGAAAGUUAAUAUAUACAAUUUAUAAACAGAAACUUGUGACUUUAUUGAUUAUAUUGUAAUUAUGAAACUAAAUUUACUAAUUCUUUUAGUAAGUAAAUUACAAAGAAUUAUAUAAAAUCAUUUAAUUUAAUUUUAAAAAUAUUUCAUAACAAACUNNNNNNNNNNNNNNNNNNNNNNNNNNNNNNNNNNNNNNNNNNNNNNNNNNNNNNNNNNNNNNNNNNNNNNNNNNNNNNNNNNNNNNNNNNNNNNNNNNNNNNNNNNNNNNNNNNNNNNNNNNNNNNNNNNNNNNNNNNNNNNNNNNNNNNNNNNNNNNNNNNNNNNNNNNNNNNNNNNNNNNNNNNNNNNNNNNNNNNNNNNNNNNNNNNNNNNNNNNNNNNNNNNNNNNNNNNNNNNNNNNNNNNNNNNNNNNNNNNNNNNNNNNNNNNNNNNNNNNNNNNNNNNNNNNNNNNNNNNNNNNNNNNNNNNNNNNNNNNNNNNNNNNNNNNNNNNNNNNNNNNNNNNNNNNNNNNNNNNNNNNNNNNNNNNNNNNNNNNNNNNNNNNNNNNGUUAUUAUAGUUAUUUACAAGACACUUAAAUUUUAUAAUAAAUUUUUAUUAUAGUUUAUUUUGUUAUAUUAAUAUAUUUCAUUAGUUGAUAAAAAAAAAAUUUAGGGACCUAUUAGUGUAUUGUAUUAUAAUUGAGGGGGAAAUAGUAAUAUAUUUCAAGGGCAGUUUUAGAAUAUUAAAAAUUAUUAUGUUUUGACUAACAAAAUAUUUUUUGAAAUUUUGACGGAACUAUGAAAAAAUAUAUUAACGUACACUUUAAGAAAAUCAUAAUGUAUUAUUAAAAAAUGAGGAGUUGAUUUGUGUAUUUCACAUAACCUCGUGGGGUCGUAGUAAUUAUCUCUUGGAAACUUGUAAAUAGUCUUAAAGAAAGUGAAUAUUUUUUCUUAAACAAGACAUCGUUAAAAAAGUAUUGAGUUAAUAGAAAAUUGCGAAUAUAAGGAGAUUAAAGAAGAUCCAAAUAUUGAACAAUUAAUCCAUGAGAUUCAACGACCAAUUGUGAGUAUUGAAUCGGAAUGGGACAAGGAAUAGGAAAGAUUACUCUCUGUAGGUGCUUCAUGGUUACCUGGAAGAAAACCAAUACCUGCAUUGUACAAAGAUAUCUGAGGCAAUGUAGCAUUUCCAUCCAAAUAUUGCAUCACUUGCCUAAUUGUAGGCCUAGCCGUUGGUAUCCGCUGUGUGCUAAGCAGGCCUAGCUUCAAAACCAACUCAGUUUCUUCCGCCACAUAGCUGUCUUCCAAUCUAGGAUCAAUAGUCCCAAGAAUGUUCCCUCUUUCCCAACAUUCAAGAACCCAAUCUACCAAUAUCACUUCCUCAGGUGGUCUUUCUGACUUUACAGGCUUCCUUCCACAUGCUACUUCAAGCAUAAAGAUCCCAAAUGCAAAAACAUCACUGCUAGUAGUAGCCUUUCCUGUUGUAGUGAGUUCAGGAGCAAGAUAUCCCAAUGUUCCAACCACAUGAGUUGUUUGAGGAGUUGAUCCAUGAUCAUACAACUUAGCAAGUCCAAAAUCUCCUAAUCGCCCAUUAAGGUCAGCAUCUAAUAAAACAUUACUAGCUUUCACAUCUCUAUGCAGAACAACUUGUUCCCACUCUUCAUGAAGAUAGUAGAGAGCAGAUGCUACUCCUUUAAUAAUCUGAUAUCGUCGAACCCAGUCGAUGUUAGGUUUUUCAUUGCUAAAUAAGAACUUAUCAAGGCUUCCAUUGGGCAUAUGAUCAUACACCAAGAAAAGCUCCCCCUUUCGCCGGCAAUAGCCUAGCAGCUGAACCAGGUUCCUGUGCCUUAACCUUCCCAUGCUGGCUAUUUCUGCUACAAAUUCCUUCAUUCCUUGUCUUGAAUCAUGUGAGACUUUCUUGACUGCAACUUCCACAUUGGAAGAAGGUAAAGUUCCUCUAUAAACCUUUCCGAAACCUCCGCAUCCUAGAAGCUCUUUGUCUUUGAAACCUUUGGUUGCUUUGUAAAGAUCCUUAUAGGAGAAUCUCUGAGGACCAUACUGCUGUUCCCAAUCUUCACGUAUCUCUUCAUAUCUCUUCCUCAUUAUAUAAAUAGUUGCAGAGAUAGUCAUGAGCAAAACAAUCACUAUUACCAAUGGAAGCAUAAUUUUCAUUGCUAGUUUACCUCUUGAUUUUCUUUCUUGAGGAAGUGAAGGAAGCUUUGAAGGGUCAAGGCUUUGUGCUUGCCCACUUCUGUUGAAGCUCCAUCCAAGAAUGUAAUGAUUACUUGAGACUGAGCCUGUGGAUGCAGAGAAACCAACAUACAUGGAUUCCAAGAGCAGUGCAGAAAGAUCAAUAUUUGUUGACAACAGAGGCUUUUCUGGCUUCAUUCUUUCUAUAGGAGCUAGAGUUACAUUGAGUAGCUUCUCCAUUUCAUCAUAGUCUAUCCACAUCUGCAUUGGUCUCCCACUAGUGAGCUCCAAGCUCUUAUUUUUCUCUUCAGUUUCCGAAAAGUAGGACGCCGAAACCGAUUGGAUGGAUGUCAAAUUGUUGACAUCUACUCCAACAUGGUUGCCAUCAAUAUCUCCAAAUUCAGGGUUUUUUACAGUAUCUAACUCAAUGGCAAGUAAGUGAUUUGAAGAUAAACCAAUUGUUGUAGAGUUAAAGAGUCCAAGAUAUUGAGUUGCUAUAGCCCCUUUGAACUCUAAAGAUGGUGAAAUAGCAAAGGCCAAACCAUGGCCAUCAAGACCAGGUGAUUCAGGAACCAUGGCAAACACAAAAUUGGUAGAAAAUGAGACUAAUGAUGUUCGAGAAUUGUUAGACAGAGAUGAGUUGAAAUGCAAAGGAAACGGGAAGAAAGCAUGACCAAUCUGCUGAUGUGAAGUGUUUGUAAGCUCUAGCAGGCCAUUAGGAUGAAUAUUUGCAGCCCCAUUGAGGCUGAGAUUAGCUCCAUUGAAUCCAUUGUAGAUGAACUGAUCUGCUUCUUGAGCAAAAGCCAAGGGUUUUGAGUGCACAAAAAGAGUAAACAAAAUACUUAGUGAUAUAAAUAAUGCUGCCAUUGAGAACACAGAGUAAGAAACCAGAAACCUGAUAUCGUAUCUUGCUUGCUUGAAUUUGUUAAGAACUUUUCUGCCACUGAGAUAUUUUUCUUUUCUUUAUUGAUUUUGAAUUCAAAGCCUUGACCUUAUAACAUUUUCAAACCAAAUGCAAUAUCAACCAACAUUUGGUGAAAGUUAGAACCAAGUUGCUGUUUUAGGUAGCUCUGUAGGCCCAUCAGAAUAAAAAUCUAGAAGAGAAGAACAAGAAGAAGAAGAAGAAGAAGAAGAAGAGAAAUUGUGCUUCUAAACUGAUCAAUUCCUGAAGUUCUGGGAGAGUACUGGUUUUCAAUGAUUGUAGGCUUGCUGAUCAGCACAUACUGGAAAGAAGGUAUGUACAAUUUGGAGCUUGAUGACUGACUAUAUUUUUACCUGCCCUUUUGCUUUCAGUGGGUCUGAGUAUUAUACAUCAUCCAAUAUGAAUUCUUAUGUUUGAAUUAGCAAAUUUUGGUGUGCCUUUUGAAGUCAAUAUACAAAAAGGACAAUUAAAAUAUAUAUAUAUAUAUUUAUUGGUGGCUUUUUGACUUUAAUAAAAUCAGUCCUGAUACAUUAAAUUUUUGUCUUGUACUUUGGUCCAUGGUCUAAAAAAUAUUAUGAAAAUUAAUCAUUUAGUUGCAUCAUAUUGAAUUUUCUGAAAANNNNNNNNNNNNNNNNNNNNNNNNNNNNNNNNNNNNNNNNNNNNNNNNNNNNNNNNNNNNNNNNNNNNNNNNNNNNNNNNNNNNNNNNNNNNNNNNNNNNNNNNNNNNNNNNNNNNNNNNNNNNNNNNNNNNNNNNNNNNNNNNNNNNNNNNNNNNNNNNNNNNNNNNNNNNNNNNNNNNNNNNNNNNNNNNNNNNNNNNNNNNNNNNNNNNNNNNNNNNNNNNNNNNNNNNNNNNNNNNNNNNNNNNNNNNNNNNNNNNNNNNNNNNNNNNNNNNNNNNNNNNNNNNNNNNNNNNNNNNNNNNNNNNNNNNNNNNNNNNNNNNNNNNNNNNNNNNNNNNNNNNNNNNNNNNNNNNNNNNNNNNNNNNNNNNNNNNNNNNNNNNNNNNNNNNNNNNNNNNNNNNNNNNNNNNNNNNNNNNNNNNNNNNNNNNNNNNNNNNNNNNNNNNNNNNNNNNNNNNNNNNNNNNNNNNNNNNNNNNNNNNNNNNNNNNNNNNNNNNNNNNNNNNNNNNNNNNNNNNNNNNNNNNNNNNNNNNNNNNNNNNNNNNNNNNNNNNNNNNNNNNNNNNNNNNNNNNNNNNNNNNNNNNNNNNNNNNNNNNNNNNNNNNNNNNNNNNNNNNNNNNNNNNNNNNNNAAGAUUUUUUAUAUAAAUGUAAUGUUAUUUAUAUUUUUAUUUAUUAUAUAAUUUAUACAAUACAGGUACAAAAUUUUUAGUUUUAUGAAGUUAAGAAAAUGAGUUUUAUAGUUAGUUAAAAAUUUAUUAGAUUAGUUAUAUUUUACAUAAAAAAUAGUAGGUUAAAUGAAUAAUUAACUAUUAUUCAGAAUAAGAGCCAAUAAAAUGAGAACAAAUAAAAAGUUGGCUAUAAAUUCAACUAAUAAUCUAGGAAACAUAAUAGUAAGUCAUGUCUAAUAACCAACUAUUCAUUGUAAUAACCAACACCUUAACAAACUUUAGCCAUAUUUCAAAUGCAUUCAACCAACUCAGUCGCUAAAUAAACAGUUGGUUGACUGAAUUACGAUUCUAAAUUAAAGCUUAAAAAUUUCUAAUGCACCCAAUAUUUAUAUUACAACAAACAAUAUGAUCUCACUAAUAUAAAAAGAGGGGUAAAAAAAUUAUAAAUUUCUAAAAAAUAUAUAAUAAAAUAUAAUAACCUAAAAAGCAUGAAAUUAUAAUAUACAUAAUAUAUAUUAAAUCUUUUAAGCCAAUUUAUAUAUUAUGCAAAUAUAAAUUUUUGACAAGUUAAUUUAAAAAAUUAAUUAAUUUGAUAAAAAUUUGCACAAGUCAAUAAAAAUUUACAAAAAAAAUAUUAUUAUGUAAAUAUAAUACUAUUAUGUUAUUUUUUAUUUAUUAUAUAAUUUAUAUCAUAUGGUGUACAAAAUUACUAAUUUUAUGAAGUUAAGGAAAUAAGUUACAUAGUUUGGUUAAAAGUUUAUUAAAUCAGUUGUAUUUUACAUAAAAAAUAUUUUUAUGUAAUAUUUAUGUUCAUUAUAUAUUUUUAUUAUAUAAAGUAAUUUAUUCUAUAUAUUAUGCAAAUAGAAACCUUUCACAAAUUAAUUAAAAAAUCACUUAAUUUGAAGAAAAUUUACACAAGUUAAUAAAAAUUUAUUAAAAGAUAUUAUUAUGUAAAUAUAAUGUUAUUUAUGUUAUUUUUCAUUUAAUAUAUAAUUUAUACCAUACGGUGUAUAAAAUUACUAAUUUUAGGAAGUUAAGGAAAUGAGUUGCAUAAUUUGGUUAAAAAUUUAUUAAAUCAAUUAUAUUUUACAUAAAAAAUAUAUUUUUAUGUAAUAUUUAUGGUGAGCAUAUAAUUUUUUAUUAUAUAAAGUAAUUAAUUCUAUAUAUUAUACAAAUAGAAUUUUUGACAAGUUAAUUAAAAAAUCACUUAAUUUCUGAAAAGUUACAUAAGUUAGUAAAAAUUUACAAAAAUAUAUCAUUAUAUAAAUAUAAUGCUAUUUAUAUUAUUUUUCUUUUAUUAUAUAAUUUAUACUAUACGGUGUAUAGAAUUAUUAAUUUUAUGAAGUUAAGGAAAUGAAUUACAUAGUUUGGUUGAAAUUUUAUUAAACCGGUUGUAUUUAUAUAAACAAAUAUUUUUAUGUAGUAUUUAUGCUGAUUAUAUAACUUUUUAUUAUAUAAAGUAACUUAUUCUAUAUAUAGUGUAAAUACAAAUUUUUGACAAGUUAAUUGAAAAAAUUACUUGAUUUGAUAAAAAGCCACUCGAAUUAGUAAAAAAAUUAUUAAAAGAGAUUAUUAUGUAAAUAUAAUACUAUUUAUGUUAUUUUUUAUUUAUUAUAUAAUUUAUACCAUAUGGUGUAAUUUUAUGAAGUUACGUAGUUUGAUUAAAAGUUUAUUAAAUCAGUUGUAUUUUAUAUAAAAAGUAUAUGUAUGUAAUUUUUAUGCUAAUUAUAUAAUUUUAUAUUAUAUAAAAUAAUUUAUUUUAUAUAUUAUACAAAUAGAAAUUUUAGAGAAGUUAAUUAAAAAAUUAUUUAAUUUGAUAAAAAUUUACAAAAAAAAAUAUUAUUAUGUAAAUAUAAUGGUAUUUAUAUUUUUUUAUUAUAUAAUUUACACCAUAUGUCAUAUAAAAUAAUUUUAUGAAGUUAAGGAAUGAGUUACAUAGAUAUAUACAACAAAAUAAGAACAAAUGUUAAAGUAGGCUAUGAACUCAACCAAUAGUCUAGGAAGUAUAAUAGUGUGUCAUGUCUAAUAACCAACUAUUCAUUGUAUCAACCAAUAUUUUGACAAAUUUUAAGUAUAUUUCAAAGGCAUUCAACCAUCUUUGUCGCUAAACAAAAAGUUGGUUGAUUGAAUUACGAUUUUAAGUAAGUUAAAACUUAAAUAUUCCUAAUUCACACAAUAUUUACAUUACAACAAAUAAUAUUAUCUCAAAAAAUUUAAUCUAAUAAAAAAAGAGAGGCAACAAAUAAUUAAUUUAGAAAAAUAUAUAACAAAAUAUGACAAUCUAAAAACUAUAAAAUUAGAAUAUAUAUAAUAUAAAUUAAAACUUUUAAGCCAAUGUAAAUCUAAGGUUUAAACGAAAUAUGCAUAUUUCUUAACAAUCUCAAUUAUUAUUCUAAAAUAAAUAUAUAUUGCUUUAAAUAAACAAAGAAAAAAAAACUAAUAGGACACUUAAAUAUAAUGAGAUUUUGUUAAAUGAUUAAACAAGCUAAGACCUUCAAACAAUAUCUGAGUUAUCAAAUCGAUUCAUCGUCGAGAAUUGAAUAGUAUAACAUAGAAAGAUCGUUUAUCCAUACUGAAUUCAAAAAUGGCUGGAUUCUUGAUUCAAUUGAUAAUUUUUUUUUCCAUUACUUUUUUUUUAUUUGAUAUUUAUUUUAUUAAUAUCCCCAUUCUUUGGUAAUGGAAUGCAUAGAAUAUAUUAAAAAUAAAAAAACUUUAGUGCGCAAUUUGAAUGAGAUAGAUUGUUUCAAAUUCAAAUUUGUAAUUGAGAUUACACAAAAUCGGAGCAAAAAAAAAGAGACUUUUCAGAUAAAGAUUAAAAGGAUUCUAUCAAAGCAAUUAAAUUGAUUUUGUGAUGAACUAUAUGAUUGAUGAUUUUAGAAAAGAAAAGAGAGAUAUGAAAAAAUAAAAAAAAAAGACCUAAUAUCUCUUUUAAUUUUUAGUAUAUUAAAAAAAAUAACUUAUAUUACUAAUUACAUGUUAAUAAAAAAAAAAAAUAAAGUGUUAUAAAAAUAUUAAUGGCCAAGAUUUGUUUUAUAUAAUAUAAUAGUAAAUAGCUAAUUACGGUAUUCUAACUGCAAUACCUUGAAAGCACCCUAGAGUUCACCCAAAAGCUAUAUUAAACUAUUGAGAGAAUAAAGUUAAUCAAAUAUUAAUGAUAAUAUAUUCUUUUUAGUGGCCGGUUCUUAAGAUUUAAAAAAAAAUGAGAAAGAUAUUUAAAAAUAUUUAAUAUACUAUAUUUUAAAUAUAAUAAAUAAAUAUUAAAUAUUUAAAAUCUUAUUAAAUUCUGUUUAUAAAUUUGAUUUUAUAAUUACAAUAAUAAUGACGGUUAUGCAACGAUCGGACAAACGACUAGUUCUUAUAAAUUUGAAGUUUCAUAUUUAAUUAUCUAAACAAUGGUUUGUAGUAAGAAAAAAAAAACAUAAAUUAGUUAUAGAUCAAAUAAAGGGCUGACGAUGGAUUAAAAAGGUAAAUCUAUGAAGAUAGUUGAUAAUUGGUUAAUAAGGGCGAGCUAUCAAAAAGAUCUUUGAAGGUUAAUUUUAUUGUCUGUAAGGAUGGUUAGAAAAUUUUGAACGGAAUUGUCCGGCCACUCACUCGAAUAAUAAAAUCAGUAAUUUAUAAAAAUGGAUGACUAAAGUAUAUAAGGAUAUAAAUAGCAUGUAGUGCAAGUUUGGUCCCACAUUCUUUAUAUAGGCAUUAAGAAUCUUUUAGUCCUUCCAGGAGAGACACUCUACAUUUAUAGUUCGUCAGGAUGAAUGAUGAAAUUGAAUGCUUUUUCUUGUUCUCUUUUUAUUUUAUUUCUAUUAAAAAGGUUAUGGUAAGAAUUAUUGCAAAGAAAAUGAUUGGUGAAAUUGAAUGCAUCAUAUUUCUCCUCUAUUCUUUCUGAGAUAGUCAAUUUUAUUAAGAAGAGUAGCCUACUUAAGUAGGCACGUAUAAAAAAAAAAUUAAAAAUACCCUAAAACUCAACUCUGCUCUAAAUUAAUCUAAAAUAAAAGAAUUUUUUUUUUUUCAGUUAUUUUAAUAUUAUAAAAGAAUUAUAUAAUUUAAAAUACGUGUCAUUAUUUCAUUUUCUUUUAAAAUAUAAAACAUUUAAAUUAAGUAUGCUACUCAAAUUAUUGUCUCUCUCUUACCAUUCUUUCCAAAUCCAAUCCAAGGAAUGAAAUCUUUUCUUUUUUCUUUUUGUUUAGGGACUACUGCUUUGCUUAUCUAUUUGCAGCAUUUAUGUCACUCUUAUUCCCUGUAAGGAUAAUGAUUAGCAAGCUUGUGCACAGUCUUGCUGAAAGGCACCCUUCAGUGAAGAUACAAAGAAUUGUCAAAACAAAUGGAGCUGCAGAGACAGAUUAUUAGAGCAGAGAUGAGAUUAAUCACUCAUCAGAACGUAUCAAACAUGGGUAUUAAUGAUCUUGGCAUAUACUUUUCUAUAAAAUACAUAAUUUAGUACACUCGUCAACAGAAAAUGAUGUCUUCUUUAGCUAGUGAAUGCCUCUUUGAAUUGGUCUGCAGUAUUGUUUCAUGAGUUUCCUCCUCAAAUCACUGCAACAGCAACAAAAUCCCAUCAGAGACUGGAAAGAGAAAAGUUACAAACACUAACAACUUUAUCUUUUGCAAAAAGAAGAACCAGAAUGUUUACCUCAGAAAGUCUCCAAAACAUUCAGCGACCAUUAAUCAGGAUUGAAUCCACGGCAGAAGUAGAAANNNNNNNNNNNNNNNNNNNNNNNNNNNNNNNNNNNNNNNNNNNNNNNNNNNNNNNNNNNNNNNNNNNNNNNNNNNNNNNNNNNNNNNNNNNNNNCAUGGUUGGCCUAGCUGCUGGCAAAUGGUGUGCGCAAAGCAAACCAAGUUUCAAAACAGACUCCAUUUCUUUCACCGCAUAAUUAUCUUCCAAUCUUGAAUCAACACACUCAAAAAGAUCCCCUCCUCUCCAACAUUCAACAACCCAUUCGACCAAGAUCACCUGCUCAGAUGGCCUUUCUGACUCUAUAGGCCUCCUUCCACAAGCUACUUCAAGCAUAAAAGUACCAAAAGCGAAAACAUCACUAGAGGUAGUUGGCUUUCCAGUUCUAGUAAGCUCUGGUGCUAGAUACCCAACAGUUCCAACUACACAAGUUGUUUCAGGGUUUGCUCCAUGGUCAUAAAACUUAGACAGCCCGAAAUCUCCUAACCUUCCAUUCAUAUCAACAUCUAACAGAACAUUACUUGCUUUCACAUCUCUAUGCAGAACAACUUGUUCACAUUCUUCAUGGAGGUAAAGAAGAGCAGAUGCUACUCCUUUAAUGAUUUUAUAGCGAUGAACCCAAUCCAGAUUCGGCUUUUUAGUGCUAAAUAAGAACUUAUCAAGACUCCCAUUAGGCAUAUAAUCAUAAACCAAGAAAAGCUCCCCUUUUCGCCUGCAAUAGCCCAGGAGUUGUACUAAGUUUCUAUGCCUUAGCCUUCCUGUGCUUGCAAUUUCAGCUAUAAAUUCUUUCAUACCUUGUUUUGAAUCAUGUGAGACUUUCUUGACUGCAACUUGUACAUUCGAAGAAGGUAAGACUCCUCUAUAAACCUUCCCAAAACCUCCAAAUCCAAGAACCUCCUUGUCCUUAAAACCUUUAGUUGCUUUAUAAAGAUCCUUGUAACGGAAUCUUUGAGGACCAUAUUGCUGUUCCCAAUCUUCGCGGAUUUCUUCAUACUUCUUUCUCAUUACAUAAAUAGUUGCAGAGAUAGUUACAACCAGAACAACAACAGCUACCAAUGGAAGAACAAUUCUCAAAUCUACUUUCCCCUUUGAUUUUGUUGUCUGAGGAAGUUUAGGAAGCUCUGAAGGGUCAAGAGUUUGUGCUUGCCCACUUCUGUUAAAACUCCAUCCAAGAAUAUAGUGGUGACUUGCUACUGAACCAGUGGAUGCAGAGAAACCAACAUACAUAGAAUCCAAGAAAAGUAAAGAAAGAUCAAGAUUCUUCGAUAUGAGAGGCUUUUCUGGUUUCUUGAUCUUAAUUGGAGCUAGUGUUACAUUAAGCAACUUGUUUGUAUCAUCAUACUCUAUCCAUACCUGCAUUGGUUUACCACUUGUAAGCUGCAAGGUCUUGUUUUCGCCAUCAUUCUCCGAGAAGUAUUCGGCUGGAGCAGAUUGAAUGGAUGUCAAAUUGUUGAUGUCAACACCAACAUGAUUAUCAUUGAUGUCUCUAAACUCCCUGUUUCGUACAGUAUCUAACUCAAUAGCAAGCAAAUGAUUUGAAACGGAACCAAUGUUUGUAGUAUUAAAUAGUCCAAGAUACUGAGUAUCUGUUGCUCCUGUUAGCUCUACAGACGGUGAGAUAGUGAAAGCAAUGCCAUGACCACCUCUACCUGGCACUCAGGAACCAUGGCAAAUACAAAACUGGUAGAAAAUGAAAAGAUGAGCUAGAAUUGUUAGCCAAAGAUGAAUUCAAAUGCAUGGGUACUGGAAAGAAAGCAUGACCUAUUUGUUGGUAUGAAGUGUUUGUAAGUUCUAAUAGACCAUUGGGUAGGAUUUUUGCAAUCCCAUUUAGUCUCAGAUCAGAUCCUGUAAAUCCAUUGUAUAUGAACUGUUUUGUCUCUUCAGCUAAAGAUAUGUGUUUCAAGAUCAGAAACAGAGAGAGAAAAAUAUGAAGAGAUCUGUGAAAGAUUGUUGCCAUGGAAGCAAAAGAAAAUGGAGAAGAAGGGAAAUUGAAAUCUUCUGAGAGAUCAUAUGUUUAACAUCUGUGUUAAGAAUAAGAACAAACAAACAUUUGGUAGAAUUUACAACCAAAAAUCUCAGAUAUUAAAUGGCUAUUGUCUGUCCCAUUAGAAUUUUAAAAAAUCCGAUAGAGUUAUUCAGUAAUUUGUUGAGGCAAUAAUGUUCUUGAAGCCAAAUUUUAAGUUUUAAUGCCAAAAGAAAUAUCAUUUAACAUAUUUGUAUUAUGGAUUGUGACAUGUGAAAGAAAUGCGUUUUCGAAAGAAAAUAGAAAAUUUCCUUAAAAAAGUCAUUUUUUAUUUUAAUAUUAUCCCUAAUAAAUUUAUUUAAUUUUAAAACGAUCCUUUAACUUUAAAGAAAAAAAAUCUAUUAUUUUUAUGUUUAACUAUAUAAUGAAAUUUUAAAAAUUUAUAGAUUUUAAAUCUAUAAAUCAUAAAUUCAUAAAUUUUGAUUAAAGUCGUAUAUUCUAAAAUUUUUAAUCCAAAUAAUACAUUCGACUAUUUCAAAUGUUGGCAAUGAAAUAAUAAUACAUAUUUUAAAUCUUGUAUUUAUUUAUAUUUAUUAUUUAAUAAAAAUAUUCAGGACUUAAUUCUUUAUCAUUUUUUCAAAAACAUUAACAUUUAAUUAUUUCUUCUAAAUAAAUUUAAACACAUAAUUUUUAAUAUUGGCUCGAAGCAUUCAGAAACAAAUCAUUCAAGUUAGAAAAAUUGAAUCCUGAUUAAUAAGAAAAUAAAUAAAUAAAUAUAUAUAUAUAUAUAUAUGGGUUAACUCUGUUUUAAAUAUAUAAAAAAUUGUUAAAGUUUUUGCCAGGCUUAUGUGCACAUGUGAAUACAUCCAUAAUUGAAUAGACUACCAACCAUUAGUCAGUCAGUCAGAGUGAGACAAAUAGACAAACAUGUNNNNNNNNNNNNNNNNNNNNNNNNNNNNNNNNNNNNNNNNNNNNNNNNNNNNNNNNNNNNNNNNNNNNNNNNNNNNNNNNNNNNNNNNNNNNNNNNNNNNNNNNNNNNNNNNNNNNNNNNNNNNNNNNNNNNNNNNNNNNNNNNNNNNNNNNNNNNNNNNNNNNNNNNNNNNNNNNNNNNNNNNNNNNNNNNNNNNNNNNNNNNNNNNNNNNNNNNNNNNNNNNNNNNNNNNNNNNNNNNNNNNNNNNNNNNNNNNNNNNNNNNNNNNNNNNNNNNNNNNNNNNNNNNNNNNNNNNNNNNNNNNNNNNNNNNNNNNNNNNNNNNNNNNNNNNNNNNNNNNNNNNNNNNNNNNNNNNNNNNNNNNNNNNNNNNNNNNNNNNNNNNNNNNNNNNNNNNNNNNNNNNNNNNNNNNNNNNNNUGUUUAUCUAGUCAUUUACUUAGUAAUUUUCUUAUUUUACUUUAAAUUAAAUCUAAUGAAUGAGAUGCUAAUAUGUAUUUUCCUUAAAUCACUCAAGCUAACGAUGCAACUUAAAUUUCUUAUACUAAAGUAACGAAGAUGUUUGUAAUACUUUUAACCUAAAGAUUUUUAUAAUCAAUAUUACUACUAAAUUGAUAUAAUGGUCAACCAAUAAUAAUAGAUGAAACUAAUGCAUAUAUGAAGGUAAAAAAAUCAUUCAUUAAAUAAAUAAUAAAAUUCAUAUAAAAGUAAAAAGGCUAAACUAAACCCUUAUGAAAACUAGCCUAAUAUAUUUAAUCCAAUGAUCCUAACAUUAGAUAGAAAAACAUAAAAUAAUAAAGUAAAGAACUCUUUCUAAAUCUAGAAUUUCUUCAAAUAGAAAUAAGAUUUGUCAUCACUUUUCAUUUUUUGAAAAACUCCUUAGAUCUUAAAAAUAGUAAUGAAAACUAAACUAAAGUGUUUAUGAAGAACUAUAGAGAAUUAUAGAGAGAAUAAUAGUAGGCAUAUGUAGAGAGCAGAUAGAAGAAAACUCUCCUCCCCUCUAGAAUUAGGUUUUGCAGAGAUAUAUAUAGAGAAAAGUCAUUCUCUAAAUAAGUCUCUCUAAAGAUGUAUACCUAAUAUAAAUCUAUCUAAUAAAUAAGACUUUAAGUAUAUUUAUCUCCACUAAAUAUUAUCUCAUAAAUAACUUUUAAUAUAAAUCCUAAUAAUUACACAAAAUGGCUAAAUUGUCCAUUGGGCCUUAUAAUUAACAGUCUAUGCAUCUUCAACUUGGGCCUUGACACGACAUAUCCAAUUAAGUUUCUUUUUGUGUAUUUAGCUCUAUAUUUUCCUCUUUUGGCUAAUACUAUCUAAAAAUAAACAAUUAAAUUUAAGUAAGGUAAAAUCAUAUAUUUUCACCAUAUUAUAUAUAGAAAUAUAUUAUUAAAGCUCUAAAAUAUCAUUAAAUUUCUAUAUAUAAUUUAGACCGACCAGUAGUCCAGUAAUUAAAGUAUUUCUAUGAAGGAUCUAAAUUUAAAUUUCAGAUAAUAAUUUUUGAGAUAUUUUUAUAAAACUAUUCAGGUGACGGUUUAAUUGAAUCUCUUUUAUAUAAUUCCGAUCAAGUUAUAAGUAUUUGAAUUUAAAUUUCAUAUAACAGUUUUUAAGAUGUUUAUAUUUUUUAUAAGACUGUUCAGAUCACGUUUUAAUUGAAUUUUUUUUAUAUAAUUUCGAAUUAAAUUUCAUAGCACGGUUUUCUAUAGAAUUAUUUAGGACACGUGUAUAAUUUCAAGAUUUAUAUUGUAAUGACUGAUUUAGACUAUAUCUUAAACGAACCAUAGCUCUAUUAAUAUUCCGAAAUGAAAAAAUAAAGUCCAUGAUUACAUUAUUGAACAGAAAUUGGUACUAUUGUUAGUGACUUCUCCCCCUAUUUCUGUCCAAAAUUUGUUAUUCUGAACAUACCUUCGAUCCAAUUAAUGGAUUGUGGCAGCUGCAGCUCUGCUGUGUUAUUCACACAUGGGGCCAUACUUAUGGGUGGGCUCCUCGUGCGUCCCAUAUAUUCCUUUCUGUAUAUGUCUCUUGAUAUUAUAAAGAUAUUAUACUAUAUAUUAUUUAAUUAAAUGAGCUGAUUAGAGCUCACAAAUAUAUAUAUAUAUAUAUAUAUAUAUAUAUAUAUAUAAUGGCCUGACCUCUUUCUUUUUAAAGGGCUUCCAUUCUACUAGUAAUAAAGUAAACAACUUUCGGUAAAAUUUCAUUAUUUUUUAUAAUAAAUAAAGAAUAAUGGACCAACAUCUUUUAGAAUAAAGAUUUCCAUGUUAUGAAGACAUUGCACAUGAUAAUAAUAAAAUGUAUUUAUUUAAUGGUAAGACUAUUGGCCUAAUCCAUUAUGGUUAAAACAUAUAAAACAGAUUUCCCUAACAGUUUAUUUUUAUUUUAUUUAUUAGAUUUUCUACUUUCUUUCAGAUUUAGCUGCUCAUGAAAAUUACAUGAGACUUGUAUUUUUUUGCCUUUCAUGCGGGUCGGAACUUACCUAAUAAAAAAUUUCGCUAUUUUAGGACCGUUAUAGUUAUGGCCACUAUUUACCAGUCUUCGGUUGCCGGCUCUUUAUCAGGUCACCAACUUUUUUGACCUUCCGGCACUGGGCAGGCGUCAGCCCCCAUACAUGGUUUUACGACUUUAUGGAGACAUGUGUUUUUAGUAAAAAGCCACCCGGGCCUAGUCACUAUGACUCCCUUUAUAAGGAGGCACCUCUUUUCCUGAAGUUACGGGGCUAUUUUGCUGAGUUUCUUAGAAAGAAUUGUCUCGCGCCCCUAGAUAUUCUCUACCUCCCUAAUCAUCAAGAUUGUACCAAAAUUUUCUUUAAAAUAUACCGAAUCAAUAUAGUUAUUCUUCUUCUGAUGCAGCAAUGCAACUUCAAUCAGUAUCGAAAUGAAAUUUUAGAUAAUUUCUUUGUUUUUUUUCUUCUUUUCUUUUAUUACUGUAAAACUAUGUACCAUAAGAUAAGGUCGGGUAAAAUGUAAAGUUUUUAUUUUUAAUUUUUAUAAUGAGUGUAAUAAUAAAUCAAAAAAUUCUGUAUUAUUUUUUUUAUUCAUAUAAGUAUAAUGUUAAUGCUAAAAAAAGUGCCAAUCUAUUUAAAAUAUUUAAAUGUUAAUGCUAAAAAAGUGUCGGCCUAUAUAAAACAUCUAAUGCAUCGUUUAAUUCUUUUAAUUUAAUAAUUUUAUAAAAGAAAUUACAUAGUAAAGGCUAUUAUUUAUUUUAUGGGAGUUUUACUAACAACAAUAUCAAUUGAAAAAUGAAAAAUAAAUCAAUUAGUCUACCAACAACUAAAACGAUCUCCAUAUCAAUAGACAAUUAGGCAUUAUAACUUAUAAAGCAUACUAAAUUAGUCAAUAUUAUAUCCAGAUUAUUAAGUUAUUUAUCUUUCGAAAUGAAUAGACAUGCCUUAAUAUUAAAUAUAUACAUUUAAAAAUACUUAGUAAAUAAACUUGAAUAGCGUAAUAAAAAUCAAACCGGACUAUAAAAAUUACUUAAGCAUUAUCAAUUAACUUUCAAAAAUAGAUAAAGCUAGAUAUUAUAAAUCUCCAUGUACAUCAUCUGUUGUUGCUCAUGUAUUUUCAAGAUUUCAUGAGUGAAUUAAGUCUUUUAUUAGAUGAAACUUAAAUUAAUAAUUCUUAUCCUAAUUCAACAAUUCCACCAAAAGAUAUGAUUAUGAUAUUGGGUACCCCUUUCAGAGGAAGUGGUCAAGAUAACUUCAACAGGGUCUUUGAGGAAGAAAAUAAUGGCAUGAGAUCACAGUGAAAAACUAAUACUUGUGGGGAGCCAUUAAGCUAGUAACAAGAUCCUGUGUUCAGUCCAACUAUGAUUUAAUCAUGUAUGCUUGAAGAAUUGAGACCAUAAUUCUUCAAUGGUGAGUUAUAUUUGAGGUAAUAAUGCAUUACUGAUUAAUGAUUAGCAAGAGAGGACCUCUAGUAAUUAGAGCUAGGAUUGCUAUUGGAUGUUUAAGCCGUUAUUCAAGUUGAGAUAUGCAUAUAUUACGAGCCUAAAUAAAUUUGUAAAUACUUAUAAAAACAGUUUUCAAAAUAAAUAAAUAAAAACAAACAAAAAUUCUUUUUUUAGAAGAACUGAUUGAGAAAAUACAAUCUCAAAUACAACCUUAGUAGGGCCUUAGGCAUGUUUUAAAACACAUUUGAGAUGGCAUAUGCUUAGCUUGUAUUUUUUUCUUUAUUAUCCCUUUUAUUUAUUUAUUUAUUUAUUUAUUAAUACCAGCUCAUGAUAUGUUGCUAAAAAGAACCCUGUUAAAUAAAUUCAUGCAAAUUUGUAUUUGUCAUUAUUGUUUCUACAUGUGAACCAGGAAAUUUCUUUUUACUUUCUUUGAAUUGGCAAAAUUUGAACUAAAUUCCCAAUUCUAGUUCAUUUUAUUGAAGAACCCUCAAAGCCAAUUGAAAACAAGAAACCUAAAUUGGGGAAAAACAUACUUUCACUAGAAUACAAAGUAGGUGGGAGGAGAUGAGAUUCCAUUUGAGUAGAGAGAAAAUGACAAAUGCCUAAUUUUCAUAGUAAACAAACAGAAAAGCGAUCGAACUCUAUUUGCUCCUUUUAUGGGAAAAAAAGAAGCAUUCAAUUAUUUAAUAUAUGAACCCUCCACAUUAAAAAACAAUAAUAAUUAUAAUUAUAAUAUUUCUAGAAUUAAUAAUUCAUAAAACACAUGGCCAAACAGCAAUGGCGGCACCCAGGCAUCAAAAGUGGUUAGCUAAAAAAUAAAAUUAAAACAAAAACAAACAAGAACAACAAAAGGNNNNNNNNNNNNNNNNNNNNNNNNNNNNNNNNNNNNNNNNNNNNNNNNNNNNNNNNNNNNNNNNNNNNNNNNNNNNNNNNNNNNNNNNNNNNNNNNNNNNNNNNNNNNNNNNNNNNNNNNNNNNNNNNNNNNNNNNNNNNNNNNNNNNNNNNNNNNNNNNNNNNNNNNNNNNNNNNNNNNNNNNNNNNNNNNNNNNNNNNNNNNNNNNNNNNNNNNNNNNNNNNNNNNNNNUUGUUGUUUUUUAUAUUAUAUAUUAAUUGGAUUGGUUGGAAAUAAUAUUAUAAAAUUGAUAAGGAUAAUGUCAAGAUUAAACAACUUAUAAAAUUGGAAUUUAGCAAUUCAAUUUUAAUUGGAUUAGCAAUUGAAUGGAAUACAUGAAAGCAAUUUGGAAAUUUGCACAUUAUCAUAUACUAAAAAAAGAAUUGGAGUAAAGGAUCAAUUGGAACAUAACUAAACAGAAAUAUUAAUAAAAGAUGGAAAACUAUUUAUUAUAAUACACAGAAUUUAUUUAGCCCAUUGAGUUCCUCUUUCAGUUGGCUUGAAGUAUUCUUCCAUGAGUUUCUCCCUCAGCAGCUGCAAUAUCAACACAAUGCAGAAUAUUUUAGGCAUUCUUGUUAGAAUUUCAUUCUUAAUUUCAGUUUUAAUUCAUACUAUUUUAUAAGUAAAAGCCAAAAUCUUUUUAACUAAAUGCCUAUUUGAAUGUUUAUUAUUUGAUCAGUUUCAAUAAUUUAAUUUUUAUAUUUAAUAAAUACACUAUAAGUCUUUAUGUCGAUGAUUAAUUAAUAAUUAUAAUUUUUUAUUAAUAAAAAUUAAAAAUUAAAAAUUAAAACCGUCAAUAUUUAUAGAAAUAAAAUAAAAAUUAUAAAGAGUAUGUUAGACUUAAAUAAAAUAUUUUACAUUUUAUUUUUAAAUAUUUUAUGAGAUAUUUUUUAUUAUAGAAAUUAUAUUCUUUAUGAUAACAAUCAUUAUUUUUGAGGAUGCUUUCAACUGUUAAUUGAUAACUAAUAAAUUAAAAUAUUGGAUAAAAAUUUAUUAACUAUUGUAGUUAGUAUGUUAACUAUUAAGAAUAUAUUUUAUUUAUAAUAUUAGUUAAAAAAAAUAUAAUACAUUUAAACAAAAAAAUUAAAUUGGAAAAUCGGUUUUCUAACUACGAAUUAUCUACAUGAAAAAAGAGAAGGAAAGAAAAAAAAAAAAAAAAGAGAAGAUGAGUUUGGUUCACAGGUUUUUAAGUUAACUGAUAAAGAUUUUAAAAGCUUUUCUUAUAACAAAUCUUAUUUUUAAAAAUAUAUNNNNNNNNNNNNNNNNNNNNNNNNNNNNNNNNNNNNNNNNNNNNNNNNNNNNNNNNNNNNNNNNNNNNNNNNNNNNNNNNNNNNNNNNNNNNNNNNNNNNNNNNNNNNNNNNNNNNNNNNNNNNNNNNNNNNNNNNNNNNNNNNNNNNNNNNNNNNNNNNNNNNNNNNNNNNNNNNNNNNNNNNNNNNNNNNNNNNNNNNNNNNNNNNNNNNNNNNNNNNNNNNNNNNNNNNNNNNNNNNNNNNNNNNNNNNNNNNNNNNNNNNNNNNNNNNNNNNNNNNNNNNNNNNNNNNNNNNNNNNNNNNNNNNNNNNNNNNNNNNNNNNNNNNNNNNNNNNNNNNNNNNNNNNNNNNNNNNNNNNNNNNNNNNNNNNNNNNNNNNNNNNNNNNNNNNNNNNNNNNNNNNNNNNNNNNNNNNNNNNNNNNNNNNNNNNNNNNNNCAGUUUUUUCUUAUUCAUAAAGAGAAGAAUUUAAACUUAAAAUCUCAUUAAGUUGAUAUAUACCAACUAAUCGAUACGUGAAUAAUUUGUUUUUAAGUUUUUAGUAAGUGCACAAAUAACUGUGUAAAUAUUGUUCUACAGUAUAAGAUCUAUGUCCUUUUAUGUGCUAUCACACUUUAAGAAAGUCUAUACAUUUUUAAAGUAGUUAUUCCUCAAUUUAUAUUUUAUAUUAAAUUAAUUGAAAUGAAUUUCAAAAGACUUUAUAAAAUUAUAUAUAAAUAUAUAAUUUAUAUGUUUAGUUGAAAUAAAAAUUUAUUUAAUAUUUUAAUGCAAUAUUUUAAAUUUCUAAAUACAUUCUAUAUUGAUAAGUUAUAUACAUUUCAUAAAAUCAAAAUACUUUCUUUCAAUUUUAUUAUUUUAUUUUAUUUUCUUUCUCAUAUCUUCUUUUUAUAAUUUUUUUUAUUGUAAACCAUUCAAAUAUAAUAUUUAUUUCAUUUGAAUUAAUUUCUGCAGUUGUUAAUAAACAUACAAAUUAUGAUUAAAAAUAAAUAAAUUUUUUAAUAAAUUACAACUGAAUAUGGCGAAUUUCGAAUUAAAAUCUUAUGAUAUUAUUGCUCAUAUGAUAGGUCAUGUUUAAAUAAUCUUAUUCAUUAAAUUUAUAAUUAAAUAAUUGAGAUUUGUUAUUUAAAAAUAACUAUCAAUUUUAAAAAAUAAAAAUUUAAAUUUUAAAUAAAAUUUCAACCAUUCAAUUUAAAAUAAUAAGUAUGAAUCAUGAUAGGUAAUUUUCAAGUUCAACAUUAGAAAAUCUGAAGCCAUUCUUUUGUUUUUUUUUUUCAUGGAAGUCUUUCCUCUAUGCCUCUGUCUUAACUUCUAUCUUCCAAAGUUUUGAAUGUAUAAUAAGAUACCUUUCAUUGUUUCUGAUCCCUUUUAGAGCAGGUUCUGCUCCAUUGAUAUCUUUAUUUUUAGUAAUCAAAUAAGAAUAAAACCGAAUAAGCACUCUUAACAGUCAUGGAAUACUUCUUCUUUACUUACAUGUAAAAUCCAUACUCAUUUUUUCAUUUAUAAAGAUUUAUCAUAGCUGAUAAAUAGAAGGUACCUUCAUGAGCAUUGGUUGAAAUGGGAAUAUUUGAUGAUGAAUUCUGAGCCGAAUGAAAAACUAAACGUUGCUGUUGAGCCUGAGAAGUCUCAUUAUUCCUAAGCAAAAAUGUUACAGCCUCUCUAACUUUCUCCACCACACCAGUAUCACCAGGACCUUUUCUGGGACUAAUUGCCUGGGAUAUCACUUGAGAAAGAGCCUUCUCAUCCUCACCUGGCUCCAAUUUAUGCAUUAUAUACUCCUUCACUGAUACUCCUUUAUCCCAGAUUUGCUCGCUCGCACUAGCGUGAUUUGUAGUAGUCGUUACUGCUGCAGGAGCAGAUACCGGUUCAGCUUUUUCCAAUGUUGUUCGAGUUACUUCUUGCUUUGUCGCAACUGGGGCUGGUGCCUGUGGGGUUAAUGCCCUUGCUCUAGGACUUGGUGUUGGUGGGUCACAUGACUUCCCUGCAAGGAUUGGUGCUAUUGUGGGUUUCUCAUGUGGCUGUGUUGCUAACGAGGACUUGCCAGGUGAUUUUGGUGACAAUGAAGUUUUUUUUGCAGGCGAAUUUGGUGCUGUCGGAGCUGGAGUUGGGGCUUGUGGUUCUGGGCCCGAAAUGGCAAGACUUUGAAUCUUAGAAGCAAUGGCAUAUGUAGCUUCAGUUACUGUGGCAUAUGCUGGUGCAAGUUUCUCUGCCACAGUUUCGGAGAUUGUUUUGGAUGCAGCUUUAGGAGUUAUAGGUGCCGUUGUUCUGGAUGCGGACCUCGGACUGUGAGUAGUUCUAACAGAUUUUGCAGUGUUAACACUACUUGUCAUAACAUGCUUCUCAGAUAUGACAGGAAUUGCUCUUGGAUGUUGUCUAGCUGUCUCUUUGUAACCUNNNNNNNNNNNNNNNNNNNNNNNNNNNNNNNNNNNNNNNNNNNNNNNNNNNNNNNNNNNNNNNNNNNNNNNNNNNNNNNNNNNNNNNNNNNNNNNNNNNNNNNNNNNNNNNNNNNNNNNNNNNNNNNNNNUGUCUGUGAGUACGGAUUGACCACCUUGAACCAUCCGAUCCUGUACGCACCAAACCUCACAGAAAUUACAAGAGAUGGUACGUAGCAUACGCAUUAAUCAUAUAAGCUUUAGUCACAGAGUUAUGUUUGUUACCUCGCAGAAGUUGUUCUAUUGUUGGGGAGGUUGGAGUUCUUGGGGCUUCGCCCUGUCUGUUUAUGCCAUCAAAUUGGGAUAUCGCUCCAGUUCUUGAUUGAGGGUGUGCCAUAAUUAUGGUUUCAGCAUCUCUUCCUAGACCCUGUUUACAAUUGGAAAUGGAAAUUUAAAAGAGCAACGCUCAAGCACCAUCUUCGCAGUUCUUGAUUAGACAGAAAAUGAGCCACAUAUCUUUCCGAAGCUUUUGGAAUCCAUUUUUACACAUGGCAAUAAACAUCAUACACUUUUAUUUGAUUCUCAUUUGUUGGUAAUAUAUUAAACUCCUCAAAUAAGCAUUUGACUAGGCAUCAAACUGCUUCCCUUUUCUCGGCUUAUUACAGGUUUUUUCCUUUUAAUAAUUGGUACUGGUAGCCAUGUUUUUUCCUUAAAAACAAAGACAAAUUUACACGGACUAAGCACCAUAUGAUAAUGUAUAUCAAUGGCUGUAAGAGCUAAACUUCAAAAUUGAUAGAGCUUUUUAUUUUUUUUCAAUUGAUGGACACUCCAGAGAUCAUUGCAUAACUCUGAAAGCAGGUCAUCAAGCGGCUCCUAAAUUUUCCAUAACAAGAAACUAGAACAAAAACUUUUAUACAAGAAGACCAGUUCACACUUUAAGACUUAAAUUGUAAAUGCAAAGUGGAUAUGCGGUUGCAAAUGAAACUGCAUUUGCAUAUUUAAUCUAAGAGCGUGUAGAUGAGAUGGUAAGAGUUUCUUUUAGCUUAAUUAAAGUCUCAAGUUCGAACCUUAGGCAUUCGGCUAUGUCAAAAUUCUUGAAAAGGUGAUUUGCCACCCGUAAGGGUUCUGCGUGUCACGCUCUAAAUUAAAUUUAGAUAUGUAUGCAAAGAAGAAGCUGCAGAUACCUGGAAAUACCUUGUGCUCUAACAAGAAAAAAUGGAGAAAAUGAGAUCUUAAUUGAGAGAGAGUUUUCACUUGUAAUUGCAGUACAUAUCUCUGCAAUACAAUCUUGAAUUAUAUAUAAACAUGUGUACAAAUAUAAGUGAUCCUUUCAUAUAAAAUGAUCUAAAGUAAGAUAAACAUUACAUGAGAAAAAUAAGACAAACUAGACAUCAAAGUAACCAAUAUAUGUGCAGUUUGAUACUAUUCAUCUGCUGCAGAAAUUAUGUGCCAUCCAAAAGAGCUUUCAGCUUCAUUGUACAUGGAAAAUUUCAUAAAUAUUGUUUGAAUGUGUGCAUCAGUGAUUAAUUUAUUUUUCUCAUGUUCAAUUUGAUUUCUUUUACCAAGUCUUUAGGAGUUUGUUAAGCAGUUAGUACCUUAGUGGCAUUAGUUGGCACAGUUGCUGAUUUUCAGCUAGUUAGUUAUUUUUUUCAGUUUUUAAAUCAAUGUAUUUAAUUAUGAAAUUAUACCAUCAAUAACUAUCAAUCUUCUUCUCUCAAUUUUAUUCUCGUAUCUUCUGUAAAACAAACCAACAAACUGGUAUCAGAGCUCUUUUUUAUUAAGGGACCUGUGAGUAAGCCAAGAGAAACCUACUACACAACCUUACCUUUCUUGAUUCUUUCCAGCAAAUGGAUUCUGAAACACCUUUUACAGCACUAGCUCCACCAAUGUUUAAGGGUGAAAAUUAUCAUUUAUGGGCAGCCAAAAUGGAAGCUCACCUAGAGGCGAAUGAUCUCUGGGAAGCUGUGGAAGAGGACUACGAAGUUCCUCCAUUAUCUGCAAAUCCAACAAUGGCGCAGAUCAAGAACCACAAGGAGAAGAAAUCAAGAAAGUCAAAGGCAAAAGCUACCUUGUUUGCUGCUGUCUCACAAGAGAUUUUUACAAGAAUCAUGAACCAAAAGUCAGCAUUUGGUGUGUGGAAUUUCCUCAAAGCUGAAUAUGAAGGAGAUGAAAAAGUUAAAGGAAUGCAAGUGUUGAAUCUGAUUCGUGAGUUCGAGAUGCAGCAAAUGAAGGAGUCAGAGACAAUUAAGGAGUAUACAGAUAAGCUUCUUAGCAUUGCUAAUAAAAUAAGGUUGCUUGGUUCUGAGAUUUCUGAUUCUAGAAUUGCUCAAAAAAUACUUGUGACUCUUCCUGAAAGAUUUGAUGCUACUAUAUCCUCCAUGGAGAGUAGCAAAGAUCUGUCACAAAUUACAUUGGCAGAACUAAACAGUGCUUUACAGGCUCAAGAACAAAGGAGACUGAUGAGAAGUGAAAGUUCUGUGGAAGGAGCAUUGCAGGCUAAGCUACAAAUCAAUCAAGGAGAGAAAGACAAGAAGAAGAGUAAUAAGAAGAACUUCAGUUCUCGUGAUAUAGCUAGCAGCAACAAAGGAGAAAAGAAGAGAGAAUUUCCUCCUUGCAGACACUGCGACAAAAAGGGUCAUCCUCCUUUCAAAUGUUGGAAAAGACCUGAUGUGAAGUGUGGGAAGUGCAACAAACUUGGGCACCAUGAAAAAAUAUGCAAAAGCAAUUUCCAACAGAAGGAUGAUGCUCAAACAGCAAGCGAACAAGAGGAAGAAAAACAGUUAUUUGUAGCAUCUAGUUUUAAAAGCAGCAGCUCAAGCUCAAGUGAGUGUUGGCUCGUAGAUAGUGGUUGUACCAAUCACAUGAUUGGUAAUGCAGAGUUUUUUUGGGGAUGGAUAGGUCACUAGUAUUCAAAGUCAAAAUUGGUAAUGGUGACUACAUUGCUGCCAAAGGAAGGGGAACUGUCGCUAUAGAGAGUUGCACAGAUACUAAAUUAAUUUCUGAUGUUAUAUAUGUACCUGACAUUGAUCAGAAUUUAUUAAGUGUUGGGCAGCUAGUUGAGAAGGGAUUCAAAGUCUUUUUUGAAAGGAAGCACUACACGAUCAAGGACUCUCAUGACAAUGAUGUCAUAAGAAUUAAAAUGAAGGGCAAGAGUUUCUCGCUUGAUCCGAUGGAGGAGGAGCAAGUAGUUUAUGCUGUUGCUAUAACUAACAUAGAGACUUGGCAUAAAAGGCUAGGUCAUUUCCAUCAUGCAGCAAAUUUGAAUAUGCAAAAGAAGGGGUUGGUUCGUGGUUUGCCUCACAUUGAGCCUGAUCCACCAUGUUGCAAAUCGUGUCAAUUUGGUAAACAAGCAAGACUUCCUUUCCAACAUGGAGACUGGAGAGCCACUGAUAAGUUGCAAUUAAUUCAUACAGAUGUAGCUGACCUCACAAAACUCCUUCACUCAAUGGGAGUAAAUAUUACAUUAUCUUUAUUGUUGAUUACACAAGAAUGUGUUGGAUCUAUUUUCUUAGGUUCAAAUCAGAGGUUGCAGGUGUGCUCUUCAAAUUCAAGAACUGGAUUGAGAAUCAAAGUGGCUGUAAAAUUCAAGUGUUGCGAUCAGAUAAUGGAAAAGAGUACACCUCCAAUGAAUUUGAUAAAUUUUAUGAAGAGGCUAGAAUAGAGCAUCAACUUACAACGCCAUACACUCCAUAACAAAAUGGGGUCAGCGAGCGAAAGAACAGAACAAUAAUAGAGAUGGCCAGAUGUAUGCUUCAUGAGAAGGAUCUUCCGAAGGAAUAUUGGGCUAAGGCAGCAAAUACAGCAGUAUUUCUGCUAAACCGACUUCCCACAAAAGCAGUCGAUGGAAAGACCCCUUUCGAGACAUGGUAUGAUUAUAAACUGCUGAUAAAAAAUCUGAAAGUAUUUGGUUGUUUGUGCUUUACUCAUGUUCCAUAGAUGAAGCGAGACAAGUUGGACAAAAGAACUGAGCCUGGCGUAUUCAUUGGAUAUAGCUUGACAUCUAAAGCUUAUAGAAUUUUUCAACCUGACACAAGAAAAAUUCUAUUAAGCAGGGAUGUAACUUUCAUGGAGAAUGAUAAGUGGGACUUCAACAAUGAAGAAAAUUAGCAGUUUGAUGAUCAAAAUCAAGACGAGUUGAUUGAUGAUUCUCCAAUACGUGGCACCAGAUCACUUGCUGACAUAUACCAGAGAUGCAACAUUGCUGUUCUUGAACCUUCAGGAUACUGGGAAGCCGAGAAGGACCCAAAUUGGAGAGCUGCAAUGAAAGAGGAGCUGUGCAUGAUUGAGAAAAAUCAAACAUGGGUCCUAGUUGAAAGGCCUCCACAUCAGAAAGUAAUUGGAGUGAAAUGGGUGUUUAGAAGAAAGAAAAACGCAGAUGGCUCAAUCAAUAAAUAUAAAGCAAGGUUAGUUGUGAAAGGGUACGCUCAAGUUUUCGGAGUAGACUUCUUUGAUACUUUUGCUCCUGUUGCAAGGUUAGAUACCAUCAGAAUGCUACUGGCUAUUGCAGCACAAAAGCAAUGGAAAAUCCAUCAACUAGAUGUAAAAUCAGCAUUCUUAAAUAGAUUUUUGGAAGAAAAAAUUUAUGUUGAGCAACCUGGAGGAUUUACUGUGAAAGGCCAUGAAGAGAAGGUGUAUUUAUUGAAGAAGACAUUGUAUGGCUUAAAACAAGCCCCAAGGGCCUGGUACAGCAAAAUUGAUGAAUACCUACUAAACUUAGGCUUUGCAAAGAGUCUUAGUGAGUCCACUUUAUAUAUAAAAGGUAACACUACUGAUUUCAUUAUGGUCUCAUUAUAUAUUGAUGAUCUUUUGGUCACUGGCAGCAAUAUUGAGCUUAUUCAACAGUUAAAAAAAGACAUGAUGCAAGUCUUUGAGAUGACUGAUCUUGGAGAAAUGUCUUACUUUCUCGAAAUGGAAAUUAAGCAAAGACAAGGUGAAGUUUUCAUCUGUCAACAGAAGUAUGCGAAGGAAAUCUUAAGGAAGUUUAACAUGGAGAACUGCAAAAGUGUAACUACUCCUAUGUGUCAAAAAGAGAAGCUUUACAGGGACGAUGGAAGCGAAAAAGUGGAUAAGUCACACUAUAGAAGUUUGAUGGGCUGCUUAAUGUAUCUUACAGCAACAAGACCAGAUAUACCGUUUGCUGUAAGUGUUCUUUCUAGAUUCUUGAAUUAUGCUAGUGAGUCUCAUCUUAUUGCCGCAAAAAGAGUUCUUCGGUAUGUCAGGGGAACCUUAAGUUUUGGGUUAAAUUCAGUUCUUCAACAAACUUCCAGUUGUACGGUUAUUCUGAUAGUGAUUGGGGUGGAUCGUUCGAUGACAAGAAAAGCACAUCUGGUUUUUGUUUCAGUUUUGGAUCAGGAAUAUUCAACUGGAGUUCGAAGAAACAAGAAAUUGUAGCACAAUCUACAGCUGAAGCAGAAUUUAUAGCUGCUGCAUCAGCAGUUAAUCAAGCUCUUUGGCUGCGGAAAAUUCUAAAUGAUAUAAACUUGGUACAAAAGACAAGUACUGAGAUUAUGGUGGACAAUCAAGCAGCAAUAGCCAUCUCUAAUAAUCCAGUUUUUCAUGAAAAAAUCAAGCAUUUCAGCAUUAAACUUUUCUUCGUUAGAGAUGUUCAAAAGGAUGGUGCAGUACAACUCAAGCAUUGCAAGACUAAAGAUGAGCUGGCAGACAUAUUUAGAAAGCCUCUUGCAAAGAUUAGAUUUGAAGAUCUAAGAGAAAAACUUGGAGUUCGCACCUACUGAUGCAAGGAGGAGUGUUUGAAUGUGUGCAUCAGUGAUUAAUUUGUUUUCUCAUGUUCAAUUUGAUUUCUUUUACCAAGUCUUUAGGAGUUUGUUAAGCAGUUAGUGCCUUAGUGGCAUUAGUUGGCACAGUUGUUGAUUUUCAGCUAGUUAGUUGUUUUUUCCAGUUUUUAAAUCAGUGUAUUUAAUUAUGAAAUUAUACCAUCAUUGACUAUCAAUCUUCUUCUCUCAAUUUUAUUCUCGUCUCUACUGUAAAACAAACCAACAAAUAUUAAUGAUCCUUGAGAUUUACCUCUCACAUUCUAAGCUUAAUUCUCAGAAAUUCUAUUGUUUUUGGUAAAGCUUCGAUUAUCUAAUCAGCAAGCUGCAAAUCACUUGAACAAUGGUGCAGCUUUAUAAAACAAAUCAAUUGGAGAGUUUUGAAUCUGUCCUAGAUCAUCAAGUAACUUUUUUAACCAUAUAUCAUGAUUUGCAACAGCUGCAACUGAGAUAUACUCAGCUUCCACAGUUUCUUGUGUAACAAUAUCUUUCAAGUCAAACGGAGAUUACCUGUUCCGGAGGGAUCCUUGCAUUCCAACAAAUAACUCUUGAACCUAAUGAGAAAAUAUAGUCAGAAGUGUUCUUCAUGUCAUCUACACAAUCAGCCCAAUCGUUGUCACCAUAUCCAAUUAACUUUACAUUUUCAAUCUUCAUAUACCAAGUAUCAAGGUCUGUGGUACCCUUCACAUAUUUCAACACUCUUCGUGCAACUCUCAUAUAGACAUUGCUAGGUGAACUCAUGAAUCUUGAUAGCAAACCAACAUGGAACAUCAAAUCUAGUCUAGCUGUUGUCAAAUAUAGCAAACUUCCUACAAUUCUGAGCAAGAGUAGAAAUUUCCUUAUAUGGCUCUAAUUUGAACUUCUUAAGAGCAUCUAUGACAUACUUUCUUUGUGAAAUGAAGAUGCCUGUGCUGCAUUAGUGUAUCUCCAUCCGAGGAAAGUAAUUCAUGGGACCUAGAUCAAACAUUUUAAACACAUUUUUCAUUUUCCUUUUGAAUUUCUAGGAGCAUUUCCAAUGCAUUUUUUAAAGCAUUUCUAAUGCACUCUUUAUAUAUGUCAAACUCUUUAUUUUAAAGAGUCAUAACAUAAAGUGACAUCUCAAUGCACGUUUUAUUCUUUAAAUAUAAAAUAGAUAUGGAGAGUCAACUUUACUCUCUCCUCUAUAUUUAAUAAAUGCACUAUAAAUUUUUAUACAUUUGAUUUAAUUGAUAUAUGUUAUUCUUAUUUUUUCUAUUGCUAAAAAUUANNNNNNNNNNNNNNNNNNNNNNNNNNNNNNNNNNNNNNNNNNNNNNNNNNNNNNNNNNNNNNNNNNNNNNNNNNNNNNNNNNNNNNNNNNNNNNNNNNNNNNNNNNNNNNNNNNNNNNNNNNNNNNNNNNNNNNNNNNNNNNNNNNNNNNNNNNNNNNNNNNNNNNNNNNNNNNNNNNNNNNNNNNNNNNNNNNNNNNNNNNNNNNNNNNNNNNNNNNNNNNNNNNNNNNNNNNNNNNNNNNNNNNNNNNNNNNNNNNNNNNNNNNNNNNNNNNNNNNNNNNNNNNNNNNNNNNNNNNNNNNNNNNNNNNNNNNNNNNNNNNNNNNNNNNNNNNNNNNNNNNNNNNNNNNNNNNNNNNNNNNNNNNNNNNNNNNNNNNNNNNNNNNNNNNNNNNNNNNNNNNNNNAUUUAUAAUUUUAUGGUUUUUAUACAGAUUUUAAUUCUAAAAUAUAACAUAUUAAUUAUAUUCUAAUUCAAUUAUACAUUUCUUUUCCUAAUAUAUAUAUAUAUAUAUAUAUAUAUAUAUAUAUAUAUAUAUAUAUAUAGGUACAGUUAAUUUGUUAAUAAUUUCUAAACAAAGUCUUGAUACAAAGUGCUUCAGCAUAAACUAAGCAGUGUUUUCACAUACUCUCUUUUUCCUUUUUUCUUUUUUCUUUUAAGUGAUCUUUUUUAUGCAUGUGUUGUUUAUAUUGAUGUUCUCAAAGUCUUUUUCAUCUCAAAGUAAACUUAUUUGAUUAUAGGAAACCUUUAGCUACUAAUAAACAAAAAUUAUGGCAUCUAAAUAUUCUCAAGAACUCGGAGAUGUAAAUCUAACAGGUCUAACUCUUGCUUCCUUAAAGCACAUCAUCACAGCCAAGUUCUCCAGGACCAAAAGAAUAGAGAUUUGGAAGCUUUAAAGUUGAUUUGAUCCACUCUGACAUUUAAUAACCAGACAGUCAACUAAAUACAAACUGGAAAAAGCAAAUUAGACCAAGGUGUUAUGUUAUCCACUAUUUUAUGUAUCUGCCUGCCUCAGCCAAUCAUGAAAUGUAGAUUUGCAUUAUCCAGCAUGCAGCCCUUAACAAUGUUAAUGAAGACAUGAUCUCAAGAAAUGUAGAUUGCUGCCCUGAUGAAAAAUAUUUUGCUUUCUUCUCUCAACUGAAUCACUAACCGCCCAUAUGCAACAAAAAAAUGAAAAAACUCUACCUAAGCCUCUCAACAGCUGCCUGUAAAAUUUCCUUAUCAUCUGCCUAUUAAUUGCAUCCACAGACUGGACUGAAUUAAGUAAAUAAUAUGUGCAACAGAAACCACUCUUUUGUUGUGUCAAAUCCAACUGUAACCCGGAUUCUUCCUCACUCCUCUAUCACACAUCAGUUUCCUUACAUCUGCCGCAUCGUCCCAAUAGCCUUCUGUUGCCAACAUAUUGGACAGUAAUAUGUAUGUUGCGGGAUCAUCAGGCCACAGCUCUAGAAGCUUUCUUGCAGAUCGCACAGCAAUUUCUCUAUUUCCAUGAACUAAACAAGCACUAAGCAGAGCUUUGUAAACUGAGGGCCCUGGAUCCAUAGGCAUGCAAUUAAUUAUGGCCUCAGCUUCACUUAGAUACCCAGCUCUACCAAAGAUAUCAACAACACUAGCGUAAUGCUCUACUCUAAGAGGUUCGAGUGAUAUAUCACUUCUCAUAAAAUCAAAAUACUCAAGCCCCUUAUCCACGCUACCAACAUGGCUACAAGCAGAUAACACAGCAAGGAAGGUGGUACUAUUAGGUUUGAUCUUAGUUUUUCUCAUCUGCUCAAAUAAUUCAACAGCCUCGUUACCAAAUCCAUGGUGAGCACAUCCUGUUAGAAGUGCAUUCCAUGAGACCACAUCAUGAUCCUCCAUCAACCAAAACACCCUCUUUGAAUCAUCAAUAGCUCCACAUCUUGCAUACAUGGAGACAAGCCCAUUUUGAACAUAAACACUCGAAGCAUACCCUGUUUUUACAAUAAGAGCAUGCAUUUCCCUUCCUUCUUCAAUAGCUAAAAAAGCCCCUAUUGCUCCUAACAAACUUGUAAAUGUGUAGAAGUCCAUUUUGAUGUUAGCAUGCCUCAUUUCACAGAAACACUUAAGAGCAUCCUCACCUAAUCCUAGAUUUGAAUAACCAGCAAUGACUGCAUUCCAUGAUAUUUGAUCACUUAAUUGAACACCAGAGGAUAUUUUAUUAAAAUCCUCCAAAUUGUUAGUACACUUUGAAUACACAGUCACAAGUGUAGCUGCUAUAUAAAGAUUACACUCCAAACCACACCGAAUUAUAGAACAAUGAACUUGCUUGCAAUACUGCAUAUAUUUAGGACCAGAAAAUGAACUAAGAAGACUAUUAUAAGUCACAUAAUUUGCCUUAAUACCCAGACGCAUCAUUUCUCUUACUAAAAUCAUUGCUUCAUCAGGUUGCUCAUUCUGUGCAUAUGCAGUGACCAUAGCAGUCCAAGUAACCACAUUCUUAUCCACCAUAUAAUCAAAAACCCUCCAAGAAUCAUCAACACCGUCACAUUUUGAGUACAUGUCAAUUAAAGCCGUCCCCACAAAAACAUUAUUAUCAAACCCAAGUUUCAGACUUAGUCCAUGAACCUGAGCUCCAAAGUUUCGAACCUCUAAUUGGGAGCAGACAACAAGACAAGUCGAAACACUAAAUGAUGUUACACCUCUCAUCGCACCUAACAUCUCGACAAACAAUUGAACAGCAACAUGUGGGCAUGACAUUCAAAUACCCAAAGAUUAACGAAUUCCAAGUAACAUCAUUUCGUUCAGGCAUUUCGUUGAAAACUUCAUGAGCACUCUGAAUUUCGCUACACUUAGCAUACAUAUCUACGACAGCGCUGCAUAUAUGUACGUUUGAAGUAAAACCCAUUCUGAUAAUGGUAGAAUGUAAUUGAAUACCCAGAUCAUAAGAAGCAAACUUCGCACAAAAGGAGACAACUUUGUUGAUAAAGUAAGGAUUAGAAAAGGACCCAUUUCGCAGUAAAUGAGCAAAUAGGUCUGAAUCAAAGGUCUGGUAGUACUGAUAGAGGUAAUCUUGUUCUGGGUUGCUGGCAAUGUGGUAAGCGCGGGAAAGCAGAUGAUUGGUGGGUUUGAAAGCUCUCUGUAGAUUGCACCACAGUUGAGAAGUAAAGAAUCGCAAGCUCAUUGAGUUGCAAACCAUUUCAGAGAUACAAAUUUAUCACAAUUUACCAUUGUAUCAUGGUUACAUUAAGAGACAGAUCCGUAACUACACAAACGACGAUGUCAUUGGAUAACCUGGGGAACUCAUUCGAAGGAGACAUUUAAUACAAAUUAGUACUUGAAAUAAAUACUUAUGUCACUUUACUCCUCAUGUAGACCUGGUCUACUAUCGGGCCAAGUCAAGUUCGAGCUGGCUUAACUUUCCAAGUUUUUAUCCCUACGCCAGUUCGGGUUGCUUUUACUGAAGAGAUAAUUAUAUUUUUAAUGUUUAAAUUUAUAUGAUAAUUAAAUGGUUAAAUUUUUAAAAUUAAAAUUAAAUUUGAUAAUUUAUAAAUAAAUUAUAAAUAAUAUUUUUAGUAGAUUAUAUAUUAUAUAUACUGUUGUAAAAUUCUUUUUAUGUAAAUGAGAUGAAAAAUAAAAAAUACAUAGUAAAAAUGCGUCGUAAAAUAAUAAAAUGAUAAAUUUAUUUAUUAUAUAUAAAUGUGUUUUUAUUAAGUCAUUAGAAUUUUGUUAUGUAAUAAAUAUUAAAAUUUAUAAAUUAAAAAUCAAGAAUUAAGACUAUUAAAUUGGGAUUAAUAGAAAUUAAAGGAAGAAAGUUAUAUAAGAUAAAAUUUAUUAUAAAAUUAUAUCACAAAUGAAUAUAUUUUAAUUUUUGACGUGUUCAAUAAUUUUUUAUUUUUUAUUGAUAACUAAAAAAUUAAAAAAAAUUAAAAAUUACCUGCUAAAAAUAUUAUUUUUUUAUUUUUUUAUAAAUUAUUAUAUUUAAUUAUUAAUUUUAAAAAUUCGACCACUCUAUUUCCAUUUUUUUGACAAGAUCAGACUAACUAUUUCUUUACUAAAAUAUAUAAAACCCACAACUAUGUUCCUGUACUAUGCCAGUUUAUUUCAGUUUAGUCCUAUAUAUCUAUUUGUUUUCUGAAGAGUCCUUAUACUAUAAUCUUUAUUAUCUUUAUGUCCUUAUAUGAGCGGCUUGUGCAUAUGGCUGAUGAAAUCGUCAAACUAAGUCCAGCCAAGCAAAUUAAUUAAAAAUCAAAGUACACAUUAGCUGACAAGUGUCAUACAGGGAUGAUUACAUGGCAAGCACCUAAUAUAAAUUGAUAUAACACUUUAGUUUCUUACCUAGAUUUCCAUUCACCUGAAUCAAAUUUUAGAAAAUUUAGAACAAGAAAAGUAAAAAAAGAAAUAGCUCGUCUUGAUGAUGAGUAGCUGUUUGAAACUAAAUUAUUUAACGGGAUCCCUCUUGUAAUGAAUUAUUAUUCAAUGUUUUGAAAUUGACCUGCAAAAUCUUAAUAAUAUCAAAAAGAACCAAAACUUAAAAGAUUUCAACAUAUAAAGACACCAAUAUUUACAAUAUAUAUAUAAAAAAUACAUUGCAAAAAACCACAAGAAGGGUAUUUCUUUUAUAGUAUAUAGUUACCGUCUAAUAUUUAAAAUUUAUAUUUUUCAUCCUUCUAUUUUUAAAAACCCCUCCUCUUGAAAUUUUCGUUAAACAAUCGUUAACUAUAUUUGAUUUUAUACUAUUUACUCAUUGAUCUUUAGUGUAAUAUACAAAUUACCCCUUAUAGUUUAUUUAUUAUACUAUAACCCUUUGUCUAAUUUUUGUGCAAAAGUUAAUUUUAGUGUCUAUACAAAAAUAAUUAACUAGUAUUCUUUAAUUACUCUAAUUUUAGCAUAAUUAAAUUUUAGUAAAAUUUAAAUAUUUUAAAAAUACUUAUAUUUGUCAAAAUAUUAAAAAUUCAUAUAAUUUAACUUUAAAAUAUUAAAAUAAAAUAGGCAUUAUUUUUAUUAUUAAUUUUGUUACACUAGAAUUGUAACUUCGAUAAAAAGUUUAAUGAUCAAAUUAUAUUUUUUUUAUCAAUUUAGUUAUUUAAUUGUAUUGACUUUUACAAGGGAUCUUAGUGAAAUAAAAAAUGUAGAGGUAAUUUGUAUAUUAUACAAAAGUUCAAGGGCAAAUAGUAAUCCAGUUAACAAUUGUUUAACGAAAAAUCGGAUGGAAUGAGUUUUUAGUAUUAAAAAAUAUAAUUUUUAAAUAUUAAGGGGUAAAUACUGUAAUAUAAAAAGAACAAGAGAUGUAUAGCAAUUACUCCUUUAACGGUAGUGAUGGUGAGAUGGGUAACAAAGAGUCAGAUUCGGAUAAGAUUAUUUUGAAUNNNNNNNNNNNNNNNNNNNNNNNNNNNNNNNNNNNNNNNNNNNNNNNNNNNNNNNNNNNNNNNNNNNNNNNNNNNNNNNNNNNNNNNNNNNNNNNNNNNNNNNNNNNNNNNNNNNNNNNNNNNNNNNNNNNNNNNNNNNNNNNNNNNNNNNNNNNNNNNNNNNNNNNNNNNNNNNNNNNNNNNNNNNNNNNNNNNNNNNNNNNNNNNNNNNNNNNNNNNNNNNNNNNNNNNNNNNNNNNNNNNNNNNNNNNNNNNNNNNNNNNNNNNNNNNNNNNNNNNNNNNNNNNNNNNNNNNNNNNNNNNNNNNNNNNNNNNNNNNNNNNNNNNNNNNNNNNNNNNNNNNNNNNNNNNNNNNNNNNNNNNNNNNNNUUUAUUUUUCUUAAAAUUUUCUAGUUGAAAAUCUGAAGUUCAAAGUUUCAAUACUAAUAAUGGAUCAUCUUUUACCUCGUACCUGCAUGAUUGCUUCUUUGUUAGACUAUUAUUUUGUUUAUCUUAUAGUUUCCUUCAAAAUUAAAGAAAACAAAUCAAAAAAUAAGUUUUUUUUUUUAAUUUUAAAAAUAGGUUACUUGUAAAUGUGUUUCUAUUGAUAAAUUAAUCAAUUUUAAAUUCAAAAUGCAUUGCAAAUUUAUUUAAUUAAUUCAUUAUUAUCAAUUAAAUUUUUUGAUUUUUAUUAGAAAAACUGCUUAAAUUUAUUAAUUUAAAUUUUUUACUCAAAAUAUAAUUUUAUUUUCAAAUCCAAACAUUUUACCUCAUAAAUAUAACAUAAAUACAAAUUAAAAUAAAAAUUAAACUAAAUUACAAGAUAACAAAUAUGAAGUUGUUUUCUAUUAUAAAUAUUUUAUUUGAUAACUUGUUAAUAUUUUGUUUCUUAAUAUUAUAUAUAUUUAAUUGAAGUUAAUUAUUUUAUUUAAUGGCUAAUAAUUAAUAAUUUAAAAAAAAUUAGAAUUUAAGAGAUGAUAUUACAAAAUAUAUAUUUAUAAAAUUUUAGUUGAAAUAAAAUAUAUUAAAAAAAUUAGUAGCGAAAUGAUUAUAUAUGAUAAUUAAAUGUCACAAAAUAUUACAUUACAGGUUAUUUUAGAUUUUGAAUAUAGUUAUGUCAGGUAUUAUCAAAUUAUGUCGAUUUCAAGAUCUAAUAGUUUCGGGUUCGCCUUAUUUUCAGUUUUUACCUAUUUCGAGCUAGGAUUGUUUUUGUCCCAAGUCAUUUGGAUUCAAAUCACUUCGGUCUUUGAUUGCUUCAAGUCUGAGUCAUUUUAGGUUCAAGCAAUUUCGGUCUCGUUAUUUUAGAUUUGAAUUUUUAUUUUUUAUUAAAAUUCAGAUUCGAACAUAUCAAAUUUUAGGCGAGUAAGAUCGGAUUUCCAUAUUUUAGUAUUAGAGAUGGCAGAUAGGCAGAUAUUUUCGGAUAUCUAACCUAACCAAAUCCUAAUAAGACUGGUUCAAAUAAUUAUAAACAAAUUUGAGAUUAAAUUCUAAUAUCCAUGCAGAGCUCGAAAUCAAACUCUUGGAUACCCGCUACUUGAACCCGAUUAUUUAAACAAAUACGGAUAUUGAGUACUUGAAUUUAGUACCCAAUGUCCGCUUAAAUGACAGACAUAUAUAUUAUGUACAUGAAAUAAAAUAAGAAAAAAUUAAAAUUAUAAAUUUUAUAUAAACUUACAUACUUUAGAUUUUAUACUUUAUUAAUUUUUGUUAAUAUAUUUUAGAUUUUAAUUAUUGUAAAUGGAUUUAGUAGAUAGAUACUCAUAUAAUUACUCGAAUAUUAAUAUGGAUAGAGUAUUUGCUACCUAUUUAAAUAUCUAUAAAAAUUAUUUAAUAAAUAUAUAUUAAAUGGAAUUUUAUCUACUUGAAAUAGUAUAUGGAUACUUUUAUCUAAAUUUAAAAUAAGUUCAAAUAAUUAUGUAAUCUCUUAAAUGAAUUUAAAAUAAAUAUAAGUAUACAUAUUUUAAUUGAGUACAAAUUCUAAUAUUUUUAAAUAGGCAAACACCUUAUCUGUAAUACAAAGUUUAGGAGCUAAAUUAGUCCUUAUUUCUUUUCUAAAAUGUAAUACAAGAGGUUGAGCAUUGUUUUGGCGGUGUUUGGCUUGUCUAAUAAAGCAGCAUAAUAGCAUUUGUAAUUAUACUUUUUAUAUAAUUUUUAAUAAAUUAUAAAUAAAUAAUUUUUUAUUUUAAUUUAUCUUGAAAUGUACAUGUAUUUUAAUAAUUUUUUAUUUUAUUUUUUUGUUAAUAAAAUAAAAAUAAAAAAACGAAUAAGAAAAUGUAAUUUUCAAAAGAAAAAAAUUAAAAAAAAUAAGAGACAAAAAUAAUAGAAAUUCUUAAAAUUUAAAAAGAGAGAAUAAACCAAUAUCAGUGAUUUAAGAGGUGGUUGAGGGUGCUCGGACAAGUGAACAUUAAGGUUGGCUCGACUAAGCUGGCUUAACUAGGUUGCACACAUAAACCCCUCUGUGUCGCCACUCACCAAAGCAGUCCUCUUACGAUUAUUGACUGCUAAAACCCCAUUUUCCUGAUUUUUAUCUAACAUUUCCUCUCUUUUCAUUACUCUCUCCCUUAUCUCUCCACACUCCCAUCCAUCAGCCAUGCCCUCCUUCGCCGCACCCACCAAUCUCAUCACCAACACUCCUCUCUCCUCCUCUUCCCGCCGUAAAUCACUCGCCUCCUCGACCGGCACUCCUCGCGCUUCCUCUUUCAAAUGCGAUCUCUCUUCUUCUUCUUCUUCUUCUUCUUCUUCUUCUUCACAACAAAACCCUAAACCCCACAAUUCCCUUCUCAAAACCUUGACUAAACCUCUGGCCGUUGCUUCCGCUGCCAGUCUCUUCCUCCGACUCACCCCCAUCCCUUCCCCCUUCAGCGGCGGUGGUAAUAAUGGCGGCGACUGGGGAGGCCGGGGCGGCGGAGGAGGUGGAGGCGGAGAAAACAACUUUAAUGGCGGUGAAGCUGGCGGAGAUGGGUUUUGGAAUAAACUGUUUCAACCGGCACCGGCAAUUGCGGACGAGUCACAGUCAAAAGAUUUUGAUUCACAUGGUUUACCGGCAAACAUUGUGGUUCAGUUAAACAAAUUGAGCGGUUUUAAGAAAUACAAACUCUCAGACAUCGUUUUCUUCGAUCGGCGACGAUAUACAACUGUCGGCAGCCAAGAUUCAUUUUUUGAAAUGGUGUCACUCCGACCGGGAGGGACUUACACGAAAGCACAGCUCCAAAAAGAGCUUGAAACACUAGCGAGUUGUGGAAUGUUCGAGAAAGUAGAUAUGGAAGGAAAAACAAACCCUGAUGGAACCCUAGGGAUUACGAUUUCAUUUACUGAGAGUACAUGGCAAUCAGCCGAUAAGUUUAGGUGUAUCAAUGUAGGACUAAUGCAACAGUCGAAACCAAUUGAGAUGGAUCCAGAUAUGACUGAUAAGGAGAAAUUAGAGUAUUAUAGGAGUCAAGAGAAGGAUUAUAAGAGAAGGAUUGAGAAGGCGCGCCCGUGUUUGUUGCCCGCAUCUGUGAAUAGAGAGGUGCUUCAGAUGUUGAGAGAUCAAGGGAAGGUUAGCGCGAGAUUGUUGCAGAAGAUUAGGGAUAGAGUACAGAAAUGGUAUCAUGAUGAAGGCUAUGCUUGUGCUCAGGUUGUUAAUUUUGGGAAUCUGAAUACUAAAGAAGUUGUUUGUGAAGUUGUUGAAGGGGAUAUUACUCAGAUGGUUAUUCAGUAUCAGGAUAAACUUGGUAAUGUUGUUGAAGGGAAUACUCAACUUCCUGUUGUUAAAAGGGAAUUGCCUAAACAGGUGAAUUUUCAAUUUGGUUGUUUAUGUGAUUAGUGCAUGACUUUGAGGACCAAUAUAGACUUCAGUUUUAGGUUAGACUGAAUGAACCAUUUCCCAUAAGUUCCAUAUUCAGUAAAAGCUGUGAAUAUAACCAAUUAAGAUAUCUGAUUCAAUAGAAACAAUAAAGCAAAUGGGGCGUAUAAAUAGUAACAAAAUUUGUUUUGGUUGUUAAGUCAUCAAUAUCUAAGACUUCAUAUUAAACUGAGCAUAUAUUUACCAAUAAUCUAGGGCUCUAGGACAAAUGAAUUUGAUAAAUAAAGCCAAAUUGUUAAUUCAAUUGUUCAAUUUCAUAAUCAUGGCAGGUGAUAUAGUUGGACUAUUAUUUUAUUUUGAUGGAGAUUACUAGUUUAAACAUUUGAGCCUUUAGUCCCAAGCAUGAAUUAUCAGUUAUUAGACUUGCAUUGCCAAUUGAAUUGCUGCUGACUUUUUGCUUACAUCCUACCCUAGGCUACAAAAAUCUUUGUGCGCUGACUCAGUGAUAUGUAUAUUAAUUGGUAACAUACAGCUUCGACAAGGUCAAGUUUUUAACAUUGAAGCUGGGAAACAAGCUCUCAGGAACAUAAAUUCAUUGGCCUUGUUUUCAAAUAUUGAAGUGAACCCAAGGCCUGAUGAGAAGAAUGAGGGAGGAAUUAUUGUUGAGAUUAAGCUUAAAGAACUAGAGCCUAAAUCAGCUGAAGUUAGCACUGAGUGGAGUAUUGUACCUGGACGUGGAGGGCGUCCCACAUUGGUAUGUAUGUCCAGUUAUGUAAUGAAUCCAUUUCUAAUUAGAUUUGACUUGAGGCUUAGUACCAUAGUUCUAAUUAAAAAAAUUAUGACAUUCCUGUCCAGGCUUCAUUCCAGCCAGGUGGAACUGUUUCUUUUGAGCACCGGAAUAUCAAAGGGCUGAAUAGAUCCAUUCUUGGUUCAAUAACCACCAGCAAUUUCUUUUUACCUCAGGUGAUUUCUCAUAAAUAUUUAUUUGUUUUUCCCUCAAUAGUAUCCAGGGAUGCUUCAUUAUCCUUCACCUAAUGUAUCACAUCUGAAAAUGUCAUUGGUGAAUCUAUUCAUCAGGAUGAUCUUGCUUUUAAGCUGGAGUAUGUUCAUCCAUAUUUGGAUGGUGUAUAUAAUCCACGCAACCGCACUCUCCGUGCAAGCUGCUUCAACAGCCGGAAACUAAGUCCAGUCUUCACUGGUGGGCCAGGAGUGGAUGAAGUCCCUCCUAUAUGGGUUGAUCGUGCUGGCCUCAAAGCUAACAUUACUGAGGUGAUUUGGCAAUGCCUUAUCUAUGUAUAGUCUGUUGUUUGGGAAGCCUUUUGAAUCCUAUCAGGUCUUUACCUAACAAAUGCUAAUUGACAUGUGAAAACAGAAUUUUACUCGUCAGAGUAAAUUUACUUACGGAAUUGUGAUGGAAGAGAUAACAACACGAGAUGAAAGCAGCCAUAUUUCUGCCAAUGGUCAAAGAGUGUUGCCAAGUGGAGGAAUUAGUGCAGAUGGGCCUCCAACAACUCUCAGUGGUACUGGCAUUGAUCGCAUGGCCUUUCUACAAGCAAAUAUCACGCGUGAUAACACCAAGUUCGUAAAUGGAGCUGUAGUUGGUGAGAGGAAUGUAUUUCAGGUUAGCUUUUUUCUGUUUUUAAUUUUUUAUCUUAAGGGGUGUUUUGAAUUAGUUUUAUUAUUAAAAUCUUUGGAGUUGCUGAACCCUCUACUUUUGUUUGUGUUUUAGAUGCAAACUGCCUUUUUCUUUUUCCUUUUUCUGUUUUAUCUUUUUAGUUUAUUAGUGAGCUGAGGAAAGUAAAAGGGUAUAAUUAUGCUUGGGCAAGUAUCACUUAUACUAUUCGCUUUAGAGAACAAUCUUUGAGCAUACUCAAGGUUUGGAAUGAUUAUCGUAAUGCCUUGUUACGGUGCUGGUGUUUGAUUAAGUAAAUCUUGGAAUGCAAACAUUGAGGAUUUGUUGAGAGAAAAUAGUACAUUUAAAAUGUAUAUCUAUUUACUGUUUGCAUUUCCUGAGCUCCUGAGUCCUGAAUGCCAAGUAUUUAUCUUGAAUGAAAGAGAUAAUGUUCCCCCUAAGUGUCAGCGAAACUUCAGUAGUUCAAUAGAUAUUGUGUACUGUAACAAUUUGGUGGUUAUGUACAAAUUUUGGGUUUGGUUGUGCAGUGGGUUUAUCUUCACAGAAUGUCUACCAAUCUCAGUUUGUGUCUUUCGGAAGUAAUAUGUUGACUUCUCAGAUCUUUUAUGUGCGAGUUGCAGGUGGACCAAGGCCUUGGAAUUGGCAGCAAGUUUCCAUUCUUUAACCGUCACCAACUUACUAUCACGCGAUUUAUACCAUUGACGCAAGUGGAGGAAGGUGCUGGUAAACCGCCACCGCCUGUACUUGUCCUGAAUGGGCAUUAUGGUGGAUGUGUAGGAGAUCUUCCAAGUUAUGAUGCUUUUACCCUUGGCGGACCUUAUUCUGUAAGAGGCUACAAUAUGGGUGAAUUAGGAGCAGCCAGAAACAUCCUUGAGGUAAGAAUUACUGGAGACAAGUUAACUGAAUAGGAUGAACUGUCUUCUAAAUUAUAUACUGUUAUUUUAGUUCUGUUACAUGUGAAAUGGAGAGAGAUCUGUACCAACCAUUAAUCUACUGAUUAUCUAUAGAUGGAAACUACAUUUCAAAAGCAUGGAGAACUGCAGCUAAAUAUCUGAUUUCUUUUUUACAUUUUUGCCUGCAGCUUGGAGCUGAAAUAAGAAUACCUGUGAGAAAUACGCAUGUAUAUGCAUUUGCAGAGCAUGGAAAUGAUCUCGGAACAUCGAAGGAUGUCAAAGGAAACCCAACAGAGGUCUACAGGAGAAUGGGACAUGGUUCAUCAUAUGGUGUUGGUGUCAAGCUGGGUUUAGUGAGAGCUGAGUAUGCGGUCGAUCAUAAUACUGGCACUGGUUCAAUAUUUUUCCGUUUUGGGGAGAGAUACUGAAAACAAUCCACAAUUGGUUAUGUAGAUGUGCUUAGUAUAUUUCAGCUAUUAGGUUUUUUUGGAAGAACUGGAACUGUUGACCAGAGCGAAACUUUACGAGAACCCUAGAACUAGAUUGAGAAAUAUCUUUUCAUUUGAGUGCACUGCGCCCUUUUUCCAGUAGAUGGUUGUUAGUCUCUUAUAUUGGCUGUUUGAUGAGAGAUUUGAAAUGGUGAAAAAGAGACGGAUGUUUCAGAUAAUUUGUGUGCUUGCUCUUUAGACAUGUCUCUGGCUAAUUAGGCAAGUUUCUUUAUCUUUGGUUGUGUAAAACUGAAAAUAAAUUUACACAUUUCAAAGUGAUUAAAUUUUCUCAAGUCUCUUUUGGCUUUUGCUUUAGAUUAAGUCUGGCCUUUCUAACAAGUAUAACAUCUUUAUGUAUUUCGGUUCCUGAUAAUGAUCUUAUGACGAAUUAGAAAUCUCAGUAAUUGAUAUAUCCAGGUCCUCCAAUUUCACCAGGUACACCGCAAAUUGAAGAAGAGAAGGCUUGCGAGGAAAUAAAAUGAUUUCGUGGAUUUAUAUCUAUUGAAAUGGUGAAAUCUGCAGGUGAUCCAAUUCAGGGAUGCAGACUUGCAUGCCUCCCUACCACAGAACUACAACUACAAAUAUCCACAAGCUCACGUCUUCCAUGGCCAAAGGCUGAAAACUGCACUCUCAAUACCAUCAUGCAAUCCUCAUACCUAGCAGAAGUUGCCUUCCAUGUUCCAUCCAUAUAAGAUUAAUGGCAAGAUAAGGCUUCAUUAGAAGUCACUCUUCAGACUGUUUAAGAGUAAUGGCAAGCAAUUAUUUCUGAUGCUUCAUCCUCCCCUUCAAUGCCGUGUUGCAUUUAACUGCUACAAUCCCAAUUCCUUUUUCAACUUAGCCAGAGUUGCUUCAAUCUCGUCAAUGUUAUCUUUAAUGCUGCUACCCCUGCCACCUUCGUUUUGAACAUCAUUUCCUGUUCGUUUUGUCCCUGAACUCGCAAAUGAACUGUCCUUUUGAGAUCCAAAAUCAUUUGCUUCAGCUUCUGUAUUGGUAAUGUCAAGCUCUUUCUCCAGAAAUUCCACAAAGUCUUCUCCAAUUUCCUGUAAAACAUUAAAUAUCAUAGAACGUGAGACUGUCAUUUAAUAGUCCUAUCUGAUUUACACAAAUCUUCAGGUUUAUACAAAUGUCCAAAGAAUAAUUGGGGUGGGAGCAAAGGGAUAAAUUAUGCAUUAGAAAAAGACAUACUGCUAAUUCCUCCCAUAGGCUCUUUGGUUUCCCCUGUGAUGAAGAAGUCGCUUCCCAAUUCUGAAAUUCUUCUUGCAGAUCUCUAAAGAAGUCCCCUGUAACAACAAUGUCAGAAUCGGAGAACUAAAAGGACAAGGAUAGUAGAAAAGUGAAAAUGCCAUCAGGAUCUUGAACAACAGGAAAGAAACAGAUUAUAACAAUUGUCUCAUCUUGUAGAGAGUACAAACUACCUAUUGUUAUUUGAACAUCCCUCAAAAAAUCACCUGCAGCAUAAAGCGUUCAAGUAUAAGAACACGUGAACCUAAAUCCUAAAAAUGCCUUAUAAAAGACACCAUAAAACAUUAAGCAAAUGAUUUCUCCGUCCAUUCGGAAGAUUAUCCAUAGAGGUUCACCAGAAAAAAACUAUUUGAAGAGCAUGUAAGAAAACUACAAACAACCAUUAAUUCCAGCACAGUUCACUUAGUUAAAAUUAGCCUGUCAGAUAUUCGAGGACAUGAUAUGUCAACUGUCUGCUACAGUGCUAUCCUCAAAUGGAAAAGAGUAACAACAGAAUCAUAUAGCAGUACAGUUCCCGCUUAUGUUUCAAAUGGAAAAGAGUAAUAACAGAAUCAUAGAUUCUGAUGCUGUUAACCAAGCAACAUCUUGUCAAUAAAAAGAACCGUUCACAGAUGGCAAAAAAAGAUAGCAUGAAUUUUAACCAAAGGUCCCGGUGCUACCCAGUUAUAAAUUGGUCCAAGUUGAUGAUUGAACACAAUCAUUUAAGCACUUUAUAUUAAUUCUUCCAGUUGACUGGUAGAAGGAAUCAGGUUGGACCUCAUCCCAGGAGAUCCUUCAGUAAAGACACACUAAUUAGAAUGUGUCAGGUGUUUCAAGGCAACUUAAUAAACCACUAAACGGGUGAUCAUCAUAGCAAACUUGGUGCAGGUAAUCAACAAGUAGAAAAGAGCAAUAGACUCGACAAGCAUUUUACAAGUUCGAUAAUCACAAAGAUUUUGGUUGGUUUGCUAAUUUUACCAAAUCCGUAAAAUUCUUCUUCAUUUUGUGUAUUCCCGCUUUGACUUCUUUCCGUGUCGGAGUAUGAAAAACCAGAUGAUUUUCCAGCAUCAUUCUUCCUCCGAGAUUCAGAGUCCAGCAAUGUAGUGUAGGCAUGCUUAAUUCUCAUAAAUUUCUCCUGUGCAUUUGCCUGCCCACCAAAUAAAUUUCAAAAAGAAACCAAUUACAGAAACAUCAAAAAUAUCAGAAGUGUUUACAAUUUCCAGUGACCUAGUACAGUUUAUCCUCCCUAUCUCUCGAGAGUUAUCAUUCGUUCCUCGUGGGAGUAAAUUACAUACAGUCAAAAUUUGCAAUCCACUUCAGAUUUUGCAUGAAAAAGGCAAUGGGUACAAAAUAUAUACGUAUAGCCAGGAUUGUAAAAAAUUUCUUUUACAUAAUUUGAUCCAAUGCCUUCAAUUUGUAUCCAUAUCCAUAUUUACACAUACUAGUCACAGGACCCUUAAAGUUAUCCAGAAAACUCAGAAUGGCAUUCUAAUUAGAUAGGCGUUUACACUAAAUGCUUAAUAGAUAACUACACUAGAACUCGUUCCACAAGGAAACAACCUAUAAAAUUAACUUACUUUUGCACAAAGGAAAUUCAAGGAAAGAACAAGAAGUUACAAAAUAAAAAGAUACAAUAUCCUCAAGAUUCAAUAGAAUCAAUACAAUUUAGCCAAAAUAAUCUCCAAAAGACUAGAAAACUAGAUACGCCCAGUUAAAUUCUACACAAUUGGAGCUAAAUACACUUAAAAUUAGUCAAAUAAAAUAAAUAGCACAAGAGGACUGGAUACCUCCUUAUUAACAUCAGGGUGAUAUUUUAAAGCAAGUUUCCUGUAAGCCCUUUUAAUUUCAUCAGGAGUUGCAGAAGGAGAAACACCUAAUACUUGAUAAGGAGAUUCUCUACGACUGGCCUUCAAAAGGGUAACACAAUUUCUUCUCUUAUUGUUGAAGAUUGGAUUGGGUACUUGAGGAGUGUAAAAAUCACCUCUAUAAAAGCUAUAUCUAACACUGGGUAUUGCGUGGUUUCUUAAGAGAAGAAGAGAUCUUGGAGAAUAGAGAAGGUUUCUUGGUGUUGGAGGAGGAGACAAUGCAUACAUGUUCUUGAAAAUAUUAACAACCAUGUAUUAUUGCAUGUGGGUUAUUCGUGAAAGAUGCAAAUUCUUGAUGAUACAUGUCGUUUUAUUAUUUCUUGUCCUAAUAUAAUCCAAGAAGAAACUGUAUCAACCGUUGAUAUGAUAGCGGUUUUAGCUCCCUAAAUGAACCGAACUAAACCGAAUUGAUUACAUUAAUGCCUAUUACAUGUGUAAAUUAUUAUUAUAUAAAUUACUUAAUAAAUUAGUAUAUAAUAUAAUACUAAAUAAUAAAUAGUCAUAUUAAUGAAAUAUUAUAAUGAUAGAAAUAUAUAAAUUAAUUUGUUAAUAAAAUAAAAGUGAAAGUAUUAUAUAUUAUUUUUUAUAAUUUAUUUAUUAUUUUUUAUAAAAAUUUAUUAUUAAAUUAUCUAAAUUCUAUUAUAGGUAUAUAUAGUGUGAUAUAUAAUAAUUUAUUAAUUAAUAAGAUUAUUUUAGUUAAUUCAAAAAUUUUUUAUUUGUGUUUUUAUAUAUAUUAUAGAUAAAUAAAUAAAUUAUAGAUAAUUAUUAUUAUCUUGUGAAUUUACUCGACUUUGUAUUUUUAUUUUCUUUCUAUGUAUAUAUUUUUAUUUUUGAAAUAAAUAGAAUAAUUAUGAAAUCGUUAUUAAAAAAUAGAUUAUUUUUAUUAUAUACAUUAUUUCAAAUUCAAGCUUUUAUUGUUAUAAAACGUUAAAUGCAAGGAGUCAUUUAUCUAUAGAAUUACAAAACUUUUGUAUCUAAAGGUAAUUAUAACAUUGGUAUUCUCUAAACAACUUGAAAAGAUAAUGAGAUAAAUAGCAACUUCAUUAUAUAUAACACUAAGACUCUGAUCGGUCCAAAUUAUGUAUAGAUAUUUAAGGGUAUAUUAAAACUUUAAUGAUAUAUUUCUAUAUAUAAAAUGGUGAAAAUAUGUGUUUUUGCCUCACUUAAGCUUAAUUGUCUAUUUUUAGGAAUAUUAGCAAAAAAGGAAAAAUAUGGAGCUAAAAGAAACUUAAUGGGACAUAUUCGUGUCAAGGUCCAAGAUUAAGACGCAUGGACUGCUAAUUAUAAGGUCUAAGGGAUAUUUUAGUCAUUUUGUAUAACUAUUAAGAUUUAUAUUAAGAGUUAUUUAUGAGAUAGUAUUUGGUGGAGAUUAAGAUACUUAAAGUUUUAUCUAUUAGAUUGACUUAUAUUAGUAUAUUCAUCUCUUUAUUUGGAGGAGGACUCUCCUCUAUAUAAAUCUCUGCAAAACUCUAAAAAUGGAAGGAAAAAAGGAUGAGAGUUUUCUCUUACCUGCUCUCUACACUUGCCACCAUUAUUCUCUCCAUAAUUCUCUACAGUUUUUCCAUAAACAUAUAGUUUUAGUUUUCAUUACUCUUUUUAGCAUCUAAGGAGCUUUUCAAGAAGUAGAGACUGAAGACCAAUCUUUUUCCUACUUGAAGAAAUUCUUGAUCUAGAGGGAGUUUUUACUUUUUAUAUCUUUCUAUUUAAUACCAUGAUCAUUGGGUUAAAUAUGUUAGGCUAGUUUUCAUAAGUGUUUAGUUUAGUCUUUCUACUUUUGUAUAAACCUUGUUAUUUUUAUUUAUUUAAUGAAUGAUUUUUUUACCUUCAUAUCUUUAUUAAUUUCAGUUAUUAUUGUUAGUUAACCAUCAUAUUAAUUUAGCAAUAGUAAUUGUUAUGAAAAUCUUUAAGUUUAAAAGUAUUAGAAACGUCAUCUUUACUUUAAUCUAUGUUGGUAUAAGAAACCUAGGUUGCAUUAUUAGCUUGAGUGACUUAAGGAAAAAGGCACAUCACCAUCUCAUUCAUUAGAUCUAGGCUUAAAGUAAAACAAAGAGAUUACUAAGUAAAUGGAUAAAUUAAAUAUUGUUGUUAGCAUAUAGUUUUAGAUCAUAAGCAUUUGCAUUUGCGUUGCAUAUUUAUUUAUUAUUUAGUUACUUUACUUUAUGAAUAUCAUUCUCUUAACAUACUGAUUUAGAGUGUUUAGAUUUACUUUUAUUUUUUUGUGUUGAUAAUUAGUCUUUAUAAUAAGUGGCCUCAUAGUUCCUUGAGAGAUCGACCUCGUGGUGAACUUACCCUUACUGUAGGAACGAUUCGUGCACUUGCGAGUACUAAAAAAGACAUAUCAAGUUUUUGGCGCCGUUGCCGGGGAACUGUGUCCAAAUUUAUUAUAUUGAUUGGUUAUCAAAAGUGUCUUGUGUUUGUUAGUUUGUUUUAUGUUUUUUGAUUUAUUUUGUUUAUGUGUUUUUAUUUUUUUUGUUUGUUUGGUGUUUUGUGAUUUGUUUUGUUUAUGUGUUUUUGUUUUGUUUGUAAAUUUUAUUUUAAAAAUUUUAUUUUCAAUCUGAAAUUUUCUUUUGUUUUGUAUGCUUAGCAGGAAACAACUAGAAGAAGAAUCAACAGAAGAAUUUGAUAUCAUGGCAAACCCACCAAGAGAAGUAGGAGCUAAAAGACGAAUGGCUAUGAAAGAUUAUGCACUGCCUACAAUUGGUAACACUACUUCAUGCAUAGUUCUAGGUGAUACAUCUAGGAAUUAUGAACUUAAGAGCAUUCAUUUUAAUAUGUUUCCUUCAUUUUAUGGUAUGCCUAGUGAGGAUGCAUUAACAUUUAUUAGAGAAUUUUAUGCCAUAGUUCAUACUUUUCUAUUGUCUAGACUUAAUUAGGAUCAACUAAGAACGAGGUGUUUCUCUUAUUCAUUGAAAGAAAGAGCAAAGACUUGGUUAAUGACAUUGUCUCCUAAUUCUUUGAGAAAUUGGAAUGAAAUUUAUCAAAAGUUUAUGAGUAGAUUUUACUCACAGCAAAAGACCAAAGAAUUAAGAGGUGAGAUUUCUAAUUUUUAUCAAGAGAAUGCUGAAUCUUUUCAUGAAGCAUAAGAUCGCUUCAAAUCACUUUUAUUACAAUGCCCACACCAUGGAUUCCCAUUCCUAAUAACUAACCAAUUAUUUUAUGCUGGGUUGACACACCAAUACCAAUGUAUGGUUGAUAAUGCAGCUGGGGGUGCUAUGUUAGAAAGGACACCUUAUGAGGUUUAUGACAUCUUUGAGAUGUUAUGAGCCAAUUCUCAACAAAAGAGUGUGAGGACAAAGAGAAUAGAAGUAAAUGAAGUGGUAGCUAAUAGUGAGAUAGUCAUGCAAUUGGUUGAAUUGACUAAGCAAGUUAAAAUGCUUACUUUAACAAAAGACUCACCAAAUAAUGAGGUAUGUGGUAUUUGGGGUAUUUAUGGUAUAAUGCUAAUGUUUGUUCAUCUUUUGAUAAUUACAGAGGAAAUAUGUAUGACCAAACAAAGUUGAUGAAUUCUUACCAACCCAUGCAUCCUAUAAAUGACUCUUAUUUCAACACAUAUAAUACAGGUUGGAGAAACCAUUCAAAUUUUUCUUGAAAAUACAAUGACCAAAACCCACUACAAUUAUUGAGAAAUCAAAAUCAACCUUAUUACCAAGACCAAUAUUCUCAAUUCCAAAGGGACUCCAAUCCUUUCUUUCAAGAUCAAGAAUAAACUAUUCGAUCUAAUGAACAAAGAAAGCCAAGUUUGGAAGAAACACUUCAAUUAUUUAUGAUGGCUUCUCAUGAUAGGAUGGAGAGGAAUGAGAAAAAGACAGAUUCCAUUGAAGCUUCACUGAAACAUUUAGAAGUUCAAAUGGAACAAAUUGUUGAAAAGCUCAAUAAAGAGGAACUAUCAAGUCAACCUGAACAAGCCAAUUCCAUUACUACUAUUAGAAGAGGUGAGAUUGUCGAUAAUAUUGCUAUGGAAACUGAAAGAAAUUCUUCUUCUUAUGCAGGUACACCUAAAAAUGAUAGAUUAGAGCAAAUCAAUAAGGAUAGCAUGUAAAAGGAAGAAAAAGUAGAGCCAAAUCUUAGACUUGAGAGAAAGAAAAUGAAGCAUUUUGUGGACCUGAAUUUUAUAAGGCAGCUUAGCCUUAUAGACCCCCUAUUCCUUUUCUAAACCAAACAAAAGAGAGCAAAAAGGACAAAUUUUUUUUUGAAAAUAUUAAGAUGCUCUCUAAAGUUAAUACUAACGUACCUUUGUUGGAUGUUAUCAGGAAUAAACCAGUUUAUGCAAAAUUCUUUGAAGAUUUGAACACCAACAAAAGGCAAUAUACGAACAACGAAAAAGUACAAGUAGCAAGUGUAAUGCUUCAACAUCAAUUGCCCCUUAAGAUGAAGGAUCCUGGUAGCUUCACCAUUGAUAUUACAAUAAGUGAUAAAAAGGAUAGAAAAGCCAUGUUAGAUUUGGGAGCAAGCAUCAACUUGAUGCCUUAGUCGAUGUAUGAACGACUAGGUUUGGAAGAGUUGAAGCCUACCACUAUGUCUCUAUAAUUUGCAGACAUAUCGAUAAAAUAUCCUAGAGGUAUAGUGGAAGACUUGCUAGUACAAGUAGGUAAGUUAAUAAUUCCAGUUGAUUUUGUAGUACUUGACAUGGAAAACACAACAACAAGGGAUAAAAAACAACUAUACUCCUUAGUAGACCUUUCAUGGAAACUACUAGAACUAUAAUUGAUGUGCAUGAUGGAAAACUUACCAUGACAGUUUUAGGAGAAAGCGUGAAAUUUUAAGUGUUUGAUUCUCUAACUUUAUCUCCUAAAUCUACUAUUGAUAAAUGUUCAUAUAAUUAUUUAGAUUCUAUUGUUUAUAAACAAUUAUAUGAUGAUAUUUCAUUCUUAAUGACAAGACGAUACUUUAGAUGUUCGCAUAAAUAGUAUGAAGCCAUACUUGAAAGGAAUGGCUUAUGACGAAGAGGUGGAGUGUGCGGAUGAGCGCCCACCAUGAGCAUAAUCAGGAAUGUCUAGCUAUAGACAAUAAAAUUAGCAAUUUGUAUUUUUAUUUUUAUGCAUUUAAGUUAUUUUUCUUUUAUUUCUAUUUUAUUUAUUUAUUUUAUUUAUUAUUUUUCUAUUUUUUAUUUAUUUUAUGUUUAUCUUGUAAGCUUAUAUUUGAUCCCAAAAAGGCAAUAUGUCUCCAUGAGAAGCAAUUAAAGCUCCAACAAAAAAAAAGAAAAUUUGAGCGAGCCACGUUGCGACAGCGAAUUUUCACACGGGCCCAUAGCGGCCAGCGACAGAGACGACACGGGCCAGUAGUAGCCAGUGGUAGAGACAACAUGGGCCCGCAGCAGCCAAGCAGCCCCGGGUCGCAGGACGCUUCGCGAGGAAGCCAGCCGUGGCAGCCCCAGUAGCUGCGUGCUGCCGCAAGGCGCGGAGGGGCCACGAGCCACGGGGCAAUCUGCCGCGAGCCACAUACCCGCAACAUAGUGUCAUGGGCUUGGUCUUUUCUACCAACGAACCGUGCGACACUAGCUACUUUCUCCCUGUAGACAAGUAAACUAGUCAGUCUUACUCUUCAAAUGCUAGACAAAAUGCUAGCUAGGAUGGCAAGAAGAACAAAAGAGAGCUUAAGAAAGCUUAGAGAGCUUUUAGAGAGAGGAAUUGCUUUAUUUCUACUGGAUUUGCUUGAUUACAACUUGAUCAUUAUAAAUGAAUUCUCUAAGCUAUAUAUAGGCCUCCACCUCCUCAACGGACGGUGAGGAUACAUUUGAUCUAAUGACUAAGAUUAAGUAUCUAGAAUGUUCUACACACUUUCAUACUUAUCUACACAUUAGACAUGCUUCUAGAUUAUUCUAGAAUGUUCCAGAUUCUUCCAGAUUCUUCUAGAUGAUUCUAGAAUGUUCUAGAAUCCUCCCUUGCUUUGUAGCGAACUCUGGAGGCUUCUUGGGCCUCUGAACCUUUGUGCGAGAAGGAAAAAUCUACGGGAUGUGACAUUAGGCAGGCAGCGUGCGCACGGGCCCGCAGCAUCAACAGGCAGCACACGAACGGGCCCGUAGUGGAGGCAGGCAGCGUGUAGGCACGGGCCCGCAGCAUAGGCACGCAGCGCGAACAAACGAGCCCGCAGUAUAGGCAGACGCAGCAGCAGCUUAAUGACGCAGUCCGCGGAGCGGCCGUAAAAAAAAAAUUUUGAGCAAAAAUUAAAAUAAUUAAAUCCAAGAAAUUGAGAUUGAUUAUGAAUUAUUUUUAGUUAAAAUACCCUCUUUUAAGAUUAAAUAUAUAUCUAUUUCCUCCACAUAAAUAGUCAUAUCAUUGAUUUAUGAUUUUCUUUUAAAUUUUAUUCUAGAUUUUAUAUUUAUUUAUUAAGACCUAACUUUUAAUUAUCUUAGGAUUUAAUUUUUCUAGUAUCUUUAGGAUAAUUUAUUAUUUUUAAUUCUUUAUUUCUUUUAUAAUUAUCAAUGAUGUGUGUUCAAGUGUGCUUCUAAGGUUUGGAUGGUAGAGAUUGGAAUUCAAGUUCAUGGAUUACUAUGCAUUGCAAAAUUCCAAUAAAAUCUUUUUCCUCUCUUUUUGUUCUUUAUUUUUCUAUAUGCAAUGACAUUGAGGAUAAUGUCAAAUUUAAGUGUUGGGGAGGGAAAUAGAAUAUUUCUUCGAUUAAACUUUAUAUGUCAUAUGCCAUGAGAAUUAACAACUUUGGUUAAUCUUUUGUAAAAUUUUAAAUUUUUCCACUCAGUUUUUUCUUAUUGUUCUAUAUAAGAGUCGAUGAAAGAAUGCUAUUAUGUUAAGAUUCUUGAACUCUUGAGUUAGUUUUUAACAUGUAUAAAUAUGAACUCGUGAGUUAUUUGCACUUAAAUGAUCAAGUGUUCAUCUUUUGUAUAUGGACAUGAUGAAUAGUUUAGCAACAUUCGACAUGGGUAUGAUUAGAAGUCUAUGAUUUAGAUUAUGAUUUCCUUGUUAUUGAAUUGGCUUGCCUAAAUUUGUGAGAUAUGAUAUAGGCAAGUUUAAAGCUCUAAGUUUAAUAACUCUACUCCGCUAAUUUUAGUUGCUUAGUAACCGGGGAUCUUCAUGACCAAUGUCGAUUUUUGCGUAAAAAGGCAAUUAAGAUUAUAAGUAUCCAAAGCAUCUUGAUGUAUGUUUUAUUGAGUAACCAGGUACAUUUAUUACUCAUGUUUGUAUUUGCGUAAAAAGGCAUAACAUCUCAAGAAAAAAAGAAGUACCCCAAGUAUCAAAAAUUAAAAUCCAAGGGGUAUAAAGAAAAGAAAAGAAAAAGUAUAAGAGCUUCAAAAGCAAGUAAUAAAUGCCUAUUGAUCUCUUAUUUUUUAAUAAAGGUUUUGCCUUUUUGAAUAGGGUUAUGAUAAUUUGGAUUAUGCAUCAUAGUUGUAUCAUUUGAAGAUGAGUUAGACUAUUUGUUGUGAAACAGGUGUGAAAGAUUGGAUGCUUGAGUCGUUUGAUUAACAAUGAUUGAGUUUAUAUUUUUAAAGAAAAUUAUUAUGACUCAAGUGUUCUUGCGUUGACAUGAUCUUUGCAUUAGUGAGAUUCUUUUGAAUAAUAUCUUUAAGCUGAGUAGGGAUGUUCUUCAUGAUUUUUGCAAAAGUUAAUUCACACUUGUUAUUUACUUGAGGAUAAGUAAAAGUUUAAGUGUGGGGGUAUUUGAUCGGUCCAAAUUAUGUAUAGAUAUUUAAGGGUACUUUAAAGCUUUAAUGAUAUAUUUUUAUAUAUAAAAUGGUAAAAAUAUGUGCUUUUGCCUCACUUAAGCUUAAUUGUCUAUUUUCAAGAAUAUUAGCAAAAAGAGAAAAAUAUGGAGCUAAAAGAAGCUUAACGGGACAUAUUCAUGUCAAGGCCCAAGAUUAAAAUGCAUAGACUGCUAAUUAUAAGAUCCAAGGGAUAUUUUAGUCAUUUUGUAUAAUUAUUAGGAUUUAUAUUAAGAGUUAUUUAUGAGAUAGUAUUUGGUGGAGAUUAAGAUACUUUAAGUCUUAUCUAUUAGAUAGACUUAUAUUAGUAUACUCAUCUCUUUAUUUAGAGGAAGACUCUCCUCUAUAUAAAUUUCUGCAAAACCCUAAAAGAGGAAGGAAGAAAGAAGGAGAGGAGUUUUCUCCUACCUGCUCCCUACACCUGCCACCAUUAUUCUCUCCAUAAUUCUCUACAGUUUUUCCAUAAACAUAUAGUUUUAGUUUUCAUUAUUCUUUUUAGGAUCUAAGGAGCUUUUCAAGAAGUGGAGACUGAGGACCAAUCUUUUUCCUACUUGAAGAAAUUCUUGAUCUAGAAGGAGUUUAUACUNNNNNNNNNNNNNNNNNNNNNNNNNNNNNNNNNNNNNNNNNNNNNNNNNNNNNNNNNNNNNNNNNNNNNNNNNNNNNNNNNNNNNNNNNNNCAUAUCUUUAUUAAUUUCAGUUAUUAUUGUUAGUUAACCAUCAUAUUAAUUAGCAAUAGUAAUUGUUAUGAAAAUCUUUAAGUUUAAAAGUAUUAGAAACAUCAUCUUUACUUUAAUCUAUGUUGGUAUAAAAAACCUAGGUUGCAUUAUUAGCUUGAGUGACUUAAGGAAAAAGGCACAUCACCAUCUCAUUCAUUAGAUCUAGACUUAAAAUAAAACAAAGAGAUUACUAAGUAAAUGGUUAGAUUAAAUACUGUUGUUAGCAUAUAGUUUUAGAUCAUAAGCAUUUACAUUUGCAUUGCAUAUUUAUUUAUUGUUUAGUUACUUUACUUUAUGAAUGUCAUUCUCUCAACAUACUGAUUUAGAGUGUUUAAAUUUACUUUUAUUGUUUUGUAUUGAUAAUUAGUCUUUAUAAUAAGUGGCCUUAUAGUUCUUUAAGAGAUCGACCUUGUGGUAAACUUACUCUUAUUAUAGGAACGGUUCGUGCACUUGCGAGUACUAAAAAAGAUAUAUCAGACUCAUUAGAAUAGAAUAUCAAAUUCAUCAAUAAAAUAGUAAAUGUUAUUCAAAAAUUUGAUGCAAGUAGCAAGUUGAUUAUAUAUAAUAUUUAGAUUUAUUUUAGAAUACUUAAGGAUUCAUUGAAAUAAAAUGCUAACUUCUCAAAAAUAAUCAAUAUAUCUUAUCGUAAAAUUUAACGUGAGUAGUUAGUUUUAUAUAUAUAUUAUUUGAGAAUAUUUAAAAAUUUAUUAAAAUAAAAUAUUAAAUUUAUUGAAAUAAAUAAUAAAUCUUAUCAGAGAAUUCGAUGUGAGUAGGAAGUUUAAUAUAUAUGAUAGUCAGAUUCAUUUUAUAUCUGUUAAUUGACAUUUUCCGAUUUUUCCUCCAUUACUUGGAAUUCAAGGUGACUAUGACAAUGAGGCUGCGUUCUUUUCUCCUCUUUAUACUCUCUGAUCAGAGGCAUGACAUUUCAUAGACCUCCCAAUUUUCAAAACCCCAAUCAUAUACCAUUCCUUUCAAUCUGUACCGAUGCACUUUGUGAUCAGAGGCAUAACAUUUCAUGGACCCCAUUUCAAAAUCCCAAUCAUAUACCGUUCCUUUCAAUCAUCAUCACUACAUACAUUUGAUGAACUCAUCAAAACAUAUACUCGUGAUCACGCUCUAAACCAGGGUAAACAUCUGCAUGCCCGCUUGAUCGUAAGCGGCUUAGCUUCUUCGAAUAAUUUUGCCUCCAAGCUCAUCUCUUUCUACACUGAAACUAGACAGUUAUCUAUUGUUCGUAAACUGUUCGACAGAAUUCCCAAACCAAACUUUUAUCAACGGACUGUCCUCAUCGGGGCCUACUCUCGACAUGGGUUUUAUCAGGAUGUUUUAGAUGUCUUCUCUGAAAUGCAAAAUGAAAGGUUAAGACCCAACAAGUUUGUUAUUCCAAGUGUUCUUAGAGCUUGUGGUCAUGUGUUUGAUUUACAAACUGGGAAGAUAUUGCACUCUGUGAUUUUGAGACAUUUGUUUGAAUCUGAUGUUGUUGUUAAUACUGCGUUAAUUGACAUGUAUUCAAGAUGCAGACAUGUUGAGAAGGCAAGAAAAGUGUUUGAUGGGAUGCAAGAAAAGGACUUGGUAGCAUUGAAUGCCAUGGUUUUAGGCUAUGCUCAAAAUGGUUUUGCAAAGGAAGGAUUUCUUUUGGUAGAACAAAUGCAAAUGUUGGAUAUCAAGCCUAAUUUAGUAACUUGGAAUACUUUAAUUUCAGGGUUUGCACAAGCAGGUGACAAAGUAAUGGUUCAAGAAUUGUUUGGAUUGAUGUCCAUGCAUGGCUUUGAGCCUGAUGUCAUUUCUUGGACUUCAGUUAUUUCAAGGUUUGUGCAAAAUUCUCACAAUGAGGCAGCUUUCGCUGCAUUUAAACAGAUGUUGCAGCAUGGGGCUUAUCCGAAUUCUGCUACUAUUAGCAGCCUCCUGCCUGCUUGUGCGUCUCUAGCAAAUGUGAGGCAUGGGAGAGAGUUACAUGGAUAUGCAUUUGCGAUUGGAGUUGAAGAGGAUAUAUAUGUAAGGAGUGCUAUUGUUGACAUGUAUUCUAAAUGUGGUCUUAUAUCUGAAGCAAGGAUGUUGUUUUCUAAGAUGCCUGAAAGACACACGGUUACUUGGAAUUCAAUGAUUUUUGGGUAUGCAAAUCAUGGCUACUGCGAUGAAGCUAUAGAGCUUUUCAAUCAGAUGGAGAAGACGGAGGCAAAGAAGAUCGAUCACUUGAGUUUCACAGCUGUUCUCACAGCCUGUAGCCAUGGUCGACUGGUUGAACUGGGACAGAGUUUGUUUCUUUUGAUGCAUGAAAAAUACAAGAUUGUUCCAAGAUUGGAGCAUUAUGCAUGCAUGAUUGAUCUUCUUGGUAGAGCAGGAAAACUGUCUGAGGCUUAUGAUAUGAUUAAGACAAUGCCAGUUGAGCCUGAUUUAUUCGUAUGGGGUGCAUUAUUAGGGGCUUGUAGGCAACAUGGGGAAAUAGAUCUUGCUGAAAUAGCUGCUAGGCAUUUGGCUGAGCUUGAGCCUAGGAAUGCUGGAAACAAUAUGCUUUUAUCAAAUUUAUAUGCUGAUGCUGGCAGUUGGGAAAAUGUUGCAAAGUUAAAGAUGGGGAAGAGAAAAAGGUUGAGAAAAUUUUCCGCGUACAGUUGGAUACAAUUGUUAUAACAGACCCCGAAAGGUGGACCAAAGUCCAUCAACACGUUUAGUGGUGAGGAGAGAGAGUAAAAGACGCACUGAUUUUGUGUGAAAUUUUAGAAAUUAUUCUCCACUUUUUUUUUUUAAAUUGUACUACUUGGGGACUUUUGUUCCUCUUUUUAUACUUAUUUUUAAAUUAUUAUUGUUUUUUUGAAUUAUUAUGCACCAGGCUUUCACAAAUUUUUAGAUUAUAAUAAAAUAAAUUUAUCAAAAUUAAUAUUAACAUUAAAUUAUUAAAUUUUUUUAUUUUUACAUAUGUAUUUAUUUUUGAGAUAUGAGAUUUUUGUUAUUUUAGAUUGUAAUAAAAUGAGUUUAAAAUUAAUAUUAUAUUAAAAAAUAUAUUUUGAAUAUAUCUUUUUAUAUAUUUAUGAAAGUUAGUCGUUUAUCCGUCUACGACUGUCGUAAUUAUUUUAAUUAUAAAUAAUAAUAUAAAUUAAAUUUAUAUAUAAAACUAAAUAAAUAUUUUUAUAUUUUGUAAUUAAUUAAAAUAUUUUAAAAUAAUGAUAAAUUAAAUAUUUUUAACAUCUUUGUUAGUUUUUAUAUUUGAAGAUUUUAUUAAUACAAAGAUAUAAAAUUAUAAAUAAAUUAAUAAAAAACUAUAAAAUUAUAUAUAAAUUUAAAUUUUACGUGUCAAUAAUAAGUACACGUGUCAAAAUUAAAAAUCAUAUGUCAGAAUAUAGUAACACAUGUCAAAAUUUUUUUAUUAAAUCAUAUACAUGUUAAUAAUUUUUUGUUAAUUUACAUGUACUAAAAUGUUCAUUUAUAUAUAUAUAUAUAAUAUCCAUUAGAUAUAAUAUUCUAUAAUAAUUAAUUUUGUUUGUAUUGAAAUAUUCAUUAUUUGUGAACUUAAUAUUCAUUAUGAUUAAUGUUCAUGUUCUUUUUCUUUGAUGUAUUAUUCAUCAAUAUUAAUAUUAAUGUUUAUUAUCUGGUAUUGCAAUGUUCAUUGUCUGUAUAUAUAAUGUUCAUCAAUAUUCUCAAAUAAAAAUAUUAAUUAUUUAUAAAAAAAUUUAUUGUUUUUGUGAUGCGUGUUAAAUUUUUUUUACGAUUGAUAUAAACAUUCAUCAUUUAAAAGCAUAAUAUUUAUUAGUUUAUCAAUAGAUAUUUGUCAUUAAUGAAAAUCAUACUACUAAUUCAUUCAAAUGAACAUAUAUAAUAUAGACAUAAUACAAAUUGUCCUUAUGCAGUUAAUAAAUAAAAAAAAAUCAAGCUAGAGUUAUACUAUAAAUACUUAUAGUGUAGUACAUAUAUCUUUUCAAUAAAAUUAAAUUAACAAAUAAUAAAAAAUUUACGUUCAAAUAAUAAAAAUUUAAUACAAAAUCAAUUAACAUAAAUUAUUUAAAAAAAAAAAAUACUUUAGCGUUUGACGCGCAUGUAAGCAUCUGACGCACGUGUCAGACACGAGCAUAAAUUUUUUUAUCAAUUAAACGGUACUGGAUGGAUCUCCAGGUCCAUAAAGCUAUAUAGACGGAGGUCCAUCUUACGAGUUGGAUAGAGGCUGCAUGAUAAAUGUGGUUUCUGAAGAAGGCUUCUGUCUGUUCAUUUUCUCAGAAGUGAAAAACUCUCGGGCUGCUUGUGGUGGACCUGGUGGUCUUCAGGCCUCCUGCAUUCUACUGAUUCCCUUUUGGAACUGUUACAUCAGGUGAUUUUAGGUCAAUUUGGCUCCACUUUGCAUCAUAAAUUCUAAAAGUUGAAUCCUAUAGGGAGAAAAACAGCAGGAUGGUUAUUGAUAAUGAAUUCCGAUGCAUAAAUCCAAUAUCAACAUUCUUAGAAGGGUCUUAAUACUGCAGAUAAGUUUCCAUGGCAAUUGCUGAUGGCAGUAUCUCACUGUUUCUUUUAUCUGCAGCAGGUCAGGAAAAUGCUGGAAAGAGAAAAGAAGGAAUUGGAACUUAAGACACUUUUCUAGCAGGAGAUAAUGGAGAAUGUGCAAAUGAUUUAAGCAAGAAAGUGGGAAGUAUACUUUACUGUUACCGAGUGAGGAAGGUUCAGACUUUCAAAUGAGCAUUUCAAAAGGCUACGACAAGCCAAUUGCAUUUUGAAGUUUGUAACUUAAUCCAUUUACAUCUUUGUUGAGCAUGUCAAGAAAUCUUUGUUCCUUGAAUUGAUACAACUUCCCUCGUUCUUUUUAACUCUAGUUUCCUUGAACAUAGAUUACUGCAAAUUGUUCCGGGAAGAUUUUGGCCUAUCAUGAAUUAAUGAAGGCAUCACAGCAAAGCAUUUCCUCAGCAGAUAACCAGCUGUUUGUUGGGAGGCCAGUCAACUCAAUGUUCUUAAGAGAUGCUAGAAGAAGGUCUUCAAUUUACAGCUACCGCUGAGACACUUUACCUUCCCUGUCAUAAAAAAUUUAUACAUAUCUCAGUGGCAGGGCCUCUGGAAUCCAAAUUAGGAUUUUAUGUUCAAGAGGGGAGAUCUAUCAAAACAUUGUCAUAAAUGCUUCCUUCAUCAAGUAAUUGGACAAGAAAGUGAGAAGAUAUGGCCAAAAACCAGUUGCAACAAGUAAUUAUUUGGCCACCUUCCCCACAAACCUUGCUCCAUCUCUUUCAGCUUUUGAAAGUAAAGAUGACAAUUUGUUUGGAACUUGUGAGGGCAACAAAAAAAAAAAAAAAAAAAAAAAGAAAGAACGAGAAAAGUGAUUUUUGUGCAAGCAUAUACCAUAUACACAUAUACAAGUGUCCGCCCGCACACAGGGAAAAAAAGAAAGAACAAAUUGCUAUACGUCAUUCCAUUCACUACAAUGGCAUAAAGUGCUCCAUUGUUAAAGUUUCUCUUCUGUAAUUCGUCCACACAGACUUCUUUAUCCUCAUGAAAUCCUUUGCAAGAUUCUCCCUACCAACUUUUGGUGAGUUGAGGACUAUAAUAUCUUUUAAUUGUACCAUUUUCAAUCUACAGAUUCUACCCUCAGUCCCACCCACCUUUUCUAUAACCUAAAAGAAACAGCCUAAAAGUUUAUGGGAUAAAUAUUAACACUCCCGGAAAAUGGCUAUGGGUGAGCCCGGAUGAUCUAAAGUUUACGACCUUCAAAAGUGUUAGGUAGAUGUAGGAUUCAGAGUUGGUCACACUACAGUCCCUUGCGGACCGGUCCUGUAUGUGGUGUCCAUACAAUCCCCUUCCUUGGCUAACAUGUACUAACCAUAUUACUGGCCAAAAAAAAAAAAAAAUCAGAAUAAUAGACCACCAGCCAUACUGCGACAAGGGAACGUAGUUCCAGCUAGAGUGAUCCCCACUCAAUUGGAAUAAUUUAAACUUGCAGAGUAGGGCAGGAUGACCAUAGAAGAAUCAAAUUGUAUUACCUGGAUUAGUUUCUAGUGCAAUAAUUGAACUCCAAACAAAGUUUUUCAAAUUAGAGGAGAUGAGAAUUAACAGGGAAUUACAUAUGAUGCUGCAGAUGCCUAGAUGAGGUAUAAGAAAUGCUUGUAAUUGCUGCAGUAGCAUCUAAACUAGGAAUAACAGAAAAUGAGUUAACAGUGAAGUAGAGAAAUGACUGGUUAAUGAGCAAAAUCAGAAGCAAGAAUCAAUAACAUGUAGCAUUGAAGAUUACAAAGCAUUAGAUCAUCUGACAUAAAUAAAACUAAUGGAUAUCACAAAUAGAGUAAUAGCAGCACCAUCUCCUAAGCUGAUGCUAUGAAAGUCCUGUAUGAUAAAGCCAACCCUGAAAGAAUAUCAACAACUUGCCAGGGACAACUUGUAAAGAUUGCCUAAGCAACAUUUAGUUAGUCUGCACUAUACCCAAUACCAUGAGAAAUCUUCGCCUUAAAUGCCCAUACCUAAAGGAUAAAUAACUUCCCUUCAUCCAGUUACUCCAAAUCCAACAUUCAAUGAAUCCCGUAUCUAUAAAAAGUUAGAUACUAUUAUCAUCCUACAGUAAGGAUACAGUAAGGAACAAUCAUCCGAUGACUGCACUGAGAACUCGCAGUUAUUAGAUGGUACAAAUAAACUUCCCAUAGUCAAGCCUCCAAGACUAGAGCAAAGCAGUUAUGCUUCUCGCAUCCAUGCAAAUAAAAUAAUUCAAAUGUAGCACCUAUACAUGUGACAAGAAUGAAACAAAGACAGAGAAAAUAUACUUCAUGAUCUAACACUAAACUCCUUAGUACAUGAAAUGCUUCUGAGAAACCUUUGGUAUGAACAGAAGUAUGUAACUAAAUAAGAUGCUAAAUUAACACGACUUCAAAAGAGAAUAGGAUGAAUGACAAUGUCAUUCAAAAUGUAGCAUGAUAAUACUACAGCAGAAUUUUGCUUAGCUUUCUUUUAUUUUAUUUUAUUGAUAUUUCUGAAACAGAAGGUAUCCAGUUAUACAAGAUAUAUAACAGUUACCAAUUAAAGAACAGGUUAAGAAUGUAAGAUAUGACUUUGUCAUUAUCUGGAGUAACUAUAAUUGACAUGGCCAAAUCCUAUUGCUUCUCUUAGAUAACAAGAAUGUCAAGAAAAACAACACAGAUCCUUAAGUGCAAAAGUGCCUGAGCACAUGAUAUUCUUUUCUAUUUCUCCCUAAUAUAUAUACUAAGAGAAGGACUGCAAGUAUAUGACUCAUGCAGAACCUCAUUAACAUUGGAAUUGAGUCUGGAUUGCCUCCAUAUAUUUCUUCCUGAAAACCCCUCCCAUUUUUGCCAAGUGCACAAGUUUUCAGCCAUCCGAAGGUCAAAUGUAAAUGAGGUUUGCUCAAACUUCAGAAUCUACAGAAAACAAAUAUUAUAAACUGUAAUUCUUGAGCAGCCAGUUGACUAGAAAUCCCAAAGCAUAUAAGCAGACAAUUAACAGGCAACUGUAGAACCUUGGAACCUGCAUAUGAACCUUGUUGGGAAAACUCAAACCUGUCAUUUGAUAUUACUCCAGUCGAAGGGCAGACUGAAGUGAAAUCAGUUCAACAGAAAUACCACCCAUCAGGAAGAUAGGACCAUGGUAUCUUUUUCUCAAUCAAUAGGGAAAGUACAAAAAUUAGAGUAAGAGUAGUACACCUAAGAUCUUGAGAGAACUGCCAUGUAGUACUUGACUUUUCUUUUAUCCAAACCAACACAAUAAUAUUGUCCAAAAUAAAAUUAAAAUUGAAGCGUUAACAAAAGAUGUUCUGCACAUAAAUGAUCAUAAGACAAUCCACUGUUAAAAAUGACAUCGAGACCAACUACUAACUUGGAACUAGAAGUUGAAAGAUGACAGAUGCAGCAGCGUGCAUGCUCCAAUCAUCCACGAACAUAUUUUAGGACUGGGCCGCAACAUAACGAGCAUCCAGACACUUUCAUCUGGUUAGAAGUUUGUUCUUUUCCCAGUGAAAUGAAGCAGUUUCACUAUUUAGAAAUGCUAAAACAUAAAAAUAAUGACCAUGUAACCAGUAAACAAACAUUAUAAAAAGUUGUUUUUUUAAAAAAUAAAUAAAAGAAAGGAAGCCCGUAACCUACCACCACGCGUAUUGACUAUUGCUAUGCAACUCCUCUUGCAACCCAGUGACAACAACCAAAUUUUUUAACUUCAUGAAGAGUGUAGUUGUGACAUUGGGCAGAAUGCCUACUAACAUUUCAAAACAGCCUUAGUUCUGCUGGUUGGACUGCAUAUUUAGAGGUUUUGGAGGUUCCCUUCACUCGCCGCUCAAGUCUAUCGGCCAGGAUUUAGUUUCAAGUCCUAGAUCUUUUCUUUUUUGAAAGGAAAGUCCUAGAUCUUUUGAAUUUCAGAAUAUUAUAAAAUUUAUGUAGUUUUUCGUACUAGUUUUCCAUCAUUUUUGUGCUUCGUCACAAGAUAAACUAAAUAGGGGGCAAAAGAAAAACAAAUAACAAAGAAUAGGCCACUAAGUUUUAACAGACAAAAUUUAGCAUUGAAUGAGAGCAAAAGGUUUGUUUUCCAGGUGAAGAUCCACCAUGACCGUUUAGACGUUUUCCCGUAUAUACAUGCAGACAAUUUUACAAAAAUCUAUUCCCAGUAGUUAAUUUAAUUCAGGCUUCCGACUAAUAAAUAUGUGCAGCAUCUUUAGAAACAUUGGCACUGCCUCCAUUGUGUACUCACACAGAUAUUUAACUUUUCAGGCUCAUCAAAUUCUACACGUAGGAAAGAUCAUUAAUUUGCAGUCUUAGCUCUACCAUAACCAUAACCAUAGAACUCCUAGUUAUUAAAUAACAACUAAAAUUAGACAUUCCUCAAAAGGGUACCAAAUUUCUAAUAACAGUUCCAUUUAAGUAUCAAAACCAACAAGAACAACUAAACCAAUCAACAAACAGAGAGGAACAGAAAAGGAAGAACAAAGAAAGAAAGAAAGAAAACUAACCUCUUUCUCUCUUGGUGUCAAAAACAAGUCUUUAUAAUAUCACAUGUGAUAAUUAUUUCCACUCCAAUCUCUGUGCUGUAUCAUAUUAUAGGGAUGAUGAUGAUGAUGAUUGUGGUUAUGAUUGUGAUUAUUGUUAUUAUUUCCCAGUUGCAUUCCAUACAUAGGCAUUGUCAUCAUGGGUCCCACUCCCGGAUGAUACGGAACAGGAACGGAAACAGCCAUCCCCAGGUGCCCAUUCCCUUCUCCAGCGUUACCGUUGCUGUUGCCAUUAUCCUGCAGACUCUGUGGAACGGGUGUAGAAGCAAACAACUGAUUAUCAGAAGCAGAAGGACCUUCACUGGACAGACCCUGCAUUCUCUUUAAAUAAAGACGAUAUUUUUGCAAAUGACUCGCGACAUUUUCGCGAGUUAAUCCUUCAACAUUCAUUAGUUGCAUUAUCGUUUUAGGCACUGCGUUUUUAAUCCCUAAAUAAGCCACCACAUCAACAAAUCUCUUAUGUAACUGUGGGGUCCAUACUAAACGCGGUCGUUUCAACGUCCUCGCCGUCGCCGGAUCUUCGCCGGUCAAAUUCUCCGUUCUCAGAGCCGAAUCCGCUUCUUCUCCUGAAUCAAUUCUCCGUAACUUCUCCUGAUCCGUAUCAUUAUUAUUGUUAGUAUUAUUAUUAAUCUCCUCCACCGCCGUCUCCGCCGUCGGAUCAUCGUUGUUAUUGUAAGAUUUGAACUUGUUUGAUGAAAACGCGCCAGUGGCGGAACGGAGACUCAAGAGAGUGUUUUGAGAUUCACGGUUGACGUCGAUAAUACUACGGUGAGGUUCCGGCGAGAUACUGAAAGCUGAAGCGAGCUCCGGUGGAAUUAACGGUUGAGAUAACGGUGUUAGGUCAUCGGCUGUAGGUAAGCCAAAUUCCCAAUCUCUAACCCUUUCUUCAUCGUCACCGUUAUUGUUAAUAACGCCGUUACUUUCGUAUUCACUCAUCUUCACUUCCUCUCCCAUGAUUUCACAGUUUCUCAAAUUUCUAAAAUCUUUUCUUGGAUCGGAGUCAGAGAGAAAGAUGGAGAUAUUUGUGUAAGGCCUGUUUGGCAGAAGGGAAAAUAGAGAAUAGAAAACAGGAAAAAAAAAAAAAAAAGAGAAAAAAAGUGCAAUAUCUGAUUCCAGAUCGGUUCCGUUCAAGUGCCAACGUGGACGACUUAGCCAGAUAUUUUUGAUCCGCUAAAUAUCUAUCCUUUUAACAUCUCUAUCUUACUCGCGAGCUUAAUCCAGAUCUUGCACUCGCCUUAAUUUAGCGACACGUUGCUAACACCCAGAGGUUUCACCCAAUGAGUGCUUGACAUGUAAGCAUACUAGUGAAGUGUGUGAUUACUUGGCCGUUGCCAAGUAGGUAAAGUGUGUGCACUUUUAGUGGCUAUUUUGGUAAUUUUAUGGUUCGCAUUGCCGACUUUGCCCUUUAUUUUUAUUUAUAUUUUGUUUUAUUUUAAGGGUUAUUGGGAUUGGACCAAUAGGGAAAGAGAGUAUUGGUAGACAGCUGGAAUGGGAGAAUAAAAAACUUGGACUAUUUGAGACGGCACAGCAUCAUACGCUAUGGUUCUUUCUACAGUUUACAUUAUGAGAUUUGUUCAGUACAAAUUGCUAAUGGGAGACAUGCGGAGAAUGCCGCGGGUACUAUUAGACGCUUGAAUCACCUGUGUUGGGGCUAAAUCACCUUCAACGUCCAUGAAUUUUAGGGUUUAUGUGAUUGAAGUCUUUAAUUUUUAAUUUAUAAUAUUAAAUGCUUUGAAUUCUGAUUUUUAUAUUUACAAAUUCACUAUAUUAAUCACAGUUAGCAAAUAUAAAUAGAUAAACGAUGUAACAAUUUAUGUAUAAAAUAUAUUUUUUUUAAAUGUCAAUUUUUAUUUAAAUACCAAUUGUAUAUAUCACAAGAUGACAUUUAUAAAUAAAUAUUUUAUAAUUUUAUAUUUAAUUAUUUAAAAUUAUAUGACAAUCGUCUAUUGAUUUAAUAUAUAGAUUGAGACAUACAGUUAGACUAAUUAAAAAAAAUUUAAAAUAAUAUACAUUACUUGGAGCAGCCAUGAGCCGGUUCGAAACUAAAACUAGACCAAUCAAAACUGGUUUGAAACUGAUCAAAUUCGAAAUUCAGGCUAAAACCUGAAAUGGCUCAAAACUGUUUCUCCUUUAUAUAUAUAUCAAUUAAAACUCUUAAAAAUUAAAUCCACAAAACUAAUUAAAAAAAAGAUGCAAUUAUAAAAUAAUACCCAUUGAACUACUUUUUGAUUGGUGCUGAAUUGUUAUUACGUGGUCGACCUGAAUGGUAGCCAUCGAAGAAGGGCAACUGAAUAAGAUUGGCAAGCGAACAAUUAGCAUUCUUUUCUAUUGCAUCCAUGAUGGAGAGGUCUCCCACAUUGCAACAGCUGAAAAUUGUGAAGAAGAACUUGUAGAAUUUUUAAAUUUAUAGUAUUUGUAUAAUUGGGAGUUUGAUUUUUGUAAAAAUUAAAAAGAAAAUAUUUUUUUGAUAUAUAUACUUAUUUUUGACAUAUAAAAUUUAAAUUUAUUUAUAAUUUUACACAUAUUUAUAUUGACUUAUUAAUUAUUAAGUUACAAUAUUAAUUAAAAUAAAAAAUUCUGACCUGAAAAAAAAUAGCAUCUUAAUUAUAUCUUAGAUAUUAUGUUAAUAAUUAUAAUGGUUUCCAAUCUUUAAAAAUAUCUUAUAAAUUAUACAUGAUUAAUAACCAAUAUACACUUUAUGCUUGAAAUGUAUACUUAUAUUUGUUAUAUAAAUAUUAUGUUGAUAUAUAAUUUUCAUGUUUAUUAUAUAAUUAAUAAUUUAUUUUUUUAAUUAACCAAUGAUUUUAUUUAAUUAUAUUUUUGAUAUUAUAUUAACUAAUAAAUUAAUUUUUUAAUUAUAUAAUAGUUUUUAAUACGAUAAAAUAGCAUAUUAAUAAUAUCUAUAGUAUUAAUUGUAUAUAUAAUUAAUACAUUAGCUUUUUCAAAAGAAAAUAUAAAUCUUCCAUCAAUAAAACAUCUUAAAAUAAGAAUGAAAAUAAUGAUUACAUUUAAGAAGUAUAUAUCGUAAAAUUCUAUUUAAAAAAAACUAUUCUCAUGUNNNNNNNNNNNNNNNNNNNNNNNNNNNNNNNNNNNNNNNNNNNNNNNNNNNNNNNNNNNNNNNNNNNNNNNNNNNNNNNNNNNNNNNNNNNNNNNNNNNNNNNNNNNNNNNNNNNNNUUGAUAAAGAACUUAUAUUGAUAGAAAACUUAUUAAUAAUAAUUGAAGAUUGUUCCGUAUAUAAAAAUUAUCAAAAAAUAUUUCUAUUACUUCCAUAAAAAGAAAACUGAACCUUACACAUAUAAUGGAAAUGGCUUUUAAAUUUUUAUAAAGAAUACUCAUAAAUCUCUACUAAAAAUAAGAUUAAAAAAUAAUACAACAUAAAAAUAACAAGAAAUGUUAUAGAUUUAAAUAUAACAAAAAUAAAUAAAUUAAAAUAGAAAAAAAGAAGAAAAAAGAAACAUAAAAGAGAACCAUACAUUAAUAAAUAAAGUAAAAAUCUAUUUCCACCGUCGCUAAUAAAGCAAAUAGAAAAAAAAAAUGGAAAAAAGACAGUUUCCACGUGGAAAGUAAUGGUUAGACAGAAUUUGCCGAGGUUUGCAAAAGAUAUGGACCCCACGUUCUGUUUAUAAAAUAAGAAUGAUGCCUUAUCCAAAUUGCAGCCAGACUGCACCAAUUUACAAAACUGCAUAAACAUUGUUUUGGUUUCAUGUCUUUGUCAAAGCCAAAUAAAAGUAAAAAAAAAUCCGAAUCUUUUCUAAUUGUUUGUUCAUUGUAAGGAUUAGGUUUUAUGGCGAUGUGCUCAAGUCAUGAACUACGUUGGCAAACUACUAAUGCCUAUUAUAAUUAUCAUUGCCAUUUUUGGUCCUUAUCUAUGUAAGCUCUCAUUUUAGAAAAUGGUUUCUUUUACAUUCUUGGUUUUCAUAAAUCUAUUUUGAACCUAAAUAUUGCUAUCUAGUAUAUGAUCUUUUCGACUUUAGAAACGUAGAUAUACUCUCAACGAGUGAAGUUACAAUGAAAAUUGGAAAACGUAAUUAGAAAUAUAUUAAUUUUAGAAUUCUAGUAUUUUUGCCUCGUAAUUGUUCGAUGUAUUUCUAAUGUAAAGAUUUCAACCGACUUUUUAUUUUUUAAAUAUAAAGUAAAAAUUUAAUUUGACUUUGAUAGUUUUAAUGAUAAAAAUUUUAAAUUAUUAUCGAUUAUAAUCUUCAUUCUGCUUUCAUAUUUGAAAAUAAAACUUCUAACCCCAUACUACUUUUUGCUGACCUUAGCUUAUGGAGAGAAAUUCUUGAAGGCUUAAAAGAGGACAGAGUUCAAGGUUUCUAUUAUGCCAUAUCAAAAGCUAGACGGACACCACUAGAUAACAUGCGAGUGGAGUUCAAUUCUAACGCUUCAUGGAACCGUGUACCACUCAAGGCAGACAUUAUUAUAGUAUGCAGAAACUGGAUUGGAUCUCCCCAUUGACGAUGAAGCCAGAGUCACCCAAGCCUCUUCUGCAUUACAAGCUGAAGAAUUAUUCCUCCUCAGAGCUAUGGAAUUGGCUAAGGAUAUGGGAGCUACUAACUGUGUACAAAUUAGAAAACAAUAGAAUUUUUGCUAAAUUUUAAUACCCUAUAUUUUAUGUAUAUUGAAGCAAUUGUACUUAGAAUAAGAGAUCCAUUGCUUUUUUUUUUGAAAUUUCUUUUAUUUUUGUCUUGCAGAUUGAAUAACUUUGGCCGCUUUUGCCCUCUUUAGAAAUAAUAUAAAUGAUAUAUCAAUUUAAUUGUUAAAAAAAGAAGCGGAAAUCUUCAGGUCGUAUUAUAUAAUUUCAGUCUUCUUUCUUCUUGACUCAUAAUAAAGUAAGGUUCUAACUUCUAAAGGACUAAUGUGCAAAUGUGCAUAGAUGACUCCAAUCAUGUAUGUCUUUUUUUUUUUAAUUCUUUUAUUAAUUUCCUUUCACUUAUUGUAUCUCUCUAUAAUUGUUUUUAAUUUUCUCAAAUAACUAUUUCAUCCAAAAAAUUAAUUUAUAUUUGGAAAGUUUUACAUGAAGGAAAAAGAAUAAAGAGGAAAAAUGAAUUUUAUUUUCUUUUAUUAGUUUUAUUCUUUUUUUAUGUUUCGAUAGAAGAAGAAUAAAAAGAAAGAAUGGAAUAGGAUUGGAAUGUAGAUAUUUUUAUAAAAUAAAUAAAUAAGGAAAAGUAAAAUUUUCUAACACCUACAAGAAAAUGUAAUUAAUAUUGUUCAAGUUAAUAGAGAAUCUGAAAUCCAUGCCAUUUCUCUAGUUGAACAUAUGUAAAAGAUUUUUCUUUUGACCUUUUUUUUGGGCGAAAUGAUGAAAUAGAGAAGAUAAGAGCUAUCUAAUAACGUAUAAAUGAGAUGGUAACGGUUUUUUUUAGCUCAACUAAAGUUUCGAGUUUAAAUAUUGGAUAUGCAGCUGCAUUAAAAUUCUUAAAAUAGUAUUUUACCAUCUGUAAAUAUCAUGCACAAUACACUUUAAAUUAACUUUAGAUAUAUGUAUACUAAAAAAAUAAAUCUUCUUUUAUAUAAAAUAACCAAAUAAUAUUACAAAUAAAAUAGUUAUUAUUACAUAUUUUCUCUUUUCGUUUGAUAAGAAAUAAAAGAGAUAAAAUUUAAAUUAUUUUUUUUUUCUUUUGUUGUUUCCAUCUCAUUCCCAAAGAGAGGAAAAUUAUAAUAAUUUCUUAUUUUUCUUCUUUAUUUUUCUUCCAUUUUUAUUUUUCUCCAAUUUAAAGAUGAAGUUCAGCUACUACAUGAAGUCUCAAGAAUAUGAAUGCUCACCAUUUCACCCCAAGAAAUUAAGGAGAAUAUAUUAAAUUAAAAUUUUUAUAAAUUUAUUUUAAGUGAAUAAUUUUUAAAGAGAGUAUGAACUUUUAAUGCAUUUUACAGAGUUUAUGUAUUUAUGAAUGAUUUUCAUAGACUUUAUUGAGAAAUUUUUUUAAAGACAUUAAUAAACUUUUAUUGAUUUUAUUAAUUUUCAUAUACUAUUAUUUAUCUAUUAUUCAAUUAUUUAAAAAAAAUUAAUCAUUAUGCUUUUACUAUUUUCUUCUUCUUAUUUCUUUCUGCCUUUAUUUUAAGCAUUAUUUAAUAUAAUAUUAUCUGCAACUGCAUACAAAAAUAACAAACUUCAUUUUAUUAUUGUGUCAAAUUCAUAUCUAUUUUUAAAAUUUGUAUCUCACAUUCAUUCCAAUUGAAAGUGAAAAUUAUACUCAUUUUCAUUUCAAUUGUUGCUACAAAGAUCCAUCUUUAAGCUAUAAAAUUAUAUGAUCUAUUUACUUAAUAAUAGACUUAUCAACUUGAAUAUCUUUUUUCAUGAAGCGAAUUGGUAUUCAGAUUAUUUUGUUAGAUUAAGACAUAAUUGUUUAAUCUUUUUUGCUUUAUUAUAGUUUACUUCUACCCUAAAAUAAAAACAAUAGGGGAAAUGAUAUUUUUUUAAAUUAGAAAUAUCUAUUUUAUACUAGUAAUUUAAAUUAAAUUACAUUGCAAUUUAAUAAGAUUGAUGUAAACAUAAACGGUUUUAAAAUGUUUAUUUGGAUUAAAUUAUACCAAGAAUAAAAAAAUUAAAGCAAAUAAAGAGUAUUAGUUAAUUAAUUUUAUUAGAUAUUGAGACUAGCUUAUACUAAAAUAAGAUUUUAUUCUAAUUGUAUAAAAGAAAUUAAAUUUGAACAAAUUUAAUAUUUGAUAAUAAAUUUAAAGAUAUAAAAUUUAUAGGUCAUUCUCUAUUGCACCUGAUGCUACAUAUAUAAUUUAAAGACAGUGUCAUAAACUCAAAGUAAUUUUAAUAUAAUGAAAAAAAUUACAGAAACGGAUUGUGUAUUAGACCAAAUUUUAAGAGUUAAAUAGUAUUUAAUCCGAUUUUUCUUUAGAGUGACAAAUAAAUGAUUGAUGUAUCCAAUACAGUAUUUCUCAAUUGAGAGAGGAAGAUGAAGAUGUUCGAUUGUAUUAUCAACUUAGCAUGACUUGUAAUUUGUUUCCCAGAUGCUAGAUAAGCACUCACAAGAUAACAGAUCCAUAAAUUAAUUAAUUUGUUAAUGAUGUGCCUAAUUGAAUUCUUAAUUAACCCUAACCAAACUCACUAAUCCACAAUUAAAAUUUAAUUGCUAAUAAUGACAGAUACCUAAUUCUUCAUCUAAUAUAAGAUAUCUGGAGAUGACUGCCUAAUUCCUUUUGAUACACUUAAAUGGGUUAUUCUUAAUUCAAUUGAUAAGUUUCUUUUUCUAUUAGUCUUUUAUUUUAUUUUUAUUUUAACAAUAUCCCCUCUUUUAGCAAUGAAAUUCAUAGAAAUAUAGUAUUAGCAAAAUAAAAAGAAAGUAGAAAAACUUGAGUAAUUUGAAUGAACCUGCAACAUUUUAAACCCAGGUUUUCAGUUUUUACCAUUAAGGCAAGGGAUCAUCUGUGCACUUUUUAAACACAGCCGUGGGGCUGCAAAUGAGCCGAACUACUUGCAAGCUACUCGAAACUCGGCUGGAUAAAAGUUUGUUUGAGUUUGUUCGUUAAAAAAAGAAAUGAGCUGAGCUCGAGUAUAGUAGUGCUCGAUCUUAAUAGUGUUCGACUUGUUUAAGCUCGCGAGCUAGCUUGUUUAUGAGCUCACAAGUUGAAUUUAUUUUUAUAUCAAAAAUUUAGACUAACUAUUUAGGUUUUAGAAUUUAAAUAUAUAUUUUACUUUAUGUAAAAUUUAUUUAAAAUUAUAAAAUUUAUAACAUAUUUGGUAAGCUCGAACUUACUUAACGAGCUUUAUUUCGAGCAUUGAAUUCAAGCUUAUAUACAAGCUGAGUUCAAACUGACCUUGUUUAUAUAAAGAACUGAGCUAAUUUAUAAGUCAAGUUCGAGUUUAGUUUGUUUUAUAAGAUAUCAAGCUAAUUACGAGCUGAUUAAAUUCGAGCUCGAAUUCUAAAAUAAAAUAAUAAAAAAAGAUGAUCGAGUUCGAAACAAGCUCAAGCUUAGUUUGUUUUAUGUGAGCUGAGCCUGAAUAUUGAAAAGCUCGGCUCGGCUCGGCUUGUUUGCAUCCUUAAGCACGAGGCGUUUUAAUGAAUUUUCAAUUCUAACUAUUAGAAUUUUUUUUUUAAUUCUGCAUACUUCAAAUGUAUAUAACAUAGAAAAUAUAUAAAUUACAUAUAUAUAUACACUAAUAUUUUACAUUUUAUUUUUAAAUACUUAAUACAUACUUAAUUAUUUUAAUGUAAAUACAUACUUAAUUAUUUUAAUAUAAAUUUAUAUAUCAGUGGUGUAUUAAUCCAAGAUAAUGUAUGAAAGAUACAUCUUGAAUGCAAGAAUUUUCUUUCUGUAGACAGAAAGCUUUUCUUUCCUACAAAUAUACAUCUGCUUUCCCAGAAAAAUCCAAAAGCCCAAAAGCCCAGUCCCUCUGCACCCAGUUGUGAGGAACCCUCUUAAAAUCCUAUGCAGACAGGCACAGAAUGGAAACAUUUUGCUCCAUAAUUUUAUACAUGUCAUAAUCCCAAUCCCAAAAUUGUAAACAGUAUAACAAUAAGCAGGUGAGCCAUGGCUAUGACAUGGAUAUCUCUGCAUCCACACCCUCUCCUUUCCAUCACUAAACCCAGACUCCCUCACUCUUCUCUUGCCAGCCAUAACUUAGCAGCUCCAUCUCUCUCCUUAUCCACACCCUUCACCACCAAAAGAGCCACUAUUCUUUUCCAAAGAAGAACUCAAAUUUGGAGACUUUAUGCUGCCCCUGAAGAAGCCUUGCCUUCAGAUACAGCAGCACUUGAGAGUGCCCAGAAAAUUGCGGCAACUAGUGAUGAUCCAACAGCCAAUAUUAUAUCUCUUCUUCUCUUCAUUGCCUUUGUUGUUUUGGCCAUUCUCACUGUUGGGGUAAAUUCUAACUUCAUUUCUCCUAAUUCUAUGUUUCCAAGAUUGUUAUGUUUCUGGGUCUUUAGUUAGCUUACUGAACAAAAUUGAAAGCUUGGAAGCUGGGCUGUUGAUAACAUUUAGUACGCUUUCUCUUAUGCUCAGUUACUGUUAAUGUAGGUUUUUUUUUUUUUUUUUUCUUUUCUCAGUAAAUUUACUAUAAUUGGAAUCUUGGAAAUGUGGGUUUGCAGGUAAUAUAUUUAGGAGUGACUGAUUUCUUAGGGAAGAGGGAGAAAGAGAAGUUUGAGAAGGAAGAAGCAGCUAAGAAGAAGAAGAAGGGUGGGAAGAAGGGAAAGGUAAGAGCAAGAACUGGACCAAGAGGAUUUGGACAGAAAAUUAAAGAAGAAGAUGAUAAUGAUGAUUCAUAAUUAGCAUAAUGCAAAAUGCUCUCUUUCUUGGNNNGGUUUAGUUAAAAUUUAAGAUUUCUGUCAUAAUUGAAAUUAAGAAAGCAAAUUGAUACUUGAAAUCUAGACCAACUCUUGUGCCUUGGGUUGAUGUUUGAAAUGGCACGAAAAAGAAAAUCCAAGGUAUUGCUUCUUCCUUAGGAAAUUAUCAUCCACCAUUGUAGUCAGUAUGUUUCACUCAGGGUCUUGGCCCUAUCCAACAUUGUAGUCAGCAUAUUUCACUCCGUGGAAAGAUGCUUCUUAUGGUAUUUACUUAGUUUUUCAAAAGAUCAUAUUGUUCCCAUGGUGUUUGUGGAGGGUGCGGAAGCUUGGAGACUCACUGGUCUACGAGUCCAUACGGGAAAGAGGGAGGGGGUCAAAUGGAUUGUUGGGUUGCUCGAUUUGAAGACGGUGAAGUCCUUAAUUUAGAUGCAACUUUUUUCUGAUCAUUCUGCGUUCCUGUUGCUGCACUUUGUUCAGCCAGUAUUUCAUGUCCAAAGGAGGUUUAGGUUUGAGAAUUCUUGGCUUCCUGAACCUAUUGUAAGCGGUUUUGUAUAUGAUCUUUGGACCAAAUAUGAUCUGUGGUAACGAGCUUUAAUUAUGGGGAGAAGGGCUUCGUAAGACAAAGAUUGAAGAUUGUAGAAGACAACUCCGUGCUCUCAGACCUCCAAGAGAUGUAGCCUCAGUGUUUGGCAUUAAGGUUGAGAAAGUGUGUUUCCAUUCUUGAUUUUUAUUUUAAAUGAUUUUUUGAGUUUUGAAAAUUGCUUUUGCAGAAAAAAUGAGAUGGAAAACAGAUUAAAGAAAAUAAUUUAUAAAAAAUUAAAAAAUUAAUAUAUUAAUAUAUUAAAUCAAAACAUUUCGAAAUCUGUAUUUUAACACCCAACUGUAAUGUGAAUAAUUUGUAUAAACUAAUAAGAGCAAUAAUAGAAAGAAUAUAAACAUAGUUGAGGUUAUUUUUUCUUUUUUUUUUUAGAAUACUAAUCAGCCGAGGUUUAUUAUUAACUAUAUUUAUUAUAAUAUAUAUAAAAGUACGAAAGAAGAUUUGUGUAUCAAGCACGAAUGAGAAAAUAUUUAAAUCGAUGAAAAUACUUCUACUAAUUAUAAUACUUUCAAUUUUAUUUUGUUGGCGUAUUAAUUUUUGAAUAUAAAAAUUGAUCUAUUUAAAUGAAAAUUUAUCAACAAAUAAAAAUACUUUUAGUUUUUAAUUAUUCAUUAGAAAAAGUAUAGUUGACGUAAGUCUUAUUUUUAUUAGAAUGUAUAAAAAAAAAAAGGAGCAUAGUUUAAUUAAAAUCGUAAUCUAAAAUGUAUAAUAGAUUUAUUACUUUUAAGGUAAAAAAUCAUCAUUUGCUAAAUUAUAAAAAUAUUUCUAGUUCAAUAAGAUAUUGAUGGAUUACUAUAUAUCCCACUAUAUAUAUAAUAUAAUUUAGUAUAAUAUAAUAUAAUAUAUGAUAGAAUUCAAAUAAUUUAAUGUAAAUUUUUAUAUAAAUUGAAAACAAAAGUCAUAAAAAAAGAAAUAUGAUAUUUCUAUUUGUAUUUUAUUGACAUAUAAUAAUUUAUAUAUUUUUAUUAUUAUAAUACUUUAUCAACAUAAUUAUUUACUACUUAAUAGUAUAUUAUAUAUUAGUUUAUUAAAUAAUUUUUAUAAUAAUAAUUUACGUAUGUGACAAAUAAUCUUAGUAUACUAGUAUUUAUAUAGCUGCCAUCACUUUUAUUGAUUAAUAGUUCACUAAACUUGGUAUUCCACUGUUUAGAUGCUUGUUUAAGUCCAUACAAGGACUUCUGUAACCUGCAAACUAGCUUGACAUUGUUGCCAGAUUGAAUAACACUCUCCCUCUCAAGCCGGUAGCCCAGAGGCAAAUCCAUGUAAACUUUUUCUAUUAAAUCUCCAUAUAAAACGCAUUAUUAACAUCAAAUUGGGCCAAAAACCAAUUAUUAAUAGCAACCAAAGCCAAGAACAUCUUGACAGUUGUAUGUUUGGCAACUGGACUAAAUGUUUCUUGGUAAUCAAAUCCUUUUUUCUGUGUGUAACCCUUAGCCACCAAUCUUGCUUUGUAUUUGUCAAGACUACCAUCAGCAUUGAACUUGGUUCUGUAUACCCACUUGCACCCAACAGGAACCUUGUUUGCUUGUAAAGGCACAACUGACCAAGACUUAUUUUGGAGCAAAGCAUCAAGCUCAGCUGACAUAGCAUUGCUGAUAAGUAAUAUGAUCUGGAUUGGAACUAAUUGAAAUGAUGAAUUUUAAGUAAGAAGGAAAGACAUAAGAGUAUGAAAUGUAGUUGGAAAGAGGAAAAGAAACUUAGGGCACUUGAGAAUGUGUAGAAUGAGAAAGAGAAUGAUGAUAUUGUUCCAAGUAAGAGGGCACCCUAAUAUUUUUGGCACUCCUCCUAAGAAUAUAAGAUUAAAUAGCAGGAGAAGAAGAAGAGGGUUGUGAAGAAGUAGUAAAGAAGUAGAAUUGGAAUUUAGUCGUGAAAUAGGUGAAGAAACAUAAAUAUUAGUGGAAGAAGUAACUGGAAGCUGUGUAGGAUAAUCAAUGUGAGUAUCUAAAAGGGAUACAUUAGGUAAAAAAAUAGGAGAAUUUGAAACAUAAAGUCUUAUUUUAGUGAAAAGGAAAUAUGUAUUCAUAGAAGACAACAUCCGUUGAUAUAAAACUAAUGUUAAAGUCUAGAUUAUAUAACCUGUAACCUUUAAUGCCUGCUGGAUAGCCAAGAAAAAUACACCUCCUCCCUCUAACAUCAAACUUAGUCCUGUGAUUAACCAUAUAUUUGCAAAGCACAAAUAUUUGAAGGAUCUAAUAUGAUGAUAAGUUGGUGCUUUAUGAAAUAGAACCUCAAAAGGUGUUUUACCAUCAAGAAGAACAGUUGGAGUUUGAUUGAUUAAAUAGACAACAGUCAAAAUUGCAUCUCCCACGAACUUAUUAGCAAAUCAACAUUAAACAACAAAGAUCUUGCCACAUUCAAAAUGUGUUAGUGCUUCCUUUCAACAAUGCUAUUAUGUUGAGUGUAUAAACACACUUCCUCUGAUGAAUAAUUCCUUUAUCAUGAUAAACAUCAUUCAAUUUGAACUUAGUACCUUGAUCUGUCCUUAUAACUUUGAUUGAUGCAUGAAAAUGAGUAAAAACAACAUUGUAAAAGUAUUUGAUCUAGUAACUAACUUCUAAUUUGCAUUUAAGAAGAAGAGCCAAAGUACAUUUAGAGAAUUCAUCAACUAUUGAAAGGAAGUAAUGAUUCUUAUCCAAGUCAGCAUUAAAGUACGGUCCCCAAACAUCCAUGUAGAUUAAGUAAAAAAAAUUGCAACUUGAUCUACUAAUUCUAGAAAUGGUAACCUUCUCAUCUUGGCCAUUGGACAAGUAAUACAAGGAAUAUUCUCAUCAUUCUUACAAGAAAGCAAGUGACUCAAGGACUGAAAAAUCUUUUGAAGAACAUGACUUAAUUUGUGAUGGCAAGUUUCAUAUGAAACUGCAUUUGCAACAGAAGAAUCAACAACAUUAAUUACUUUAUUAGGUAUAUAAGAAGUUUGAAGGUAAUAAAGUCCUUGAUGCAAUCUAGCUAGUCCAAUCGUCAUCCAUAAUGAGAGGGCCUAGAUCACGCACCAAUUAGAGAGAAAAAUAAGACAAACUUACUUUGAAGAUGUGAGCUUACUCACAGAGAGCAAGUUGAAUGAAAAAGAGGGGAUGUGCAGAACAUUCUAUAGUACUAUAAAAGGAUUAAAUGUUACAUUCCUAAUAUGUAUGACCUGAGCAAUAGAUCCGUUAGGUAACUUCACAACACAACCAUUAAUAGAUUGACAAUAAUUAAAGAGAAUCAACCAUUAUAUGAUAUGUGGCUCCUGUGUUAACUAUCGAGGUAGAAAUUCCAAACUUAACAUCAAUUUGCCUAUAUAUGGAGAACACAAAAAAAUCAUUACCUGCAGUAUUGGUGAGCUGAUUUUUUUAUAUGAGAUGAGGAAGUUGUUUAUGCAUUAGUCUAGCCAUCAAGUAAGCUCAUCAACUUGUGAGUUUGCUCCUUAGACAAACUCAACUGAUUAAAGGAUCUCAACCUCAUUGAUUCAUCAAGAUCUUGUGAUUUUACUAUAAGUUGAUUAGUAGAUGAAAUCUUAUUUACAACAGCAGCAUUUUUACCUUUGGUAAACUUGAAGUUUGCAGGAAAACCUAUAAGCUUGUAGCAUUUUUCUUUUAAAUGCCAUGUUUUACUGCAGUGAGUGCAAUACAAACUAGAUUUUCCUUUCUUGACUGCCAUUUCAGCUGCAUCAUUCAAAACUUGAGACUGUGCAUGAAUGGAUCUUUGACUUUCUUCCCUUAAAACCAUGUUAUAGGCUUAAUCAAGACUUGAAAAUGGUUUCACAAUGACAAUCUUUAAACAUAAAGCCUGAAAUGAUUCGUUCAAUCCAUUCAAGAAUUUAAAAACGUAAUCCUUUUGUUGAAGGUCAAUAUGUGCUUCAAGAUAACUGUGAUUGCCCUUUCCACAAGAACAAUGUGGAAGUGGCCUGAAAUUCCUCAAUUCUUCCUAACUAUCAUUAAGAUCAGUGAAAUAGGCAUUAACAGAUCUUAAACCCUAAGUUAUUGUACACAAAUUGUGUUACAAAUGACAAAUCCCGGAAUCAUCUUGUUCAAUUUGUUGUAUAUCUGACUAGCUUCCUCCAUGUAAAAAAUAGUAGAGGCAAUAGGAGCAGAAAUUGAUCUUAAUAACCAAGCUACAAUUAAGUUAUUAUAAUAUAUCCAUGCAAGAUAAAGAGAACUUUCUAGUGUCAGUUUAGGUAUACUCCCAUCCAAGAAACCUUGUUUGUUUUCUAAUUGAAACAACAAGAAGAAAAGACCUUGUCCAGGAUGAAAAAUUCAUCGAAGUGACCUUUGGUGAAAUGAUGACUGAACUAUGAUUCUUAGUGUGAUGAAGGUAGUAAGGUGAAGUUCGAUCUUCCAGGAGAUUGACAUUUUGGUUAGUGUUUUCUACAAUGAUUGAAGCUUGAGAAAGAAUAAAGAAGAUGACAAAAGAUGAAAAGAACUUUUGUAACCAUUUUCUUGGAUCUAAUAUGUAUGCUCUGAUACCAUAAUAGAGAGAGCAAAUGAACUAAAGAGAGAAAGAAAGGAUUGAAGAAAUGUGUAAAGUGUGUAUUUACUAAGUUAGUUACAUGGCUUAUAUAUAAAGCUUUUCUGUUACAAUCAAACCAAUCUAAAGCUACCACCUUAUUAGGUAGUUACUAACUAAAGAAUAAAUUACAGUUAGUUAACUAAUCAUCCAGCUUCAGUAAUUAACUCAUUUAAUUUGCUUCUUUGACAAAGGUGUAAGAUCGAAAGUGAAAAAUUCUCUCUUUAAUUCUUACAAAAUCUCUUAAUGGCUUCUCAAUCUUUUCAACUCUCCCUCUCCCUCUCUCUUUUAUUUUUCUUUUUAUGUGCACUUAUGGUCAAUUGUAUAGAUUUCUUCUUCUGAUGAAAGAUGUAGUCUUUUUUUCAACUAUUUUAGUCUUUCAUGCAAACAAUUAUUACAUAGCCUUAUACAUAUAAGUGGACUGGUGUUCAAAGGUUAAGGGUUAGCUUAAUUUGUCGAACGAAAAAAUUUCUUUUGUUCCUUUUAUUUCAAGUGUUCUGGUUUAUGGAUAUUAGAAUUGAAAGUGUUUUUAUUAGUAAAUUUGUUUAUUGUCGUUUGUUUGUUUAAUUGAUUAUUGCAGAAGAAGAAGAAAAAUAGAAAUAGCAAAUGAAAAAAAUCAAAAGUAAAUUUUUUUAUAAAGUAGUGGGAUUGAAUAAAAAGGUAUACGAUUCUACCAUUUAAAAAAUGAGAGGCUUAAUUAUAAAAAAAGUUAAAGUUCAAAGGUCUUAUGUUUUAUCUUUUGCCAUUUUAUUUUAUUAUUUUAUAAUUAGAUAAGUGUUUGUACACAAUUCUAUCAGUACUUAUAAAACACAUGCAAACUUCUGAUUACUUAAAGGCUUGAUGAUAUAAAAUUAUAAAGUAAUAGAGUCCAAUUCUACCAUAUUAAAUAUGAGAGAUUUAAUUAUAAAAAAAAUUAAAAUUUAGAAGUCAAAUUAUACUUUUUGCAUAUAAGUAAAUAACAGAUAAAAAUAGUAAAAAUUGAAGUGUUAACAUGUCACUCUUUUAAAAAAAUAAAAAUAAAACAUCACUAUUUCAUUGACUACCAUUACGUUGUUUUAUUAUUUAUAUAAAAUAUAUAUGAUAUUUAGAAAGAAAUAAAAUAUGAUAUUAAUAUCAAAAUUUAUUAAGUUUAAAUAUUUGUAUGAUUAUAGUUCAUAAUAUUUAUUUUAAAGACUACAAAUGUUUUUCACCUUUAGCACGAGGCAAAAGAAAAUAAUCGAAAAACCAACUACCAUUAUUUUUCAUAAUUUUGAUUUGUAAUUUAAUUGGAUGACCACCACAUAGAUCAAGCAAAGGAAGAAUUUAAGUGUUAAAAAUAUUUGUCUUAUAAAGAUAGUAAUUUUUAAUUCAAGAUUUUAAUAUUUAUAUUAAAUAAAUAUUACAUUUAUAAUGAAUAUAAAUAAUAAUUAUCCCGUUUCAUAUAAUCACAUGCACGACAAUAAAUNNNNNNNNNNNNNNNNNNNNNNNNNNNNNNNNNNNNNNNNNNNNNNNNNNNNNNNNNNNNNNNNNNNNNNNNNNNNNNNNNNNNNNNNNNNNNNNNNNNNNNNNNNNNNNNACAUUUCUUUUGGUGCAAAAUCAUUACUUUUUCCUAUUCUUUUUUCUUUCACAUAUUCGUUACAGGCAAUAAUGGUGUCCAAAUGGGAUUUUUCACAAAAUAGAAGUGAAUCAACCUAAAAGAUGAACAUGAAAUGAAGGGUCCCUAAUAGUUUUAGGGACUCUUUUAGGAGUUUGAGAACCAUAUUAUUACUUUUAAGGCGUGCACUUGAGAAGAUACAUAGGCAUAAAAAUCAUUGCUCCUAAGUAAGAAAAAGACAGUAAUAAGUGGGCACAAAAUUUUCUCCUUUUUAUCUGUCAGCCAAAAUUAUAGUAAAAAGAACAAUUACUUCUUUCUUUUAUCAUCUCUAUAAUGGUAAUGGUGGAAUGAGGUGAAGGCCCAAAAAACAAAGGAAGAAAAGAAAAAGAAAAAGAUGCUCUUUUUGUGUAUGUCUCUCCCUCUUUUCAGCCUUUUUGCAAUGUGGGUACCAAUUUAAUUAGUGUCAAUGUCUCCACUAAGCUUAGGAAAUUGUAAUACUUAAUUUGUAGAUUAAUAUGUGAAACAAAAGAAAAAAUAUCUAACUUUGUUCACUUUUUCUUUUUUACACUGAAUAAUUGUUCCUUGGAAAGGUGGAAAAUUAGAAUUCGAGCAAUUCUCUUGGUUUUUUAUAAUUUUUUAAAAUAUUAAAAUGGUAAAAAAUAUAUAUCAAAUUUUUAAAAAUAUAACACAUUCAAAAAUAUUAAAAUUUGAAUUAUAGAUUUGCAUCUUCUAGAGAUUUCUAGCCAUCGGAUUAUUGAUUUUUAAUUCUAAUGAUAAAAUAAAGUGACUGACAACUUAUUAAUUUUUAAUUCUGAUUUCAGAAAACUAAAAAUUUUAUUGAACUUACACUCUUUAUGUCAUAGUAAAAUUAACAUUCUUUUAUAUUCAAAUUGGAUAUAAUAUAUCAUUUUAAAUAAUUUUAAAAUAUUUAUUAAUUAAUUUUAAUAAAAUUAAUUUAAAUUAUUAAUUUUUAAAAUUUUUAAAUUUAAAUUUAAAAUUUAAUUUUUGAAAUUAAAUUAUUAAUAAAAAAUUUAACCGUUUAAAUCCAAAACAACAUUAUAAAUUGUAAACACGAUGUAUCAUGUUCAGUUGAAUAUGAAAAUAUAUUAAUAGGAAAUCAUGAUAAAGAAAGAGUGAUUUCAGUGAGUAUUAUAAGAAUAAAUUAUAAAUUUACGAUAGAGAAAGAGGAAUUUUACCAAUAGAAAAUCACGAUAGAGAAAGAUUGAUUUUAGUAAAUAUCAUCCAAAUAAAUUAUAAAUUUACAAAUUAAGGAGAGAUUAUUGAAAUCCACAUACACAUACAAAAACUCAUUCAUAAUCUUUAUUCAUUUUUCAUAUAAAUAUAUAUACAGUUAUAAAAAUUAGACUCUCUUUCUUCUCCCUUUAGCAGGAAGAAAAUGGCAUAGUUAACAGGGAAAAAGAAAGGUCUCUAACUUUUACAUAUUAGUUUCAAAUAUUUUAGAAAUACUUAAUAUACAUCAUAAUUUAUUAAACACUAGUCAUUUAUUCGUGCAUUGCAUGAUUGCUAUUAUUAUUUUAUUAGUGUGAUUAUUUAAAAAUUAUUUUAAAAUAUUUAUUAAUUAAUUUUAGUAUUAUAUAAGUGAAUACAAUAAUUAAUAUUACUAUUUUUAGGAUUAAAAAUUUAUUAUAUAAUUAAAAGAUUAAUCUAUUAUUAAAAAUAAUAUUAAAAAUAUAAUUUACAAUAUUAUUUUUUAAAAUUAGAAUUAUUAUCUAAUUAAAAAUUAAUUUAAUAGUUAAUAUAAUACUAAAAUAUAAUUAAUAUGCUAUUUUUAGGAUAGAAUUAGUAUCAUUAUUUGAUUAGAGAACUCUUUAUUAGUUAAUAUAAUAUUAAAAUAUAAUUAUUAUGCUAUCUUUUAGGAUUAGAGUUAAUAUUUAAUUAUGAACGUAACUUUAUUAAUUAAUAAAUUAAUAGAAAAAAAUUAUAAAAUUACACAUAAGCUUAAAUCCUAUGUAUCAAAUAUAGUACACAUAUCAAAUUAAAAUUCUAUGUAUUAAAAAUUAAGCACACAUAUUAAAAAAAUUAAAAUUUAGAAAUUAAUAUAUAUAUAUAUAUAUAUAUAUAUAUAUAUAUAUAUAUAUAUAUAUACAUCGUUUGAUGUUGAACAUUCAAGUUGAAUUUUGUUUCAUGUUAAAAAGUUCCAGAUACUCAAAAUAUACUAUUAUUUAGUAAAUAUAUACCAUUUGUUAUUUAAUUUUUUUUGUAUUUACAUUUUAUUUCAUUCGGAAAAAAUUGAGAUACUUAAUGUAUACCGUUUUUAAUUAAAUAUAUAUCUUUUGCUGCUAUUUACAUCAAAAGUAUACUAGACAUAUACUUUUUUUAAUAUAUAUUAAACAUUUAGUUUUUUUUUAUCUUGUAGCAAUUUAUCUAAUUUUCCGAACAUGAUAUUUUCAACACGUCUUCAAAUUUUUAAAUUAGAAAAAUACCUUUUGAAUUUAUUUAUUUAUUUAUUCAUCAUUAAUAUCAUAAAAUCAAAUAAAAUACAAUAAUAUUUCACAAAAAAUAAUGUGUUUUAAUUUCAUUAUCUAUCAAAAGUAUACAAAACAUAUACAUUUUUUAUUCAAAGUAUAAUACUCAACAUAUACCUUUUCAUCUAGAAAAACAUUUUAUUUUUUAAAUAAAAGUAAAUAAAAUUUUAUUUUUAGAUAUUUUUUGGUCAUAAAUAUUUAUAAAUAUUUUUAUAAUUAUUUUAUAUUUUUGUGACAUUUAUAAAAGAAUUCUUAUUUAAUAUUAUUGUGGAGUAUUUACGUAUGCUCAAAAGUAAUAUGUUUUCUAUUUUUUUGUUUCCCAAUUUCGUUCCAUUAAGGCCCAUAAUAAUGAAUUUCUUAUGGAACAUUAUUUAAUUAAAUUCUCAGUGAAAACCAGACUUUAAGACACACCAAUUAUGGACAUUUCUUCAUCACAAAUUAAAGUAUUUUAUCCAUGAAGAUUGGAACAUUAUUAUAUUCUAUUAAAUGAAGGGUUAAUUUUCAAGAAUAAUAUUCACAUUUGAUUGAUAUAUGCGAGUUUUUAUUCUAACAUAUUAAUUUAUAAAUUUAAAUUUUUAAAUAACUAAAUUUAAUAUUCAAAAUCUAGCUCAAAUCAUUAAAUGUUUACUCUCAUUAAUGAGAAAUUUUAAAUUUGAAUCAUAUUUUCUAUAUUAUAUGUAUUUUUAUUUUUAUAAAGAUUAUAAAAAAAUAAAUAUUUAUAUUAUAUAGUAAAUGAUCUGUUAUUUUUUAAUAAAUAAAUACAUAUAUCAACUUACAUGUAAGAAUAUUUAGGUUCCCAAGAGUAAUGCUUCUUGUUGUAAUAUAUGGCUUUGAUACGACAAUUCUGGACACUUAGAAAAGAAAAUAAAGGCAAUCAAAUAGAAAUUUAAACACAUAAUUAAUGAAUGGGAUUGCAAAAAAAAAAAAAACCCAAAUCACAAAUCAUAUAUUAUUUUUAAAUGUUAAUCUUUUCACCCAUUUAUAACUAAUAAUUUAGUAUAUUCGUUUGUCGAUGAUUAAUUUUUAAAAAUUAAAUUUAUUAUUUGAAUUAGGAUUUUUAUAUUUUAAAAAAUAUUACUCAAACAGCUUCUUUUUUUUUUCUCUAAAGUUCGGACGCCGGUGGGCGCUUCUUAACCAACCGUAUAUCCGCCCGCUGCAUGCAUAUGCUAAAGCGUAACAAAUGACUUCGAAUAAUAAUUUUUAAGAUAUUUGCUAUUUAUAAAUAUAAGAUCCUCCUUAGUAAACGUUGGAUAAAAGACUUUUAGAAAUUUUUUUAAAUAUUUUAAAAUUAAUAGAAAAAUAUCAUUUUCAUUGUAAGUAUAUUUUUUAAAUUUUUUUUAAUUUUUUAUUAAAAAUACGGUAUAUGAUUAUUACUCGUUAUUUUUUAGUUAUUUUUUAGUUGUUUUUUUAAUUUUUAUAAAAAAAUAACUAAAAAAAAUAAAAAACUAAAACAUAAUUUUAAAAAAUUAAAAUAUCUUAUUUUUGAUAUUUUAACACAGUAAAAAUGAAAAAAAGUAAUACCGUAAAUUUGAUAAAAAUAAAAAAUAUGAAUAUUUUUAUUAUUUUUCUUAAAAGAUUCUAUUAAGAGUAUAAAACUAUGAAUAAGUGGAGUGUGGAUACUCGAGUAGCUUUAUGAAUUAAUUUUAAAGUUUAUAAAUUCAGUUUGAGCUAGCUUGUAAGUUUAACGUGUUUCAAUUUUUUUAAAAAUAUUUAACUAUUAUGUGGAGAGUAAGACUUAUAUUACAAAUCUCACAAAAAAUGUAAAAUCUUAUUAAUUAAAUUAUAUAAAUAAAUUAUUUUGUAUUUAUAUUGUAAAAAUUAAUUAUUUUUAUUUUUACAUUAUAAAAAUUAAAUUAUAUGAUUUUAAAUAAAAAUUGAUGAUAAUAUGUAAAUUGACAACCAUAAAAUUAUUUUAUUAAUUUAAAUAUAAUAACAAAAUAACUUUAGUAUUAGUAAACAAAAGAUUAAAUUUAUUAUUUAAGUUCUAUUAAGCUCGAACUCGACUCAAAUAAGCUCGUAUUAUUAGUUUGGAUUGCGCUUGAAUUUUUCAAAAUUCAAUUAUGCUUGAACAUGUCUAUUUAAAAUGAGCUCAAGUUCUUCAAACUCUAAUCCGCUCGUUUAUGCCUCUAAAAACCUUAUGUUAUUAAGUUAAGAUGCACUAAAUAUUAUAACACUAUAUCUGGAUUUGUCGUUCUUACACAGUUGAUGAAAGUGGAUAGAACAUAAUAGGUGAGGUAAUAUAUACCUUUGUGUUUUUGUCAAGUAUGAGUCAAUUUAGAACUCGAAAUAACAGGGUGAAAGCUCAAAUCAAGCAUCGAGCACAUACUCGCAAGUAGUUAAAAUUACCAAAAUGCCCUUGAACCAUCUCCAUGGUCCUAGACUCCUCUACCGACAUCACCAUCACCAUCAUCACGGUAGUAGUUAUUAACAUCACGGUCGCAAGGAUCAAGGGAUUAUGAGCUAGGCUUAUCAACAUCAUACCCACUAAAAUAAAGGAUAGACUGACAAAAAGCACAAAUAGCAUAAACUAAAGACGUUGAUCCAUUUAAGAGCGUGUAGAUGAGAUAGUAACGUCUCUUCUAAUCAAUGUCUCGAGUUCAAACCUUAAAUAUACAACUGUGUUAAAACUCUUGAGGAAGUAUUUUGUCACUGUAAGGGAUGAUCCAACUAAGACGAACAAAAAUCUAAAAUGGAAAAAUCAAAAUUUUCGCCUUUGGUGAGAAGGAGCUUACUAGAGUUGAGAAAAGUUUGAAUAGCAACCGCCCACAAAUAGAAUUACAGAUAAUUAUAUCAUUUACACUAAGUUUUAUUUUGAUUAUUUAUCUUCUUUUUAAUUUUAUUAUAGUCAUUUAAUUUUAAAAAUUAUAGAGCAAAUUAGUCACUUAUCUAAAAUUGAUGAUUUAAUUUAUUGAAAUAAUAACAUAUCUUAAGCAUCCAAUGUUAGACUAACACGUGCUGUAAAAAAUUGACAAGUCACUAUCUUAGUCAUUAAACUAUUUAAUCUAAUCCAAAAUCANNNNNNNNNNNNNNNNNNNNNNNNNNNNNNNNNNNNNNNNNNNNNNNNNNNNNNNNNNNNNNNNNNNNNNNNNNNNNNNNNNNNNNNNNNNNNNNNNNNNNNNNNNNNNNNNNNNNNNNNNNNNNNNNNNNNNNNNNNNNNNNNNNNNNNNNNNNNNNNNNNNNNNNNNNNNNNNNNNNNNNNNNNNNNNNNNNNNNNNNNNNNNNNNNNNNNNNNNNNNNNNNNNNNNNNNNNNNNNNNNNNNNNNNNNNNNNNNNNNNNNNNNNNNNNNNNNNNNNNNNNNNNNNNNNNNNNNNNNNNNNNNNNNNNNNNNNNNNNNNNNNNNNNNNNNNNNNNNNNNNNNNNNNNNNNNNNNNNNNNNNNNNNNNNNNNNNNNNNNNNNNNNNNNNNNNNNNNNNNNNNNNNNNNNNNNNNNNNNNNNNNNNNNNNNNNNNNNNNNNNNNNNNNNNNNNNNNNNNNNNNNNNNNNNNAUAAAUUGUCAAAAUUUAAAUAAAUGACCAAUCUACAAACAAAAAUAAAUUAUAUAACUAAAAUAAAACUUAGUACGAGCUAAGUGACUAUUGCUAUAAUUAUCCCGAUAUGAGUAUCAUCAAUCUAACAACACCACCAACUAAGAAAAGAAAAAUCCAAAUAACUAAUUGUUUGGCUUGCCAGGUUUUGGCUAUGCUCAUGACCUAUGCCUCGGAUUAGAUCUUUUUAAAUCAAAAUCUUGACAAUUUCACAUGUCUUGUUAUUAAGGAUUAGAGAAGUUUUUAGACCUCUGCUUGAAAUAGGACUCCAAAUUUAGUAUAGAAUAGAACUUUUUUUUUUUUUACGUUUGUAGAGAGUCAUAUGGACUGUUUUUCCUUUAUAUAUUAGACCUUUAGGACUUGUAUAUAUACCAAAAUGUUUUUAUUCUAUUAAUUAAGAAAUCAAAUUCUUCAUAUCAUAAAUCUAUUUAUGGUAUCAGAGCAUUCCGAUCCGGAAUCAUCAAACACCAAACACCUUAUGUCGAUAAAAUCAACCAUGAAGACUGAGAUUCAAUCUAUCUCAGCACCCAUUAUCGCACAAAGGAAUCCUGAAGCAUGGGAGCAUCCAAACCACCCCCUGCAUCUCAAUCACAAUGAUCAACUAGGAAUAUCGCUUGUUCAACAACCUUUGGCAAAAGAUAACUACAUCACAUGGUCUCAAUCUAUGAAGAUGGCUCUCACCAUAAAAAAAUAAAACUGGUUUUAUCGAUGGUACCUUAUCUGUUCUAGAACCAAAUUCAGUAGACUAUCAUCAAUGGAAAAGGUGCAACAUUCUCGUCAAAACAUGGCUUCUUGAUGCUCUUUCCAAGGAUAUCUCAGGCGGCGUUAUUCACUGCCGAAUAACAAGGGAUAUGUGGCUCGAUCUACUCGAAAGGUUUUCUCAAACUAAUUCAGUAUAAUUAUUUAAUAUCGAAAGUUCUAUCCAUGCAUGCACACAAAAGUCCGAAUAUGUGACUGCUUUCUUUGUCAAACUGGAAACUCUUUGGGAUGAGAAAGAUGCACUUAAUGCAUUCCCAUCAUGUCAUUGUGAAGCUACCUCCCAGAUCAAGACCUACCUAGAAUCUUAGAAAACUAUGCAAUUCCUAAUGGGAUUAAGAGAACAAUUUGCAAGUGUACGUAGCAUGGUCAUUAGCAUGGAUCCUUUGCCCGGGAUCAACAAAGCUUACUCAAUGGCUUUAUGCCAAGAAAAACAAGUUGUUGGCUCUAUUCCCCAACCUGCUGCAGAAACAUCGGCAGCUUACAUGAUCAAGAAACCACCAACAUGGUAUCAACGUUCAAAUGAUAAUAAAACUAGAGUUGGAGAAAGGAAGUGUGAUAAAUGCGGGAUGAAUAACCAUUUAACCCAACAAUGUCGAGCACACCUCAAAUGCACCUACUGUAAUGGUGAAAGGCACACAUGGAAAUACUGCAGAAAGCGGAAAGCUGCACUUAAGACCAAGGAGGGACAGAUUAACCAUAACAAUUCCACUACAGAUACAAAUCAAUUUCCUCUUUCACAAGAUGAAUGUGGACAGAUGAUAGACCUCCUCAGAAAAUUCAAGAAAAUGUCCCCAGACACAAAAGCUUAUAACACAUUGCUUUGCAACAUGAACACACACCAGCCUUCAUCUGCUACCAUGCCGCUACAUAUGAGGAGUUUACAAGUACAUAACCAAACUCAGCUUGGAUACUUGAUAGUGGUGCUAGAGACCAUAUUGUGUGUGACCCCAAACUCCUAACCACAGUCUCACCUAUCACUACACGGGUUGUGCGAUUGCCUGAUAGCAAGAUCUAUAUUGUUACACACAUAGGCACUGUGGUGUUCUCUCCUACGCUCAUACUACACAACGUCCUGUGUCUUCCAUUAUUUCAUAUGAAUCUGGUCUCCAUCAGCAAACUAGCAUACGAUUCAUUCUUCACCACCAUAUUUAUCAGACAACUUUGUUUCAUAUAGGACCUACAAUCAGGAAAGACGAUUGGGAUGGGAACUGAAUGUGAAGGCCUAUAUUACCUCAGCACUCCUCAUGGAAAACUUGUGAAGUGCAACGUGAUACAAAAGGCAUCAGUUCCCUUAUGGCAUCGCAGAUUCGGACAUCCAGCAAACAAAGUCAUACCCAUCUUCCUUUUUCUUAAGAAUAUAGAACCACCAGUUAGUACAUGUGAUAUAUGUCCAUUGGCCAAGUUAACCAGACAACCAUAUUCAAUAAAACCUUCCUUUAGAGAUACAUGUUUUGAUUUGAUUCAUGUUGACAUAUGGGGAGGCUACCAAAUUCCCACAUUUUCUGGUGCAAAGUACUUUCUCACAAUUAUAGAUGAUCACUCAUGAUGCAUUUUGAUCUACCUUAUGAAACACAAGUCAGAAACACAGCAGCUCCUUACCAACUUUAUUACCCUUGCCGAGACACAAUUUGGACAUAAGGUUUGAACCGUAAGAAGCGACAAUGGCCCUGAAUAUAAGUUAUAUCAACUCUACUCCAGUAAAGGCAUAGAACAUCAGACAAGCUACAUAAACACACCUCAACAAAACUCAGUUGUGGAGCGCAAACAUCGACAUCUUCUCAACAUGGCAAGAGCUUUACUGUUUCAAGCUCACCUACUAAAUCCUUUCUGGGGAGAGGCAAUACGACUGCGGCAUACCUCAUCAAUUGUACACCCUCACCACUCCUUCAAGGAGACACACCUUUCCAAAAACUAUUUGGAAAGGAACCAACAUAUUCUCACCUAAAGGUCUUCAGAUGUAAAUGUUUUGCUUCUAUACAU